Molecule: long non-coding RNA, 138685 nt
Filed under: Zea mays
Lineage: Eukaryota; Viridiplantae; Streptophyta; Magnoliopsida; Poales; Poaceae
Description: long non-coding RNA (ZMAY_LNC001431)
Source: RNAcentral
CGAGAAGACGCGAGAGGAAGGGAGGAGGUGAGCCACCGGAAGCGGAGACGUGAGCACUCGACCAACCCCGUCGAUCCGGCUGCGGCGCGGCGUGCUAGAUCGCUACCGACCAUGGUGGUGGAGGAGAUCGCCGAGGGGGUGAAGAACCUAACCGUCACCGGAGAUGCGGCGGCUUCAGGCGGAGAGGGGCAGAGGAGGGGCGGCGGCGGCAGCAGCAACCGCAUCCAGGUGUCCAACACCAAAAAACCCCUCUUCUUCUACGUCAACCUCGCCAAGGUACGGCUGACCUUCUCUCCCUACGCGCCGCAUCUUUCCGUGAUACUCCUGCCCACCCGCCGCUUCCAGAUUCUGGCUGAUUUGGUUACUUCGGUCCGUGCAGAGGUAUAUGCAACAGCACGGCGAUGUAGAGCUAUCCGCUCUUGGGAUGGGUGCGUCCCUCCUUCGCCCUUCUUUCUAACCCUUUUUUUGCACAUAUUUAUUACUGGUGAAGUUAAUUUAGGCAUUGUCGCUUGACAUUGAUGCCUCUAUCCGCGAAUUUGGUUUAUGUUAUUAAGUACGCCGAUAAAUAUGAUGUAAAGACGCAGAAUGCGUCGGCGCGGCGCGUGUUCUUUUCUGUACGUUUCUCAAUGCUGGAUCUGUGUUAGUUAUUAUUGCUAAAACCCUAGCUUUUAUGGCAGUUAGAGUCCCUUUGCUAGGGCUUACAGAAGGCUCUGGCUUUGGCUUCUGAAGAAACCCUACCAAACGGGGUAAAAAGAAAACCGGUUUCUCCCCUGAAACCACCAAGGAACCGGAGCCCAAAAUAUUAACUUGCACCAGCUCCUCUCAAAAAUACUCUACGAAACCCUUUUGUCAAAUAUCUUUCUACAAAGUGUUCUGGCUCUACCAGAGAAGCUACUCCAGGAGAGGAGCUAAAUCUGAAGCCAUUUUAGGACCUGGAGCCCUGCUAAACUUGCUCCUAGUGUUCCUAGGCGGCAUUUGCCUUGUGAGUUGUGACACGCAGAGCACAGCUUAGAAUUUGGUCAUGCAACUUGCCAGAUUUAUUGUCCGAGGAAAAACUUACCAAGUUUGAGUCAAGUGCUAUGCAAUGCAUUGUUAUUAUUACAUGGCUAUCAUGCUCUGGAUGACCACAGACAAGCAGCUACUUCCACUUGGGGUUCGCCUGAGAACCAUGGUUUUCAAGGUGUCGCCUAGGCGCCUAGACACUCAAAAAUCAUGGCAUGGGCGUCCCUGUUCCCUAAAUGAAAAUGAAAAAAAAAACAGAAAGAGACCGGGAGGGGGGUGGAAGGGAAACCAAUGUUACCAACCAACAAGCCCCAGCAGCUGCCAAUCCCUGAUAGCUCUGGCUUGUAGAACUCGCGCUUGUCAAUUGAGGCACGAUAGAUCUCGACCUGGACAGAAGCUCAGUUGAUCUGAGAGCACACGACUCAAUGAGGGCCCGAGAAGAAGCAGGGAGGAGGAGCAGAGGAGUUGCUGGCAGCAUCAUGCAAGGAGAUUAAGGAAGGAGUUCUGGAAACGUAUAGGCUAUAGGCAAGUUGGGGGAUGGACGGAUGGUUAUAUAGGGUGGCUAGUGGGCUGGGGCAGCCCCUUAAGUCUCCUGCCCUCUUUCUCCUUUUUCUUUGUUUUUCCUUCCUUCAUGCUGCUGGCUUCCUGUUUCUCAGAAUGGUAUACAUCACCUUGCGAUCGUGUAGGUGUCACCUUAGGCGAUUAGAAGGUGGUCCAUCACCAUGUCUUGCCUUAUUGCCUUAAGAACCAUGUUGAACACUGUUUGGGGUUCCGGAAUUUAGUUAUAUGAAUUUUUGACUUGCAAUCUCCUGUAUUCAAAGUAUUCAUUAGAGAUGCAGGAAAGGAAAGAUAAUCAUCCGUUGCUGAUCUUCAUGUUGUUACAGAAAGAUUAUCAUCUGUCGUAUGAAUUUUUGACUUGCAAUCUCAUGCCUUAUUACGGAAAGUUCUCUUGCAUUUUAAGUAGAUUGCUGACUCUUCAUGUUGUUAUAGCAUCUCCAAGAGCGAUCAUAAAUUUGGUCCCCUAUUUCUUCAUGUAGGCUAAACAUUUAUCUCUUCUAAAUCUGUCACUUCGACAGCAGUUCCCAUUUAUCUUAAUGCCCUAAACUUUAAACAUGACACGUAAGCAAUAUGGACGAAAAAACAUGGAAGGCUGAGAUACCCCAUUUUUCGGGGGUGGAAGAGAGGUUUUUUAUAAUGCAACUAAACAAAGGAGUUCAUUUAGGGUGUCUGUUGAACGGUUAGCCUUAAAUUUAAGUAUAGUAGUUUGGAUAGGUGUACAGGGUAAUCUUGGAGAUGCUCUUAGUCAGGGUAUUCUGAUAUUUUUUUUUAUUGGAUACAUAACUUAAGCUCAAUUAACAUCUUUAUAUGUGAUUUAUUUGAUGCAUCAAUACUACUUUUUCGUUAAAACAUACAAUGAUACAAAAGCUUUCCAUUUCAAAUUUCUGCAUCAGUGUAUUGUUUGAGGCACACUAACCAAGCUUUAUUUUGUUUCCAGCCAUAGCAACAGUUGUGACCGUGGCAGAAAUUCUGAAGAACAAUGGAUUUGCUGUUGAAAAGAGUGAGACUUCAGGGCUUUGUUGUCUUGUAGAUUAUGCCUAAUCUAUAUUAUUAUAUUUGCCGCUCUGAAUCAUCCCUUUGUGUCUUAAACCUACAUAGAAAUUAGGACCUCUACUGUUGAAAUAAACGACGAAUCAAGAGGGCGUCCAUUCCAAAAGGCCAAGGUCAGAAAUACUAUACCUUUAAUUGAGUGUACUUAAGCUAUUCAUUGUGUUUGUCAGUUUGGUCAUUCUAUCUUUAACUGUAUGCAAUUCGUCUUUUACUGAGAAUUAAACUGACAUGAACCUCUCCCUCAGAUUGAGAUAAUCUUGGGAAAGAGCGACAAAUUUGAUGAGCUGAUGGCCGCUGCUGCAGAAGAGAGGGGCGAAGUGGAAGAUGGUGAAGAGCAGGCUUGAAAACAGUACCGAUGACAAGCUGCUGCUGCUGUGCUCUGUUAGUGUUGUUUAAUUUAGUUUAAUACCGUGUGCAUGAGAUAUGGCACGCGUUCUUGCUCAACUACAUCACCAUGGCAAUGUCUGCAAAUCCAUGGAUUGAUGGAUGGAUGUUGGUUGUUUCUUAACAUUCUGGACAUGUUGUUCAUUUGUUUCUUUGGCUAUGUAUGUUUUAGCAGUCCAGCGUUCCCCUUACAAAAUAUGGCGUGCUUUGUUGACUACACAGACCGCUGUUCCUUUCCUGAAUUAUUGUCUGCAAAGAUUAGAGAUAAUCAAUGGGUAACUAAUACCCAAUGGAUAAAAACUCUAUUAGGGCUAGUUUGGAACCUUAUUUUUCUAAGGGCUAGUUUGGCAGCAACGUGGGAAAAUCCUAGGGAAGAUAUCCACCAACGGGAUUUUAGAUGCCACUAAAUUUUCUGGGUGGAUUUUUCCUUUUGGAUGUAUUUUCUCGGCCACUGUUUGGGAACCAAGGGAUAAAAUAUCCAUCUUGAGCAAAAACACUAUACUAUUAUAUUGAAUGAGAACUUUAUCCAUCAUCAGAAAAUGGUUCAUCCAUAUAUAUGUGAUGCUAUAAACAAUACUUUAAAAAAUCAGGAGAAAAUCAAACAAAGUAAACUGAAGCAUAGUAAAUUGGUUCAUCCAUCAUCACAUCACACUUUAUCUGUCAUCAUAAUAGUUUGUCAAGCAAAUCGAAGUAGUAAAAGACAGUAUAAGCAUCAUCGUCAGCAAACUGAAGCAUCAACACAAACUAAAGCCACUAUCAACAAAAUGUUUGUAGCAAAACACUGCUUUUCAUGAGUCAUGUGCCAGAUAGCAAACUAAAGCCACUGUCAACAAAAGAUGCCCUCAAAUUUGUUCCUUCAGGUAGAUAUGGUAGAGGCAGCGACAGGAGAUGGAAAGAGUACUGCAAGGAAGCAUAGUGUUAAAACAAACAUGCAACAAAUCAAUUAGAAGUUAGUAUGCAAAAAAUCUUGUUAACCGACAAUUAGGUAUGCCAUAAUUUGAAAUAAAGAUGCUUGAAAGAACAUACCAAAUUUUCUCAUAUCAUUUAUGCAGGCCAUGCAUCACUCCCACGAAGCAACCUACAUUUAUAAAAUGACAUUAUAUGCUUGUAGUAUACAAUAUUGCAUGCUUAGUAGAUUCAAGUUAUGGCAUACCUAAUUUUGCGCUUGAGCCAAAUUUCUCUAACAUCAUGCUCUGUUGUUGUUAAGAAAAUCUCAGUUUUAUCGCAGAUACGAAAAGCUCCAAAGCAUAUGAUUUGUGCAUGGCUGUUAAUCCAUCCAUUCCUUUCAAUUCAGCCUGACACUUGCUAAUAGAAAAUUGAUCCUCUUGCCUCUUAUGUUCUUUAAGAGUUUCAAGUGUUUCUGUAUUUUGGAUCUUUUUAAACUCUACAUAACUUUCAAGAGCUAAUCCAACAUGGCUUUGCUUACGCUUUCUCCCACUGCCACCUUCUCUCUGGCUUGAUUCUUGAUUAGAUGGGACAAAUUGAGCUUCGGUGGGUUCAUUAGUAUUGACUGGGACAGAUUGAGCAUUAGAAGAUAGAUUGAAGACACUUGUGGUUUCUUGUCCAUCCAAAUCAAGUGAAUUAGUACUCAAGGGAUUGAGAUUUUGUCCAGACACACUCCUGGAUGGAGCUGAAGGUGGAGGAAGAUCAACAAAGGUUGAUGUGAAAUUUAACUCUCCGGUAGCCACACUACCUAUACAAAAUGUAGCAGAACUACUGAUCAAUAAAUUAAGAACAAAAUGCUAUUGGUUUGGUAUUGUCGGGGACUGUAAUUAGGGGUACCCCCAAUGCACCUUAAUCCGGCUGAAAAACAUAUUCAGAACAAACCAUAAACGGCUGAUAAAGCGCAGGCCUCGUCUACCAAGGGACGCGACCUCAUCCGAGCCCAGCCUCGGGCAAGGACGGUAGUCCCGGACGGAUUCACGUCUCGACCGAGGGUCCCCUCAGUCAGCAGACGCACCCUUGGCUCGCCCGAAGCCCAGCGCGAGCAGACUUUGUCGUGCAGCGACCUCGCCCAAAUCGCCUUACCAACCGACCGUAUCGCAUGCGCAUUUAAUGCAGGGAUCGCCUGACACCUUAUCCUGACACACGUGCCUCAGUCGGCAAGGUCGAAGUGACCGCAGUCACUUCGCCCCCUUCACUGACCGUUCUGACAGGAAAACAGCGCUGUUCACCCCACUCCGACAACUGCGCCAGCCACCAGGGAAAGACUGACAACAGCAAGUCACGACCUCCCCUGAGUCCGGCCUCGGGCGCAACAGGGAGCUCCGCCUCGCCCGACCCUGGGCCUCGGCCUUAGCCUCGGCCUCGGGAGAAGGACUCCGCCUCGCCCGACCCUGGGUCUCGGCCUCAACCUCGGCCUCGGGAGAAGGUCUCCGCCUCGCUCGACCCUGGGCCUCGGCCUCAGCCUCAGCCUCGGAGGAGUCACCGCCUCGCCCGACCUCGGCCCCGUAUCAACUACGCUGCUGGGGACCCAUCAUUACCCUACCCCCAGCUAGCCGCCUCAGGCUACGAAGGAACAAGACCGGUGUCUCAUCUAAGUUACUCCAGUAACAGGUAAUGAUGGUUCCCCGCAUGCGCCCAUGACGUCGGGUGCUCUCAAACCCCCUACGGAAGCAAGGCAACGUCAGCAAGAUCCAUGCCGCACCGCCAGCAAUGCUUCUAUAGGGCACAAGGCACUUCUCUGACGGCCACGUUGGUACAUCUACAGGGCUCAAGGCACUUCUCCGACGGCCACGUUAUUACCUGUACAAGGCUUAAGGCACUUCCCUGCCAGCCACAUUAGCACAUAGCUACACCCCAUUGUACAACUGGGCAUCUCCUUGUAUUUAUAAAAGGGGAUGUCCAGGGCCUUCCUAAGGCACGUUGACACACGUCGAUGGGAGGGGGAGAGACGAACGCGCGACGUACGAACACACAGACGCGCGACGCAGACGAGCGGAGGCAGGCAGAGUUGGAGAGACACGGUAGAGGCAACCUCAGACAGCUCGCCUCAAGGCCAAACCCUCUCUUACUCUCUCUCUCUCUCUCGUUCUCGCUCUCCCGCAACGCUUGUAACCCCUACUACGAGCACCCCGGUGCAAGAUAACAUAAGCCCUAUUUCGCUCUUGUGUUCCAUCUUGCAUCAACCCAUCUGGGCAGGGACACGCAGCAACAAAUUCACUAGUCAGUCCGGUUGAGGGUCCCCCGGGUCCGAAACACCGACAGUUGGCGCGCCAGGUAGGGGUCCGCUGCGUGUUAAUGAAUACUUUCCCGUUGAGUUCCAGAUGGGUAGCUUUCAGUAGCCUCUUCAGCCCGGGACGGUGCUCCGCUUUAGGAGUCUCGAGUUCAUGUCCCUCGACGGCAGCUACGACAUGGUACUCCUCCCCUCGCAGCAUGGCAACAACGAUGGUCGUCGGCUCGCCCGGCGAAGGCGAACUCGACGACGGCUUCCUCCCGUGGUGGAAGAGGAACACCCGGGUUUGCCCUGUAACCCUCCUCGCUGGAGGAGGAGGAGACGGGGCAACCGUGGCCAAGCAGGAGGUGUUACCUCGUCGGCUGUCGGGCCAGAGCGAGUCGACGACGCCGGCACCCCUGCGGGGGACAUGUCAGGUGUCGUCCUCGCACCUGAGACAACGACGGGCAUCGCUUCCCAGCAAUGUGCCAACCCCAAGUGGACUGAUGACGCCAGCACCCUCACGGAGGAUUUGUUGGGCGUUAGCCUUGUACCCGAGAUGACGGUGCAUUCCGUUCCCGACGCGACUUCGCCACCGUCCAUCAACCAAGAGGUACCAUCCGUUUUUCACCCUGUUCCCUUUAAAUUCAGUUUCGAUCCGCCAAGCGACCCCCCUUCGAUGAGCGCUUUCGCUAGGGUAUAUCCUGACCUACUGGGGUACCAUAUAUGGUCCUCUUGGGACUGACUGACGACCGUCUCAACCUCCGGACCCGCGGGUUCCGAGGAAGAGGACGACCCCGAUGUCAGUUGGGAUUUCUCCGGACUUCGUGAUCCCAGUGCCAUGCGCGACUUCAUGUCCGCAUGUGACCACUGCCUCUCCGGUUGCUCUGAUGAUGGUCACAGCCUUGACGACGAGGGUUGCGGCCCAACUCGCGAGUGCUACCACAUCGAUCAGGAAGAUCACGACGGAGAAAACCACCUUGGUAUGCCAGGAAGUGACGGCGCCCUUGCACCUGUGUCUCGCGUUGAGAUCCCGCGGGAGCUAGCUGUGGUCCAAGUCCCCACGGAGGGUUAGGACACACAACUUGAGCAACUCCGCGAGAUGCAGGCCAAGCUCGACGAAGAAGCGGGGCAACUUGUGCAGCUCCGGCAAAACAUCGAGCAGGGGUGGACAGGCCAGGCACUCGCCGGGGGAGCACGUCAUUGGGCCCAGGACGUCCAGCGCCGCAUUGUUGACGAUGCCAGGGCAAUGCCGUCCUCGGCCUUCAACGGGGCCGGCCAGAGCCUAGCCGCAGCUGCAAUGUUGCUUCGGACAAUGCCGGAGCCAUCCACCACCGAAGGGUGACGUAUCCAGAGCGAGCUCAAGGGCCUCCUGGAAGACGUCGCUGUCCGACAAGCCGAGAGCUCUGCCUCCCGAAGGCGAGGAGACCCCUCGGAGCACCGCGCAGCGCCCUCCCGACACAUGUGGGAGGCCUCAGUCCACACCGAGCGCACACGGGACGGGACGCCUGCGACCCCGGAUCGCCUCGGCGACAAUCAGCGCCAUCACGACCGUCGAGCCCGCCUCGAGGAAAAGGUGCGCCGAGGCUACCACCCCAGGAGCGGGGGACGUUACGAUAGCGAGGAGGAUCGAAGUCCCUCGCCCGAGCCACCAGGUCCGCGAGUCUUCAGCCGGGCCAUAGGACGAGCGCCGUUCCCGGCCCGGUUCCGAACCCCGACUACCAUCACCAAAUACUUAGGGGAAACAUGGCCGGAGUUGUGGCUCGCGGAUUACCGGCUGGCGUGCCAGUUGGGAGGGGUGGACGACGACAACCUUAUCAUCCGCAACCUCCCCCUUUUCCUCUCUGAUGCUGCCCGGGCCUGGCUGGAGCAUCUGCCUCCUGCGCAGAUCUCCGACUAGGACGACCUGGUCAAGGCUUUCGCUGGAAAUUUCCAGGGUACGUAUGUGCGCCCUGGGAACUCAUGGGAUCUCUGAAGUUGCCGCCAGCAGCCCGGGGAAUCCCUGCGAGAGUACAUCCGGUGGUUUUCAAAGCAGCGCACCGAGUUGCCCAACAUCACCGACUCGGAUGUCAUCGGGGCUUUCCUCGCCGGCACCACUUGCCGAGACCUGGUGAGCAAACUAGGACGCAAGACACCUACCAAGGCGAGCGAAUUGAUGGACAUCGCCACCAAGUUCGCCUCUGGUCAGGAGGCGGUCGAAGCCAUCUUCUGGAAAGACAAGCAGCCUCAGAAAGGGCAGAAGGAAGACGCCCCCGAGGUGUCCGCCCAGCGUGGCGCGAAGAAGAAGGCCAAGAAGAAGGCGCAAGCGAAGCGCAACACCGUCAACACGGAUCUCGUCGCUGCUGCCGAACGCAGGAACCCUCAGAAGCCUCCCGGAGGGGCCAACGUGUUCAAAAAGAUGCUCAAGGAGUCGUGCCCCUAUCACCGGGGUCCCGUCAAUCACACCCUUGAAGAGUGCGACAUGCUCCGGCGCUACUUCAACAAGGCUGGACCCUCGGCAGAAGGUGGCAAAGACCAAGGCAACAACCAGGGAGGCGACAAGGAAGAGGAGUUCCCGGAGGUCCACAACUGCUUCAUGAUCUACGGUGGAUAGGUGGCGAACGCCUCGGCUCGGCACCGCAAGCAGGAGCGCCGAGAAGUCUGCUCGGUGAAGGUAGUGGCGCCGGUCUACCUAGACUGGUCCGACAAGUCUAUCACCUUCGACCAAGGCGACCACCCUGACUUCGUGCCGAGCCCAGGAAGGUACCCGCUCGUCGUCGACCCGAUCAUCGGCAACGUUAGGCUCUCCAAGGUCCUCACGGACGGAGGCAGCAGCCUCAACAUCAUCUACGCCGAGACCCUAGAGCUCUUGGGGGUUGAUCGGUCCGAGAUCCGGGUUGGUGCAGCACCCUUCCACGGGGUUGCACCCGGAAAGCGUAUCCUGCCCCUCGGACAGGUUGACUUGCCCAUCUGCUUCGGAACUCCCACCAACUUCCGAAACGAAACCCUCACCUUCGAGGUAGUUGGGUUCCGAGGGACCUAUCACGCGGUGCUGGGAAGACCGUGCUACGCCAAGUUCAUGGCCAUCCCCAACUACACCUACCUCAAGCUCAAGAUGCCUGGCCCCAAGGGAGUCAUCACCGUCGGGCCCACGUACCGCCAAGCUUACGAGUGCGACGUGGAAUGCGUGGAGUAUGCCGAGGCCCUCGCCGAGUCCGAAGCCCUCAUCACCGACUUGGAUUGCCUCUCCAAAGAGGCGCCCGACACGAAGCGGCACGCCGACAACUUCGAGCCGGCCGAGGCGGUCAAGUCUGUCUCUCUCGACCCCAGCAACGACACCGGCAAGAAAGUCAGGAUCGGCUUCGAGCUCGACCCCAAAUAGGAAGUAGUGCUCGUCGACUUUCUCCAUGCAAACGCCUAAGUUUUUGCGUGGAGUCCCUCAGACAUGUCAGGCAUACCGAGGGAUGUCGCCGAGCACUCACUGGACAUCCGAGCUGGAGCCCGACCCGUGAAGCAGCACCUGCACCGUUUUGAUGAAGAAAAGCGCGGAGCCAUAGGCGAGGAGGUCCACAAGCUAAUGGCUGCAGGGUUCAUCAAAGAGGUAUUCCAUCCCGAAUGGUUAGCUAACCCUGUUCUUGUAAAGAAAAAAGGUGGGAAGUGGAGGAUGUGCGUAGACUACACUGGUCUAAACAAAGCAUGUCCAAAGGUUCCCUACCCUAUGCCCUGCAUCGAUCAAAUUGUGGACUCCACCGCUGGGUGUGAAACCCUGAAAGGGAAAUGUGCCCUUGGGCCAUUUCUAUAAGAUUUAGGUGAUUAAGUGCUCCACACAAAAAUGCUUUGAGUAAUAUUUGUGUCAAAGACUCAAGAAGUGCAAAUCAAGAUUAAAGGUAUGUUUCUGGACUUAGUACAUUGUUUUGAAUACUAAUGUAUCAUGUCUAAGUGCUAGAAACAGGAAAAAUUGUUUUGGAGAAAAGUUGGCUAUGUACAGCCAAAAGGCUGCUCGGUCUGGGUGCACCAGACUGUCCGGUGGUGCACCGGACAGUGUCUGGUGGUGCACUAGACAGUGAUCGGUGUGCCAGGACCAGUCCUGAUGAACAACCUACUCUCGGGUCUCGACGACGGCGUACGACUAUAAAUCACUGGACUGUCCGGUGGUGCACCGGACUGUCCGGUGAGUCGUCUGCGGCGAAGUCGCCGCUCUCGGGAAACAGUCAACAGCGUACGGUUAAAAAUCAUCGGACUAUCCGGUGGUGCACCGGACUGUCCAGUGAGCCAAUGGUCGGCCGCGCCAACGGUCGGCCGCGCAAUCCGCGCGUGAAGCGUGGGCAGCCAACGGUCGGUAGGGGGGCACCGGACUGUCCGGUGUGCACUGGACAGUGUCCGGUGCGCCAACGACUCCAUUUCUGCAAUGGUCGGCUGCGCCAAUUUAGGAAAGCAAUCUGCACCGGACAUUGAACAGUGUGUGUCCGGUGGUGCACCGGACUGUCCGGUGCGCCACCCGACAGAAGGCAAGAAUUGCCUUCCUGGAUUGCUUCCAACGGCUCCUAGCUGCCUUUGGGCUAUAAAAGGCACCCCUAGGCGCAUGAAGGAGUACAUCAAGCACACUUUGAACGUUCUAAGACCCCCACACUCCAUCUUCACACAUUCGAUUGACAUUCUUAGUGAUUUGAGCUCCGUUCUAGUGGUGAACUUGUUGCAUUUCAAUUGAGCUCAAGUCUUGGCUUGUGUGUGUGUGCGUAUUGCUGGGAUUUGUGUGUGUUGCUUCCCUCCCUUACUCUGAUGCUUUCACAUUGAUAUUUGUUGUAAGGGCGAGAUGCUCCAACUUGUGGAGAUUCCUCGCAAACGGGAAAAGUGAUAAGAAAAAGGAACACCGUGGUAUUCAAGUUGAUCAUUGGAUCACUUGAAAGGGGUUGAGUGCAACCCUCGUCCAUUGGGACGCCACAACGUGGAGGUAGACAAGUGUUGUACUUGUUGAACCACGGGAUAACUCACGUGUCUCUUGUGAUUGCUUUUUGUGUGAUUGUUGGUAUUCGCAAGAGCUCGAUUUAUAGUCACUUGGAAUUAUCUCUCUAACACUCAACCAAGUUUUGUGGCUAUAAGUUUUAAGUUUUUACACGAUCACCUAUUCACCCCCCUCUAGGUGCUCUCAAUUGGUAUCAGAGCCAUUCUCUUCAAGGGACUAAUCGCCCGAAGGGAUGGAUCCUAAGGGAAAGGGGAUGGUGAUCAACGACAAGGAGAAGGAGUCCUUCCUCAAUGAGCCAAAAUACGACAAGCCCACUGACUCGGGCUCAAGUCACAAGAAGGAUGGGAAGAAGAAGAGGCGCAUCAAGAAGAUAGUCUACUACGACAACGACGAAUCCUCUUCUUCCCAAAGAGACGAUGACUACGACGAGAAAAAGAAAACGAUCAACUCAAACUUUUCUUUUGAUUAUUCUCGUAUUCCGCAUAAUUCUAAUGCUCAUUUGCUUUCCAUUCCUCUUGGUAAACCUCCACACUUUGAUGGAGAGGACUACGGAUUUUGGAGUCACAAAAUGCGUAGCCAUUUGUUCUCUCUUCAUCCAAGUAUAUGGGAGAUAGUAGAGAAUGGAAUGCAAUUUGAUAGUACGGAUAAUCCCAUGUUUAUCAAUGAACAAAUUCACAAAAAUGCACAAGCUACCACUGUUCUUUUAGCAUCCUUGUGCAGGGAAGAGUACCAUAAGGUGAGUGACUUGGAUAACGCCAAGCAGAUUUGGGACACCCUCAAGAUCUCGCAUGAGGGGAACGACGUUACUAUGAUCACCAAGAUGGAGUUGGUGGAGGGCAAACUGGGAAGGUUCGCAAUGAUCAGGGGGAGGAGCCAACUCAAACGUACAACAGGCUCAAGACCCUGGUCAACAAAAUAAGGAGCUAUGGAAGCACGAGAUGGACGGACCACGACGUCGUCCAGCUUAUGCUAAGGUCCUUUACUGUCCUUGAUCCUCAUCUUGUAAACUCUAUUCGUGAAAAAUCCUAGGUAUACCAAGAUGAUGCCUGAGGAAAUACUUGGGAAGUUUGUAAGCGGGCGAAUGAUGAUCAAGGAGGCGAGAUAUGUUGAUGAGGCGCUAAAUGGCCCAAUGCCGAUCCACGAGCCUCAAACCGUUGCUCUCAAAGCAACAAGUAGCAGGGAGGCGCUACCUAUCAAGGUGGCGCAAGUUGAGGCGGCCGGGCUUAACGAGGAAGAAAUGACCCUCAUCAUCAAGCGCUUCAAAACGGCGCUAAAAGGUUGCAAGGAGCAUCCCAACAAGAGCAAGAUGAAGGGAAAGCGCUCCUGCUUCAAGUGUGGUAAGUAUGGUCCUUUUAUAGCAAAUUGUCCCGACAAUACUAAUGACCAGGAACAAGAGAAAAGCGGGAAGAAGGAAAAGAAGAAGGCCUACAAGAAGGCGAAGGGCGAGGCACACCUCGGCAAAGAGUGGGACUCAGAUUGUUCGUCGUCCGACUCCGACGACGAAGGACUCGCUGCCUCGGCCUUCAACAAGUCAUCGCUCUUCCCCAACGAGCGCCAUACUUGUCUAAUGGCAAAGGAAAAGAAGGUAAACACUAGAGAAACUCCUAAGUACUCUACUUCUAGUGAUGAGGACUCUAGUGAUGAUGAAAUUGACUACACUAGCUUGUUCAAAGGAUUAGAUAGAGCCAAGGUAGAAAAGAUCAAUGAGCUGAUUGAUGCAUUGAAUGAAAAAGAUAGACUGCUAGAGAGGCAAGAAGACAUCUUGUAUGAGGAACAUGACAAAUUUGUUAAUGUUCAAAAGUCUCUUGCCUUAGAGAUUAAAAGGAAUGAAUUAUUAUCUUCUGAAUUAUCUAUUUGCAAUGAAUCUAUUUCUAGCCUGAAGAUUUUGAAUGAUGAUUUAAAUGCUAAGCUAGAAGUAGCAAAUAAAUCUAGUUCUUGUGUAGAGCAUGUUGUGAUUUGCAAUAGGUGUAAGGAUCUUAAUGUUGAUGCUUGUAGUGAACAUUUAAUUUCUAUUUCUAAAUUAAAUGAUGAAGUAGCUAGUCUUAAUGCCCAACUUAAGACUAGCAAAAAUGAUUUUGAUAAACUAAAAUUUGCAAGGGAUGCCUACACUGUUGGUAAACAUCCCUCAAUUAAGGAUGGGCUUGGCUUUCGAAGGGAAGCGAAGAACUUAACAAGUCAAAAGGCUCCCAUUCCCAACAAGGAGAAAGGGAAGGCCCCUAUGGCUAGUAGGAGUUAAAAGAAUCAUGCUUUCAUGUAUCAUGAUAGAAAAAAUGCUAGGAAUUUUCAUUAUAGUAGGAGUUAUAAUGCUUUUGACUCACAUGCCAUGAUUGCUUCAAGUUCAAACUUUAAUGGUAGAUCUAGGAGGAAUUUUGUGUCUCAUGCUCCUAGGAAAGUGUAUAAUGGAUCUACCACUGUUUUUCAUGCCUGCAACACUGAUUUUGUACUUUCAUGUAAAAAUAAGAAAGUGGUUGCUAAGAAAUUGGGGGCAAAAUGCAAGGGAAAUAAAACUUGCAUUUGGGUCCCUAAGGCUAUUGUAACUAACCUUGUAGGACCCAAAAAGAGUUGGGUACCUAAAACCCAAGCCUAAUUUGCCUUGCAGGUUUAUGCAUCCGGGGGCUCAAGCUGGAUUAUCGACAGCGGAUGCACAAACCACAUGACGGGGGAGAAGAAGAUGUUCACCUCCUACGUCAAGAACAAAGAUUCCCAAGACUCAAUCAUAUUCGGUGACAGGAAUCAAGGCAAGGUUAAAGGACUAGGAAAGAUAGCUAUUUCAUCCGAGCAUUCCAUUUCUAAUGUGUUUUUAGUAGAAUCGCUCGGGUAUAACUUGUUGUCCGUUAGUCAAUUAUGUAAUAUGGGUUACAAUUGCUUAUUUACAAAUGUAGAUGUGUCUGUCUUUAGAAGGAGUGAUGGUUCAUUAGCCUUUAAGGGUGUACUAGACGGCAAACUCUAUUUAGUUGAUUUUUCGAAGGAGGAGGCCGGUCUAGAUGCAUGUUUAAUUGCUAAGACUAGCAUGGGCUGGCUGUGGCAUCGCCGUCUAGCACAUGUUGGGAUGAAGAACCUUCACAAACUUCUGAAGGGAGAACAUGUGUUAGGUCUAACAAAUGUGUAUUUCGAAAAAGAUAGACCUUGUGCAGCUUGUCAAGCAGGUAAACAGGUGGGAAGCGCUCAUCACAACAAGAAUGUGAUGACUACAUCAAGACCUCUGGAGCUACUGCAUAUGGACCUCUUCGAACCCGUCGCCUACCUUAGCAUCGGGAGAAGUAAGUAUGGUCUUGUUGUUGUUGAUGAUUUUUCCCGCUUGACUUGGGUAUUCUUUUUGUAGGAUAAAUCAGAAACCCAAGGGACCCUCAGGCGCUUUCUAAGGCGAGCUCAAAACGAAUUUGAGCUCAAGGUGAAAAAGAUUAGAAGCGACAACGGGUCCGAGUUCAAGAACCUGCAAGUGGAGGAGUUUCUUGAGGAGGAAGGAAUCAAGCACGAGUUCUCCGAUCCCUACACACCACAGCAAAACGGUGUGGUAGAGAGGAAGAACAGGACACUUAUAGACAUGGCAAGGACGAUGCUUGGAGAAUUCAAGACGCCCGAGCGGUUUUGGUCGGAAGCUGUGAACACAGCUUGCCACGCCAUAAACUGGGUCUACCUUCAUCGCCUCCUCAAGAAGACGUCGUACGAACUACUAACCGGUAACAAACCCAACGUUUCAUAUUUUUGAGUUUUUGGGAGUAAAUGCUACAUUCUAGUGAAGAAAGGUAGGAAUUCAAAAUUUGCUCCCAAAGCUGUAGAAGGGUUUUUGUUAGGUUAUGACUCAAAUACAAAGGCGUAUAGAGUCUUCAACAAAUCAUCGGGUUUGGUUGAAGUCUCUAGCGACGUUGUAUUUGAUGAAACUAAUGGCUCUCCGAGAGAGCAAGUUGAUCUUGAUGAUGUAGAUGAAGAUGAUGGUCCAAUGGACGCGAUUCGCACCAUGACAAUUGGAGAUGUGCGACCACAGGAACACCAAGAGCAAGAUCAACCUUCUUCCUCAACCAUGGUGCAUCCCCCAACUCAAGAUGAUGAACAGGUUCCUCAAGAAGAGGCGUGUGAUCAAGGGGGAGCACAAGAUAUCCAAGAUGAGGAGGAAGAAGCACCACGGGCCCCUCCAACUCAAGUUCGAGUGACGAUUCAAAGGAAUCAUCCCGCCGACCAGAUAUUGGGUGAUAUCAGCAAGGGAGUAACCACUCGCUCUAGAUUAGCUAAUUUUUGUGAGCAUUACUCUUUUGUCUCUUCUAUUGAGCCUUUCAGGGUAGAAGAGGCCUUGCUAGAUCCGGACUGGGUGUUGGCCAUGCAGGAAGAGCUCAACAACUUCAAGCGAAAUGAAGUUUGGACACUGAUGCCAUGUCCCAAGCAAAACAUUGUGGAAACCAAGUGGGUGUUCCACAACAAACAGGACGAGCAUGGGGUGGUGACAAGGAACAAGGCUCGACUUGUGGCAAAAGGUAAUGCCCAAGUCGCAGGUUCGGACUUUGAGGAGACUUUUGCUCCUGUGGCUAGGCUAGAAUUGAUUCGUAUUUUGUUAGCCUAUGCCGCUCACCAUUCUUUCAGGUUGUUUCAAAUGGACGUGAAGAGCGCUUUCCUCAACGGGCCAAUCAAGGAGGAGGUAUACGUGGAGCAACCCCCUGGCUUUGAGGAUGAACGGUACCCCGACCACGUGUGUAAGCUCUCUAAGGCGAUCUAUGGACUUAAGCAAGCCCCAAGAGCAUGGUAUGAAUGCCUUAGAGAUUUUUUAAUUGCUAACGAUUUUAAGGUUGGGAAAGCCGAUCCAACUCUUUUUACUAAGACUUGUGAUGGUGAUCUUUUUGUGUGCCAAAUUUAUGUUGAUGACAUAAUAUUUGGUUCUACUAACCAAAAGUCUUGUGAAGAGUUUAGCAGGGUGAUGACUCAGAAAUUCGAGAUGUCGAUGAUGGGCAAGUUGAACUACUUCCUUGGGUUCCAAGUGAAGCAACUCAAGGACGACACCUUCAUCUCUCAAACAAAGUACACGCAAGACUUGCUCAAGCGGUUUGGGAUGAAGGACGCCAAGCCCGCAAAGACUCCAAUGGGAACCGACGGACAUGUCGACCUCAACAAAGGAGGUAAGUCCGUCGAUCAAAAGGCAUACCGGUCUAUGAUAGGGUCUUUACAUUAUUUAUGUGCUAGUAGACCGGAUAUUAUGCUUAGCAUAUGCAUGUGUGCUAGAUUUCAAUCCGAUCCAAGGGAGUGUCACCUUGUGGCCGUUAAGCGAAUUCAUAGAUAUUUAGUUGCUACGCCUUGCUUCGGGAUCUGGUAUCCAAAGGGGUAUAUCUUUGACUUAAUUGGAUACUCAGACUCUGACUAUGCUGGAUGUAAGGUUGAUAGGAAGAGUACAUCAGGGACGUGCCAAUUCCUAGGAAGGUCCCUGGUGUCCUGGAGUUCUAAGAAACAAACUUCCGUUGCCCUAUCCACCGCUGAAGCCGAGUAUGUUGCAGCAGGACAGUGUUGCGCACAACUACUUUGGAUGAGGCAAACCCUCCGGAACUUUGGCUACAAUCUGAGCAAAGUCCCACUCCUAUGUGACAAUGAGAGUGCAAUCCGCAUGGCGGACAAUCGUGUUGAACACAGCCGCACGAAGCACAUAGACAUCCGACAUCACUUUUUGAGAGACCACCAGCAAAAGGGAGAUAUCGAAGUGUUUUAUGUUAGCACCGAGAACCAGUUAGCCGAUAUCUUUACCAAGCCUUUAGAUGAGAAGACCUUUUGCAGGCUGCGUAGUGAGCUAAAUGUCUUAGAUUCGCGUAACUUGGAUUGAUAUAGAGCAUACAUGUGUUUUAUGCCUUUGAUCAUGUUCCAUUAUGCAUUUUAUUGCUUAUUUAUGGUGCUCAAGUUGUGCAAGGGAUCCCCGGACCUCACAAGUCUAUGUGUGAAUGAUGCACAUACUUAGGGGGAGAAAUGCUAUAACUUGACCCUUUGAGACUAACCGUGUGCUUGAGUUUUCUUAAUUUAGUCUCAAAGGAGGAUUGAAAUGGAAAAGGUGAACUUGGACCAUGCAAGACUUCCACUGCACUCCGAUGAGAGGGUAAUUUACUCCAAGUUCAUCUUCGUGCUCUUAUUGCCUUUCUACUCUUAAUUGAAGAUUUUGGUGAGGCAAUGAGGUUUAAGGGCCAAAAAUGAUCCCGUUUUGGUGCUUGAUGCCAAAGGGGGAGAAAUUAAGGCCAAAGCAAGAAAUGGAUCAGCUACCACUUGAGAAUUUUGAAAAUGGUAGAGUUAGAGCUUUUGUUUUAUCAAAAUAUUCUUAUGGUCUCUUAUUGUCAAAAGUUGGUCUGUUGUGGGGGAAUGUUUGAUUAUGGGAAAAGGGGGAGUUUUUGAAUCUUUGAUCAAUUUCUCUUGGAAUACCUCUCUCUAUGCCUCAACAAGUGAAUUUGACUUAGAGAUAGGAAUUUGAGUUUGAUUUGCAAAAACAAACCAAGUGGUGGCAAAGAAUGAUCUAAAUAUGUCAAAUUUGAAUCAAAAACAAAUUUUUGUUCUCAUUUGCAUUGAUGUUGCACUUCUUUAGUUGCUUUUUGUUGUGUUGGCAUAAAUCACCAAAAAGGGGGAGAUUGAGAGGGAAAUGUGCCCUUGGGCCAUUUCUAUAAGAUUUUGGUGAUUAAGUGCUCCACACAAAAAUGCUUUGAGUAAUAUUUGUGUCAAAGACUCAAGAAGUGCAAAUCAAGAUUAAAGGUAUGUUUCCGGACUUAGUACAUUGUUUUGAAGACUAAUGUAUCAUGUCUAAGUGCUAGAAACAGGAAAAAUCGUUUUGGAGAAAAGUUAGCUAUGUACAGCCAAAAGGCUGCUCGGUCUAGGUGCACCGAACAGUGUCCGGUGUGCCAGGACCAGUCCCGAUGAACAGCCUACUCUCGGGUCUCGAUGGCGGCGUACGGCUAUAAAUCACCGGACUGUUCGGUGGUGCACCGGACUGUCCGGUGAGUCGUCUGCGAUGAAGUCGCCGCUCUCGGGAAACAGUCAACAGCGUACGACUAAAAAUCACUGGACUGUUCGGUGGUGCACCGGACUGUCCGGUGAGCCAACGGUCGGCCGCGCAAUCCGCGCUGCAGCGUGGGCGCGCCAACGGUCGGCAGGGGGGCACCGGACUGUCCGGUGUGCACCGGACAAUGUUCGGUGCGGCAACGGCUCCAUUUCUGCAACGGUUGGCUGCGCCAAUUUAGGAAAGCAAUAUGCACCGGACAUUGAACAGUGGGUGUCCGGUGGUGCACCGGACUGUCCGGUGCGCCACCCGACAGAAGGCAAUAAUUGCCUUCCUAGAUUGCUUCCAACGACUCCUAGCUGCCUUGGGGCUAUAAAAGGGACCCCUAGGCGCAUGAAAGAGUACAUCAAGCAUACUUUGAACAUUCUAAGACUCCCACACUCCAUCUUCACACAUUCGAUUGACAUUCUUAGUGAUUUGAGCUCCGUUCUAGUGGUGAACUUGUUGCAUUUCAAUUGAGCUCAAGUCUUGGCUUGUGUGUGUGUGCGUAUUGCUGGGAUUUGUGUGUGUUGCUUCCCUCCCUUACUCUGGUGCUUUCACAUUGAUAUUUGUUGUAAGGGCGAGAGGCUCCAACUUGUGGAGAUUCCUCGCAAACGGGAAAAGUGAUAAGAAAAAGGAACACCGUGGUAUUCAAGUUGAUCAUUGGAUCACUUGAAAGGGGUUGAGUGCAACCCUCGUCCAUUGGGACGCCACAACGUGGAGGUAGACAAGUGUUGCACUUGUUGAACCACGGGAUAACUCACGUGUCUCUUGUGAUUGCUUUUUGUGUGAUUGUUGGUAUUCGCAAGAGCUCGAUUUAUAGUCACUUGGAAUUAUCUCUCUAACACUUAACCAAGUUUUGUGGCUAUAAGUUUUAAGUUUUUACAGGAUCACCUAUUCACCCCCCCCUCUAGGUGCUCUCAAACCCUGUCAUUCCUCGACGCCUAUUCAGGCUAUCACCAAAUCAAGAUGAAAGAAUCCGACCAGCUCGCAACUUCUUUUAUCACACCUUUUGGCAUGUAUUGUUAUACUACUAUGCCAUUUGGCUUGAGGAAUGCAGGUGCAACCUACCAGAGGUGCAUGAACCAUGUGUUCGGAGAACACAUCGGCAGGACGGUCGAGGCUUACGUUGAUGACAUCGUCGUCAAAACAAGGAAAGCCUCCGACCUCCUCUCUGACCUUGAGGUAACAUUCAGUUGCCUAAAAGCGAAGAGCGUAAAACUCAAUCCUGAGAAGUGUGUCUUCGGAGCCCCCUGAGGCAUGCUCUUAGGGUUCAUCGUCUCCGAACGAGGCAUCGAAGCCAACCCAGAGAAAAUCACGACCAUCACCAACAUGGGGCCAAUCAAAGAUUUGAAAGGAGUACAAAGGGUCAUGGGAUGCCUUGCGGCUCUGAGCCGCUUCAUCUCGCGCCUCUGCGAGAAGGGAUUGCCCUUGUACCGCCUCUUAAGGAAGGCCGAGCGCUUCACUUGGACCCCUGAUGCCGAGGAAGCCCUCGGAAACUUAAAGGCGCUCCUUACAAAUGCGCCCAUCUUGGUGCCCCAGCUGCGGAAGAAGCCCUCUUGAUUUACGUCGCCGCAACCACUCAGGUGGUCAGCGCUGCGGUCGUAGUCGAGAGACGAGAAGAAGGGCACGCACUACUCGUCCAGUGGCCAGUCUACUUCAUCAGCGAAGUGCUAUCCGAGACCAAAGUCCGCUACCCGCAAAUCCAGAAGCUGCUCUACACAGUGAUUCUGACACGGCGGAAGCGGCGACACUACUUCGAGUCUCAUCCGGUUACUGUGGUGUCAUCUUUCCCCCUGGGAGAAAUCAUCCAGAGAUGAGAGGCCUCGAGUAGGAUAGCGAAAUGGGCAGUGGAACUCAUGGGCGAAACACUUUCAUUUGCCCCUCGGAAGGCCAUAAAAUCCCAAGUCUUGGCCGACUUCCUGGCUGAAUGGACUGACACCCAGUUGCCGAUGGCUCCAAUACAGCCCGAACUUUGGACCAUGUACUUCAAUGGGUCGCUUAUGAAAACAGGAGCAGGUGCUGGCUUGCUCUUCGUUUCACCCCUCGGGAAACAUGUGCGCUACGUACUGCGCCUCCAUUUUCCGGCGUCAAACAACAUGGCCGAGUACGAGGCCUUGGUUAAUGGCCUACACAUCACCGUCGAGCUAGGGGUUCGGCGCCUCGACGCUCGUGGCGACUCGCAGCUCGUCAUUGACCAGGUCAUGAAGAACUCCCACAACCGCGACCAAAAAAUGGAGGCCAACUGCGACGAAGUUUGGCGCUUGGAAGAUAAGUUCUACGGGCUGGAACUCAACCAUGUUGCUCGACGGUACAACGAAACCACAGAUGAGCUGGCGAAAAUAGCCUCGGGGCGAACGACGGUUCCCCCGGACGUCUUCUCCAAGGAUAUAUAUCAGCCAUCCGUCAAAAUGGACGACGCGCCCGAGCCUGAGGAGGCCUCGGCCCGGCCCGAGGUACCCUUGGCCGCCGAGGGUGAGGCCCUGCGCAUUGAGGGGGAGCGGAAUAGGGUCACACCGGUUCCAAACUGGCAGACCUCGUACCAGGAAUAUCUCCUCCGAGGAGAGCUGCCCCUCGACAAGGCCGAAGCUCAGCACGCCAAGUCGUUCGUUUUACUGGGUGAUGAAAAGGAGCUGUACCACCGCAGCCCCUCGGGCAUUCUCCAACGAUGCAUAUCCAUUGCCCAAGGACAAGAGCUGUUACAAGAAAUACACUCGGGGGCUUGUGGUCACCAUGCAGCACCUCGAGCCCUCGUGGGAAACGCUUUCCGACAAAGUUUCUACUGGCCGACCGCGGUGGCCGACGCCACUAGGAUUGUACACUCCUGCCGAGGGUCUCAAUUCUACGCGAGACAGACGCACCUGCUUCAAGCCCUACAGUAAAUACCCAUCACUUGGUCGUUUGUCGUGUGGGGUCUGGACCUCGUCGGUCCCUUGCAGAAGGCACCCGGGGGCUUCUCGCACCUGCUGGUCGCCAUCGACAAAUUCUCCAAGUGGAUCGAAGUCCGACCCUUAACCAGCAUCAGGUCCGAGCAGGCGGUGGUGUUCUUCACAAAUAUCAUCCAUCGCUUUGGGGUCCCAAACUCAAUCAUCACCGACAAUGGCACACAGUUCACUAGGAAAAAGUUCCUAGACUUCUGCGAGGACCACCACAUCCGUGUGGACUGGGCUGCCGUAGCGCACCCAAUGACAAAUGGGCAGGUGGAACGCGCCAAUGGUAUGAUUUUGCAGGUACUAAAGCCGAGGAUCUACAAUGAGCUCAACAAGUUCGGCAAGCGGUGGAUAAAAGAGCUACCCUCUGUGGUUUGGAGUCUGAGGACGACGCCGAGCUGGGCCACGGGCUUCACGCCGUUUUUCCUAGUCUAUGGGGCCGAGGCUAUCUUACCCACGGACUUGGAAUACGGUUCACUGAGGACAAAGGCUUACAACGACCAAAGCAACCAGACCAGUCGAGAGGAUUCAUUGGACCAGCUGGAAGAGGCUCGGAACGUGGCCAUACUACACUCGGCGCGGUAUCUACAGUCCCUGCGAUGCUACCACGCCCGAAGGAUUCGGCCCCGACACUUCCAAGUGGGAGACUUGGUACUUCAGCUGCGACAAGACACCCGAGGGCGCCACAAACUUACCCCUCCCUGGGAAAGGCCCUUCAUCAUCGCCAAGAUUUUGAAGCCCAGGACAUACAAGCUGGCCAACGACCAAGGCGAGGUCUACAACAACGCUUGGAACAUCGAACAACUACGUUGCUUUUACCCUUAAAAUGUUUUAAUUCGUUCAUGUAUCUCGCUUUCUUUACAUGCAUAAAUAAAGUCUAACCAUCAAGGAAAGAUCGGCCUUGCCUCGGCAAAGCCCGACCCUCCCUCGGGGGCUAGAAGGGGGAACCCCCUUUGCGUCAAAUUUUUCCUCGGAAAAGUCUUUUGCCAGAACGUCUUUCGUGCAUUUCGACUGCGUCAAUAACAGAAUCCUAAAGACGAGCAAGACAGACCGUAAGCGGCAAGGCCGACCGAGCCGAGGGACUCCUAUGCCUCCGGGAUACGGAUACCUCACUCAUCAUCUUCCGCGAAAAGGUAGCUCACGCUCGGAUAAGCGAUUCUGUUACCGAACAAGUCCUAACUCACGAAACAAGCGGAAAGAAAACGUAGCUUUAUAAUCCGACAAUAAUGUUUAGGCCUCAGCGGCCGCAAAAAACAUACGCAUACUUCAAGCAAACUGUUCCUGCUGGCUCAGACAUCGACAGGGGGAGGAGCAGCACGCUCGGCGUCAUCUCCACCCUCGGCAGAAUCUGGCCUGGUCUCAGACGGCGACUCGGGCGGAAGGAUCUCCACCUCAAAGGAGGAAGCCAACGCCGCACUUGGGCCCUCGACAGCCGCGUCAAGCCUCUGGACCUCGGCUAAGGCAGCCUCCUCUUUGUCGGGUAAGCAGUACCCCUCGCUGACCCGCUCCAGAUCCACGUUGUAGUGGGAAGCGAGCACGGCGAAGGCCCGCCUAACGCCGUGGUGCAGUGCCCCACGGAGUCUAUUGCGCACAUGGCCGCCCAAGGCCACAGAUGACUCUGGGGGGAGCUACCCGAGGGGACACCAUCGAGGCCAAAGGCCUGGCAGAAAGCCGAGACAGCCUCGGACAGGGCCACACGCUCGGCCUCCUUCCGCUCAGCCGCCUCGGCAAGCGCCUUGCAGUUCUUGAUGGACUCGUUAAGAGCCGUCUCGAACCCUGCAGGAAGCAGGGCAACAUUCUUCAGACGCAAGGAGAAGAAUGGAGACAAAAACAAAGUCACGGAGCGGGCAAAACAUACCCUCCGCCCGGGCACACUACUGUGAGGCCAUGGCUCGGGUAGACCCGACGACCACGGCCAGACCCUCCGCAAGGGUCCCGGCCCGAGCGGUCGCCUCGGGUCUAGAAAGGGGGGAACCCCCUCUGCGUCAAACUUUCCUCAGAAAAGUUUCCCAUCAAAACGACUUUCGUGCCUUUCGACUGCGUCGAUAACGGAAUCCUAAUGAUGAGCGAGAGAGACCUUGAACGGCAAGGCCGACCGAGCCGAGGGACUCCUACGCCUCUGGGAUACGGAUACCUCACUCGUCACCUUCCGCGAAGGGCAGCUCACGCUCGGAUAAGUGAUUCUGCUACCGACGAACAAGUCCUAAUGCUCGAAACAAGAGGAAAGAAGCAUGGCUUUAUACCCAAAUGUUCAGGCCUCAGCAGCCACAAAGAACAAACACACGUGCUUGGGGUAACAAUUGUACCUAGACUUCGACGUCGGCAGCGCCCUCGACGGUUUUCCCGACCUACGGCAGAUGUCUUAGUACUUAAAACUAUUACAUCUUGCCCUCAAUAAGUUACCAUUACAAACGGGACUCCGAGUCCAUUCCCGCAGGAAUGAACAACCUCCACACCAGAAGGCCUGCGGGAUAACGAGCUCCAAGCGGCCCGCCAGCGACCACCGCACCAGCAGCGCGACAACGACCUCCGCCUCGGGCGGCUAGACAGCAGCAGCGAUGGCCUCAGGGCAAACACUACUGUUGAAAGGCCCUCGUUCACGUCCCCUCACGAGGGACGAGAACCAGCCAUUAAAGCCAAAGAGCCGGAGGUCCGGAGCGCAGGUGGCACUAACGGUCUCGUCGGUGGAGGCGACCGCUGCGGUGGGAAGCCUCACCAGCGGCGGCCACCACUUCAGCAUUGGUGGCAGCAGCCACCUACACACGACAUGACCAUCGCCCAGGUGGAGGACGGACAGCUACACCCUGACCAGGCAGCAGCAGUUCGCCUUCCCCCGCAUGGCUGGAGGACGCCUCCUCCGCAGGGCUGGAGGAUGCCCUUCUCCCCCGAAUGCUGGAGGAAGAAGAGGGUCACCGGCCCACGCGGGAGGCAGGACCCCACUCGACGCGCCCUCCUCCUCAGCCCAGAUGAUGAACAUCCUUGAAGCUGAGGGCGGGGCAGAGGCCACGGCCCGACUCUCUAUUCCCCGCCACGAGGCCUACGGUCAUCAUCCUGGGUUACCGCCGGUGGGGGAAUGCAGCCGGGCUGCAUGAUGAGAAUCCUUGAAGCCGAGCGACGACUGAAGAGCACCAACCCCCACGAGGUCGCGCUUCUCAAACAGCAGCAAAAAGAAGGCAACACAGGUGCACCCCAUCUGGGGGCUCAAAAGGCGAAAAGGCGCGAUGGGUGCGAGGAGUGUGAAGGCAUGGCUACCGCCCAGGGGGUCGAUCCCUUUUUAAAGGCAGAUCUCCUCACUCGCACCCCAAGCGUCACGGGCAAAGUCUCCACCGACGUGCUCUAGGGUUCCCACCCCACGACACGGGGGCUGGGUCCCACACGUCAUGCGAGCUGACCCGAAACGCGAAGAAGGAAAACCGCCGCAUGCGAAGCAUGUAACUGCCCUGCGGUUAUAAGCGUUCCAUCAUCCUCGCCGAAACCAGCGGUCGAAAGGGCGAGCCGCCAUGCAGGGAGCAUGCAACCGCACCAUGGUUGUGCACCCUUUCGGCUUCGUCGCAUCCGGUGGUCCAGCACGAAGGCCUGGUCCCACAUGUCAUGUAACCGGCGCGCCGGUCACUGCGUGCAAGGAAACCGCACCGCCGCUUACGCCAAUGCUGCGUCUUCUCGACUGCGGAACUAGCGCAGCGGCUCAAGGCAGCCCUACGCGUGACCCAACAGUGCCCAUUAAGUGCAGUGAUCAUGGGUCACUCAGCCGCGGAGAUAGGCACGACAGUCGAUAUGAUCAGAGGCGGGCCGGCAGUAAUUGCAGCAACAGGCGUGCAGAAGCAGCGAUCCAAUCACCUACAAGUUUGCACCCUCUCCCACAGCAUAAAAAUGAUGCACUCGUGUUCUGCUCCUCAAACGGCUCGCGCACGCGCAACAGACGCCCCGCGAAUCGCCCGUCCCGUCGCAUUAACUCCUUGCAGGGCAAGCGACACCUCCGGCAGGCGAAGCGGGCGCCGUUUCGUCUCCGUCAUGAUAACCACGUCAUAAAAGGUGUGCCACCUUAUUUAAAUUUAUAUCCUUUUCCUUUUCCUCUCUCUCUCUCUCUUGCCACAGGGACCGGGAAAGGGGAUAUUGCGAAAAGGAUCCUUCUCGGCGAAGGAAACGGGCCCCGAGCCCUCCUACUGAUCAGGGGUUCGAAGGUUGCGCCCUUCGGGGUUCGGCAACCGCCCCAGAGCACUCGGGCUCUGAGCCCUUUACUGAUCAGGGGUUCGAAGGCUGGCCCCUCGGAAGGGUUCGACAGCCGCCCCAGAGCACGUAGAGUCAGGGAUGACCCUGGGUACUGUAACGCCCUGAAUUUGGGGGUAGAUUUUUUUCUUCUUUUCUCUCACCAAAUUCGGGCGUUACUCUCUUUUCUCUUCCUGUUUCGCUCCUUCUUCCUAAUUUCAAACCAGUAUAGUGACAGGUGUCCGUGUCGUGUAUGAACAAAACCUAAGUGUCAUGGGUGUUGCAUCACGCCGAAGCACAUUUCCUUGUCUGAUGUUGCGUGUUCGUCUCGUUCCGUCUCGGUUUCGGUUCGCGAUUGGAGCCCGUUUGAGGGUCGUCCGUGUCGUAGGUUUUGAUCCGCGAAGUGGCUCGGCCCAACCCAACCCAACCCAACUCAGCCCAGCCCGGCCCAGUCCGGCCCGGCUCGGCCCUGCGCGCCCCUGGCGCCCCACACCCCCCAUGCGCCCCCUCCUCUCCUCCCUCUCUCAUUUGGAUUUCCCGCGUAGCAACCUCCCUCUCCCUCUUCCACCUCUCUCUCCCCGUGGUGCCCUAGGUUUUGGAGACGGUGAUCGCCGGAGUUGGAUCCCGAGGUGAGCUCCCCUCCCCUCCCUUCUCCUCUCUCUCUCCCUCUCCCUCCUCUUCUCCCCCUGGGCGCGCCCUCUCUUCCUCCCCUGCGCGCGCGCCCCUGCCCUCCCUGCUCGCCGGCGGCGCGGCCCCGCCCCCCUGCUCGCGCGGCCCCCGCCCCCUCCCCUGCCCGCGCGGCGCCGCCCCCGCACCCUGCUCACGCGGCGGUGCCCCCGCCCCUCCCCUGCCCGCGGCACGCGGUGUGACACCCCAGGUGUCUAUUUCGGGUUAUGUCGAAAGAUUUAUCCUAAUCUCGGAUGCUCAGUGAAAAUUUCUAUUUCUCGAUCGUGCCUAUCUCUGUUUAUCAGGCUUUCUCUUGGAAGUUCACCGAAUUCAGAGUUAAUUGAUCGGGAAAACAACCAAUUUUGGAGCGUGUUAAAACUUUUAUUUCUCGGAACUAAUGCAGACUCGAAGAUCAUUCUCGAAUCAUAAAUCUCAUCUGAAGCUCUUUAAAUCAAACUCUCGACGACUAUUAUUUGAUCUGAGCCCGAGUCUAAUUUUUUUCGAACCAUUGAUCUAUGUUCGACUAUUUUAUUCGGAUCCAUACUCUCAAACAGAAUACUCAAUAUGUCGUCCUCUAAUCAUUUUUAUCCGAUUCGGCCAAUUAUCUUAUGUCCGAACCAAAUUCACAACCCGCAUCGACAGUGCUUUUAAAAAUGUCACGAUUCGCCUUCUUCGACUAAAAAUCCAAAGCCAAUCAAAAGUUUGAGAAAAAUAUUUGUUUCUAAAAUAGUGCGUGAGAAAAUUUCAAAGCAGAAUCUCCAAUGUGUUGCCCUCAAAUAAAUUCUUAUCCGACUCGGCUUAAUACCUCUGUGUUCGAUCCGAAUUCAAAAAUAAACAUCGGCGAAGAUUUUUAAAUGUCGCAAUUUGUCUCUUUCAAUCAUAGAUCCAAAAGCUAGUCAGUCUCAAGUCAUUUUGAUUUCCUAAUCGUACGCGGACGAAUUUUCCGAGCGACACUGAAAAAUUAAAUUCUUGGCCUAACUAUUUUUUUUGUUCUCUUUCCUCAUACUCUCGUUUGUCAGACGCCGGUUCUCUCUGUUCUCCACAUCGGCAAAUCCCGCGGGAGAUUUUUCUCCCUUUAAAUAGUUUACUUAGCCUAGAAGGAACCCCUUGCUUCUCCUCUAAGCAACAUAUUUUGCUUCUCAUCUAAGCAACCUUUGCUUCAUUCCUAAGCAACCUUUGCUUCUCUUGUAAGCAACCACUUGCUUCACUCCUAAGCAAGCAAACCAGCCCCUUUCCUCUUCUAUAAAUCCCACGCCACCUCCCCAACCAGCCACUUCCUCUCCCUCUCCCCACGCCACUCUCCCUACUCCCUUCCUCCCUCUCUCUCUAUCUCUCUCUCUCUAGCUCCCCAUGCAGCUGGCGACCAAGCCCUCCCAUGCUCCUCCCUCACCUUGGAAGCUCUCCCAUGGCGUCUCCCCCUCCUCUACGGCAGCAAGGUGUAGGUGAGCUCCGGGUCAAGAACUUGUGUGCUGAAAUUUCAGAAUCUUGCACUUUCUUCUAAAAUCUAUAACUUGAGUUUGAAAGCUCCUAAAAUAGUAAGACUUGUUUUGUUAGCUUUCAUAUGGAAUGUCCUACCUAUUAGAUCUAUAAUAUGACCUGUUUUAGUAGACGUUUUUGUCUGUGCAAAUUAAAUCUUAAAGAGAGGUUUAGAGAAUAAACGAACUUGCUUCUCUCCAUAGUUUUCAUUAAAAAAAUCCAAAAAUGAUCAAACUUGUUUUGUUAGUUAGAUGUUGUCAUACUCCAUCUAAGAAAAAUAUAAAACUUAUAUGUUGUUCACUGUUUUCUUGGUGUGUUAAUUAAAACAAGUUAAAUAGAGAAAAGAAGAUGUAUUUGCUUGUUAUUUUUGGAUCUGUAGCUCUAGUGCUCCAAAUGGGUUGAGAUUUUUACAGUAGACUCUUGGUGUGAUGUUUGGUGACGGGUAAAAAUUUCAUGAAUUGUUGUGCAUGUAUGAUUAGGUUAGUGAUUUAACUUGUUUAAUGCACCUUAAGUAGUUUUAAAUGAUUUAAAAAUAAUGUAUAGAUGCAAAAAUGAAAAAUGGCGUUCCGCUGUUCUUGCAUGAUACUAUAGUAGCCUGAGAAAACUUAAUAUGGUUAUGCAUCCACAGAAAAUAAUUAGUUUUAGAUUUAACUUGCUCUCACAAGCUUUAUUGCAUUAACAAUUUGUUAUUUUUGUAUUAAAUAAAAUAGAAAACCUGCGCAUGUGAAAUUUAUACAUUGGUCAUGAUUUGUUAUUACCUAUGUCUCAAAAAAAAAAUCUCAGCCCCAAAUUAGAUAGUUUCAUAUGGUGCUAAAAUGACACACGUUUUAUAAUAAUAGGAAGAAUUAGAGACAAAUUAGAAGUAAGCAAACCAUGCAUGUUGGAAUGGUUUAUGUCAUGCAAUAAGAAUUGAAAUGUGAAGAAUGGAUAGGGUAUUUAAGAAAUGUUAGCCAAUAGGUUCGGUCAAGCAUGGUAGAGGUUGAAUCAAUUAUGUUGUAGAAUUGAUGCUCAACAUAAUAGACCCCCUAAAAUGUGCUAUUUUAGGUGACUUGUGUGCUAACCAAUUUAAGUUGAGCAAUGGUUAAGAAAAGAUGAUUAAUCUGCUCCAACCCAUGUUUUUGAGUUACAAUGUCUAAAAUGGUUUGCUAAGUUUAUAUUGUGUUAGCCAAAUCAUGUUAAGUAGGAGUCGAUUGCGUUAAGUGAUUGUUAUAUACAUAUUGUGUCUCGGAUUGUGAUGAUAAUGGGUUAGUCAACUUGUUAGAUGACUUGAUUAAGCUCAUAAUCACGGUAAAUUGCUUGUUGUGGUCUAAAUGUGUAUGGUUACAGUCGCGGGUAAAAAAUAGUAGUGCUCAUGUGAUGUCUAAUUUAAAACGCAAAUUGUUGGGUGAUUAUCGUGGAGAAUGUGUUGUUAGUUGGUUGUAGUAAUUUUAGUGCACUAAAUGACUUGAAUAAAAUUUGCAAGUCGACUUGUUGGUUCUAAUUGAUUGUCGUAACUCGAAUAAAUAGUAAAGCGUUAGAGUAAUUCAAGUCUCUCGAACGCCGCGAUUCUUGAAUUAUAUAGGAGCUAAAAUUUAUUGAUUGCUGUUUUGGACUGCACGCACUGUUGUAGUUGUGUUGUAUGCUUGAUGAACUAAAUUGUGUUUUCUGUAGAUAUGUGCUAUAGAAAAGUGGUAGAUAACUUUAUUAUCUUGCUGGUGUUAAAAUUUGACAGCCAUAGGUCUGACAGUUUAGGAGUUAUGCUGUUCACAAAUUCAGUAACUGAAUCUGUCCAAAUUCUAUACAGAUUUUAGAAACUGCAUUGUUUGCUCAAUUUAAUGUUGCAAUCUGUUCAUGGUCGUUAUAAGAAAGUUGUAGUUGCUUUUCUGAUCUUGCUUGUGUUAAAAUUUCACAACCACAUGCCUGAUAGUUUAAGAGUUAUGAAUUUUACAAACUGCUUGCUGUGUUCUGUCCACCGUCAGGACAGAUUUCGAAAACUGUGUUGUUUGAUUUAGUUAAACAUUGAAUCACUUCUUGGUGAUUAUAAAAGUUAUGUGGUGCAAUUGCCAAGCUUUCCAAAAAGUCUUGGAUCACUAUUUUUGGUGGUCUGAAGAUUAAGUUAUGGAUGUUUAAAGUCUGAAGACUGAAUCUGUCCAGUUCUGGACAGCACAGCCUUCAUAGUGUAUUUCACCCUAGAUACAUGUUAAACCAGCCAGUGAUGUUUAUAAAUAAUUUGUAGAACAUUUAAUUAGCUUUCCAGAAAGUCUAAAAUCACUUUGUUUGGAUGUCUGAAUCUUCAGUUGUGAAUUUUUGAAGUUGCAAGCCUGAAUCUGUCCAAAUCUGGACAGAGCUGUUGUGUUUGCACAAUUCGACCUUGCUAAGUGUUUAAUCAGGUUGUGAUGACAAUACCAAAGUUGUAGAGCACUUUUUAAGCUUUCCAGAAAGUCCUAGCUUGAUAUUUUUGGACUAACAAUUGAAGAGUUAUGAUUAAAACAAGCAACUGCUGUAUUGCUGUCCAAAAAUUCUGCUAGUGCUCAUUUGAUUGUUAGUUCACCCGUUUGGCUAAAAAUGUUUGGUUAGCACUUAAAUAAAUGUAGACUUGCCAUGACUAAGCUUAAUAUUGCCUAAGUGUCCUGUUUUAUAUGUUUCUUCUCUACUUGAUUGUGAUAUAGGAGUUCAUAGACAUGAAUGCCUAGGUCCUAUUUAAACUUACGUUGUGUUGGUUGCUCUUGUACGGUCAAUAGAAGAACAAAUGAACGAUUAAGGUGAGCGUAGUAAAUGUGUGUACUUGUGAUGUCGUGGUCAUGUUGCGUAAAUAAAUAAAAUGUUGUCAUCUUUUUAAUGGUGUUAAUGUUGAACGCCGACGACGUGUAGAUAACUAAAGCUAACAUGUAGUUAUCUAUGGUGUCUUCCACUUUAAUGUUUAGUUCGCCACUGUGUCUUUGUAUAUCUUGUGCUAUUUUUGUGCUACUUUCAUUAUAUUCAUACAUAUGCAUCUUGCACCUCAUAUAGGACCGAGAGAUGAUGAUCGAGCUAGUGAUGUGGUGCCAACCACAAGAUGCAGUCGGUGGACGACCCAAGGAAGGAUGGACUUAACCAGUGGAUGCUCGCCAAGCGAGUACCUCCCCAGCAAACACUCUCUAAGUGUUAAAUUAAAGGCAAGCCCCGGUUUUAUGCAUAACCGUUAUAUAUGCUAUUUUACUGCACUUAAUGUUUGUAGGCUUGUACUGUGCACUUAAGUGUAGGAGUUGACUGGAACCUUAGUUGCAUGAACUCAGGAUUCCUAUUGAGAUGAAUACUAGUAUGCUAGGUCGAGUAGCUGCUUUAUUAAAUAGGGAUCUCGAUAGAAGUCGAGUGAUUUUUCUAGCACUCGCGCGAGGUCAGGACAUUGAUUGUACCCACUUUCAUAUCAUACUGAUGUUGGUCUGUGGACACGGAUCCAUGGGGAUGCAUGGUCUACGAGAUGAAAUUGGAAUAAGGAUUAACGUGCGGAUACCUGUGUCAAGCGUUUGAAUGUACUAAACAUAUGCCGAGAAAUAUGGUAAAUCGGCAAGCCUAGUACCUGAGUGAACCUGGCAGUGGACAUAUCCCCUCACGCGUCCUGAGACGAGGUCUCCCAUUCCGGUUAUGGUGGGUACAAGUGCGGUCACUGCACGAUGGCCAGUCGGGGUCAGUGAGGCAUUGUACGCCAAGGCGGUGAGCCCUGAUCUGCUGACGGGGAAUCGAUGGGGACGGUUGAUGUGUGUGGGGACGGAGUGCCCCUACAUGUCGUGUGUUUAGGUUUACCUUGCAAGGAUAAAAACUCGAUUCGAAUCGUCUGCUUCUCGCAGCUAAUGAGACUGCUUGAUCCAUUGUACUGCAUUGAGUAAUAAGUGGAAAUGAGGUGACUGAGAAAAGAUGUUGAUUGGUAAAAAUGUUUGAUACCAUGUAUGAUUAGCUAGGUACACAUCUAGUCUAAAGGAUUCUACUAAAACUUGAAAAGCUAAAACUUGUUUUUAGACUUAGCUAGUGCUUUUGGCAAACCAACCCCCUCAGCCAAAUAGCUGCAUGUCUAGAGGUAGAGGAGUAGACUCCUCACACCGGGUAAGUCUAGCUGAGUAUUAGUAUACCCAGCCUUGCUUGUGGCACAAUUUUUGCAGGUACUCCUUAGGAUGAUUGGUUGAUGGUGCGACUUGGCCUUCAUCCCUGCCACCGGGAUAGAUGGUCGAGUGGGUUACUGCUUCCGCAGGAGAGGACCAGGAGGAGUAGUGUGGCCAGGCUUCGCCAUGUUACUCGGUUCUUCUCCGUUAGUUAUUUCCGCUGCAUCAAAAUUUAUGGUUAUUAUUUCUGAAACUCCGAUAAUGCAAUCACUAUUGAUACUUAUUAAAUUUGUGGUAUUAUGCUUUAUUGUCUUUCUCUGUGCCUCACCUUCGAGUGAGCUAGUGGUAUUCGAUCCUGGAUAAGUGGCUUUAUCGGACUAGAUCCGAGGGACUGACGGGUUAUUCCUGUUUAAGUGUGUUGCUGCCCUUAAGGGUGCGACUUGGGCACUUAAGCUGGAAUAAUUCGGGCGGUUCCGCCACAGCUGAUAUCGGAGCGAAUACCAUCACAGAGAAGUCAAUAAGUCAUGAUUACCAACCUUUUCUAAAAGUAAAACUUGCUAGAAACCCAGGUUGGAUAGAUCGUCAGGACGAUCAGGAUAGACUUAGGACGUGAAGCCUUAGGAAAUAGAUGGGUAGCUAGGUGGCUAGUUAUUUAGGCCAUAAAGGCUACUACUACUAUUAUGAAGGAUGUUAUAGCAAGCAUCCGAAAAAUUAGUUAGGUCUGAGAAGACGACUAGAAUGAGCAUGCAUGCAUCAUGAUUGUCGCAUAAUUGUCUCUUGUGCACUAACAUGCUUCUCUCACCUAUAUUCCAAUAAUAAGAACUUGUGAAUUGUUGGGGACCUUCGGCGUCCGAAGGUCCUCAAAAACAGAAUUUAACAGUAUUUCUGUAGUACAAUAUGUGAACAGGUACCCUCAGACUAAAAUCGGCAUUGCAGCAGACCGGAAUAAUACGAAGCUUGAUACAGAGCCGAAGGUGUUGAGCAGGAAAGCUUCGGCGUAACGGCAGAGAGUGAAACCGACUUAAAGAUGAAAAGGCUAUUCAGACCUCAAUAGAUUACUAUAGAGUUAUUGUCAGAUGUAAAGGGCAUGAAUGUAAUUUUGUAAGGGCUGUGUCCCGUGUCUAUAAAUAGGUGAACAGUAUCCCCGUACUGUUCACGCUGACUUGGCAUUCGCUUUUUGCGUCACGCUUGUACAAUCAUUUCCUUCCGAUUGAAGGUACACCUGUUGUUCAAUAAUAUUUUUGUUUAUACUCAAUAAUAAUAAAUGAUUGUUCAUGUUUUCCUUUACAUUCUUCAUAUUUCGUCCUUCGUCAUUAUUUGAUUAAUUUAUGAAGGUAUGUCCUUCAUAACCUUCAUCCGCAAGUCAUUAUGUCCUAAGGGAAAUAGUGCUUCGGAGGACGAAGGGCAUUAACGAUUAAUACUUUCUAUGUUGCCUUGUUCUUAAACUCUUAGCACUUGAGAACAAGUCCCCAACAUUGGCGCCCACCUCCGGUGAACUCACUUACAUUUCUUGAGCUUUUCAACAUCUUCGGCAAGCAUCACCUUCGUCAUGCCGCCGAAGAAGGCUUCAGCACCAGGGGCUAGCACGCUGCAGCCGUUGGACCCCAAUCAAGAUGUCCUUUCUCUUAGAGAGGCACGAAGCCAGAAGAGGAAGGCUGCCAGUCCAACACCUCCAGAGGAUGAUCUAGAUCAGGAGAUUCAAAAUCUGGAAAUCCUUCAGCAGCAGGUUCAACGCAAGAAGGAAAAAAUGGCCAGGGUAGCUGAAUUGCAGAGGCAGAUAGACGAAGCCUCUGAAGAAGUUCGUCAUCUUGCUCAGGACGAGCAACAUCGAAGGCCUCAGCAUCAAGACCUUCAUCAGGACGGUUUUCCCAACGAAGAUGAUUGGUAUGAUAAUUUUCAUCAUGGGAAUUUUGUUUUUGAUGAUGCUUCUCCUCUGUCCGCUGAGCUGCAGGCUACACCUUGGCCCCCGUCCUACAAGCCGCCUCAGCUCCCCGUAUUUGAUGGCCACUCAGACCCGAAGCAGUUUUUGAUGAGCUACGAAGCAACAGUGUCUUCGUAUGGUGGCAAUGCUUCAGUCAUGGCCAAAUCUUUCGUUAUGGCUGUCAGAAGUGUUGCUCAAACCUGGUAUUCCUCCCUUCGGCCAGGAACGAUCACUUCAUGGCAGAAACUGAAGGAUUUGUUGUUAACCAGCUUUCAAGGAUUUCAGACGAAGCCGGUCACUGCUCAGGCUUUGUUCCAGUGCACUCAGGACCACGAAGAAUACCUUCAGGCAUAUGUCCGAAGGUUCUUGCGUCUGAGGGCACAGGCACCAACGGUGCCCAAUGAAAUUGUCAUCGAGGCCAUGAUCAAGGGGCUUCGGCCAGGUCCGUCAGCUCAGUACUUCGCCAGGAAGCCUCCUCAAACUUUGGAGAAGCUUCUCCAGAAAAUGGAUGAAUACAUUCGGGCUGACAAUGAUUUUCGCCAAAGAAGGGAGGAGGCUUUCAGGUUUUCUGAAAUGACCAGGGGCUUCGGAGGAAGGUUUUAUCCGAGGCAUGUGAGAUCAAUUCACAAUUCUACACAAAAUGAUGACAGAGGAAGCCAACAGCAAAGGCCACAAUGCUCCUCACAGGCUUCUGGACAACAGCAAAGCUCCUUCCGGCCACCAGCUCCAAGAGGCAGAGGCGCCAGGGGCUUCGGAGGAAGAUUUGGCGAUCAACCGAGAAAAAUCUUUUGCUUAUUCUGCGGUGAGAACAAAGGCCAUACUACCAGGAUGUGCCAUGUUACUAUACAGAAGCAAAAGGAAAUAGCUGGAGCAGCAGCACAACAAGCCCAGCCGAAGCAGGUCAUGCAUACAGCUUCGUAUCAUUCGCCCUACAUCCCAGAAUAUGUAGGCAAUCAUCCUGCAGUCUCUGCUGCUUCGGCAAGUCAGCCUUCAGCUUCCUGGCAACAGCCUCCGCCUCCACCUCCGUUGCAACAAGGCCAGCAGCCAGAAGGGAGCCAAUAUGCUCCACAUCAAAGGGACUUCAGAGAACAGUCCGAAGCUCGCACGGUCAACAGCACCGUGCCAGAGUCAAAGCACAUCUAUUGACAAAUAUCCUACCUUAAUAGCAAUCUUUUUCAUUCAGUUUUAUUUUCUGUAAUAAAGGACAUUGUUUAGGUUUCAUGUAAUUAGUUUCGUUGAUUCCUACAAGAAAAAUAUGUUUUCUUCACAGGUUUGUGAUAAUAAAAAGGACCUUCGGACUAUCGAAAAUCCUUCGAAGCAACAAAAAGUCGUUCUAAGGAACGCAGAGUAAGUCUGACGAAGUCACAAAAAGUCGUUCCGAAGGGAGCGCAGUGUAAGUUUUCUGCUCCAAAGUCGUUCCAAAAGGAAUGCAGAGCAUACAGCGAAAAGUCAACGCUGAUACCGCCUAAGUAAAAGGCGAAGAAGCUCCAAAGACGUUCCUAAGGGAAUGCAGAGCUUAUACCGCCUAAGUAAAAGGCGAAGAAGCUCCAAAGACGUUCCUAAGGGAAUGCAGAGCUUAUACCGCCUAAGUAAAAGGCGAAGAAGCUCCAAAGACGUUCCUAAGGGAAUGCAGAGCUUACAGCAAAGAAUCAGUGCUAAUACAAAAAUGUUGUGUGGGGAUAUGUGUGUAUCUUUCGGAACAAAUGUCAUCUACGUAACAUAACAUCAUCACAUCAUUUUGCAUAGCAUAAGCAUCAUACAUCAUGUUGCAUAUGGCACAAGAAGGGGACACAAUAUUGAUCUUCGGAAGUAUGAUUUGAAAGAGUGAAAAUCGUGGUCACAAGGAGACACAAUCUUCAUCUUCGGAGUAUAGCUUCGGAGAAUUUUUUCACGAAGCUUGGAUAUUCUUCGUCUAAGCACUAUGGACAUUGAUGUGAUACAUAAAAAAUUUUUUCUUCACGAAGCAUGAAAAGAAGGGAAGGUGUUUUUUCGUCGAAGACUCAAAAAUGGUACGUGUUUAAAGUUUCAUGCAUCGUAAAGAAUUGAAUCAUAAAACAAGUAUAUUACAUACAGGAUUACAGAAUAUUACACAAAUCAUAUAUCAAAUGUUUUUUGCAAUAGCACUUAGUCUUCCCUAAGUACUAUCUCUGCAGCUUCGUUCAGCAGUCGAUCGACAACCUGAUCCAUGAUAGCUUCGGCCAUCUUUCUAAUUUCGUCGUCAUCUUUAGGCUGAGGGCCCGAAGAUGCUUUAGUAGGAUCUGAGUGAGGACGGGAUACUAUUACAUCACUAUUACAGAUCGCGAACGAACUAUAAAAUUAAAAGUUAUAACGCGAUGAAAACUAUUCGUUAGUACCUAUUUGCCCUUCGGGCUCUGCGUUUUUCUCAGCAGCCUCGGCUACUUUUCUAGCCUCAUGAAUCCCUUUCUCGCUUUUCUGAAUGAUUUCUUGGGCCAUUUCUCUACCACCGUUGUCCCAGAUGUCGGUGAAAAAUUUUCCCCCAACCGCGCUAGCUUCGGCUGAAGGAUCUUUUAUAUCUUCAGUGGACAAGGUGGCUUCGGACUGCGAUAAAAUCUUUACAUGUUCACAUCCUUUCCCCUCCAAAAUGGUGGCAAUCCCUCUGGCACCAGAAAAAGCGCAGAUGUCCCCGCGACUAUUUAAAAUUUCUUCAAAGGCCUCCGCCUCAUGAUUGAUCCAUUCCAGGGGACCUUCGGGGUUACCUCUUAUAAAGUUUUCUUCUUGCGAAAAUGCGCCAACGCUGGCGAAGCUAGUUUUUAUUUUCUUGACACACUCUAUAGAUUUGUCGAAGCAUUUCUUCUUGGCUGACCGAAGCUCUUUAACAGUUUCUUCUAAAUGAUUUGCCCAUUGGUCGCUGAGUUCUCGCCUUGUUUCUUCAAGUAUGCAUUCCUCUUUAGCUCUGGCUAAUUGUUUACGAAGGUUUUCAAUUUCACGCUUCUGAGCUUCGGCCUGACCUUUGAAAAUAGCUUCGUCUUCUUUUAUUUUAUUUAUUAAGGAAUGCAAUAUUUUGUCUUUUUCGAGACCUUCGUUCCUCAGUUCAAUUACUUCGGAACGAAGGUUGCUCAGGGCUAUAGUACAUCCUUCGUCCUCAGCAUCUUUCUGUGCUCUGAGGGCAUUGCUGAGUAUCAGGCCCUGCAGACAGGAAUAUGUCUGUGUCAAUAGUUUUAAACAAACGAAAAAUUUUGAACUCAACAAAAAUAUAAGAAUUCCAUUUGUCGCACCUUUAAACUGUUGUAAGCUAGGCUGUCAGCCAGAUCGUUCUUUGACAGCACCGAAAGUCCGUCUUCUAAAGUUGGGAAUCCGAAGCUUCUGCUCAUCUCCCGACAGACAGAAAUUUCCUUGCUGUCAGGGAGGCAAUACAAGAAAUCUUCUUCUCCACUGCCAUUAAAUAUCAACGCCCCCUUUGGAUAUUUCAAUUUUUGGGCAUAGUGUUGGGCCUCUUGUUCUUCUUUUUCUGAUAAUUUUUUCCCCGAAGCAUGACGAAAAAUAUAAUCACGAAUUUUGGGGGAUGCUUCGGGGGUAACAACACCAGUUCCUUCAGCAAAAGUUGGCUUUGUUAUUUUUUCUGCCUCACUUUCCAAGGUUUUUGCCUUUGUGGGCUCUGAGGGCCCAGCUUCGGCUUCAAUUUCUUGCUCUGGAGCUGCAGAACCAGAAAUUUCAGCUGUUGUUUCAAAAGUAACGGCAGCCUUCUUCGGAGGUGUGCUCGAAGAUAUGAUCGUUUCCAGUACAUCUAGCACAUUAGCCAUUCUUUUUCUCUUCGGAGUUGCAGCUGGCACUUUUUCAUUUUUUGAUGUCCCAAUAAUUGCUGAAGGACUCAAGAUUUCUGAUGUUUUAGAGUCCUCGGUUGCUUCCUUUACCUCUUCCAUUUUUUCUGUGAAUGGCGCUUCGGCCUUCUCUUUCGUUUCUGGUAGCAAAAUUUUUGAUUGCUCCAAUUUUGUCUUCGUUGGUACUUCGGCUGUUUCUGCGACUUCUGGCAGCAGGGUUGGCUCGGCUGGUUUUUCAGCUUCGGUGGCCGAAGAAGUCUCUCCGGUAAACUCAGGCACCGAAGCUGGUUCAAUAUAACGCGGCCGAUGCGUAAGAACCUUUAUCUUCUUCCUUUUCGGUUCUGGCUCGCUAGGAGCAGCUGCAGUUUCUUCUUUUGCAGAGGUUGUAUUUUUUCUCUUCUGCCUUCGAAUGGGGUAGCGAUAGUCAGGGUAGACAAACCCGAUGGCAUCAAAUACCCGAUUCAGCCUUUUCUUUUUUCGGCCUCCGAAGGCUGCUGACAUUGCAGUAUCUUCGGCCUUCGAGUAGGUCCCAAGCAGCUCAUCACUUAAAUUGUCAAUGCUUUUCAACCACUCAUCAUCUGGCUCAAUAAAUUUAUCUCCAAAUUUAAAAGUGUACUUAAACCUGACAAGUCCACCUUCGUCGGCCUCUUUAAUGGUUUCUUGCGGCAUUUCCCAUUUCUCCGCAAGCGGCCACACCCGGAAGGCAAUAUGUUCUUGUACUAAAUCUCUUGUUCCAAUAAAAGAGCAGAUGACGCCGAAGGCCCUCUGGCAUUCUUCGGCAGCUUCAUUCAUUUCCACCUUCGGCCUCCGAAGGCCGAAACUUUGCCAAAUAGGACGCAUAAUUAUACCUUUGAUAUCUUCUCGUGCUGAUAGGUCAUUCUUCACAUAAAACCAUUCUGUCAUCCAAUCCCCGGGCCAUCUCUUCCGAAAGGUUGGUACGGGACAGCUUGCCCCGGACCGAGAGACGAAACUGUAGCAGCCAAAGUUAUUGUGGUACUGUUCUUUGCCCCAAGGCUUUGUUUCAUAUAACAAUUCAUGUAUAUUACAGAAGCUUCUUGCGUCAGGCUUCAGACCUUGGCUUCUCGUGGCCCACACGAAGAUAUUUAGCCUUAUAAUAGCCUCUGGAGUAAGUUGAUGAAGAUAGACUUCGAAGAUUUUCAACACCUCCACGACGAAGCUGCUCAAGGGGAAUCGCAAUCCGGCUUUCAAAAAGCUUCGGUACACCACAACUUCAUUUUCUUCAGGGUGUGGACAAGUCUUUUCCCCUUCGUCCGCCCUCACAAUGGACAGAUCCCGGAAAUACCUUCCUCUCAUAUUAACAAGAUGAUUCUCUUUGAUAGUUGAUUUACCAUAAACUGAAUGGCUUGGUCGCCAGGGGCGAUCUUCGGAGUCUUCGCCACCGCUGUCCACAUCAUAACUUUCACUGUCACCAGUAUCUUCAGACAGCCCUUCCAGAAUUUCCCUGGUGAUCUUUUCUGUGUUGGUCUUCGACAUUGCUAUAAGAAACCCUAAGUUCUUCUCUUCAUCAAGACUCAGCUUCAUCUCAGCAGCAGCCUUCUUAGCAGCUUCAGACAUCUUCGGAAACACUAAAAAACUGUUUUCAAAGCCGAAGCUUCAAAGCUAAAAGCUCAGCAGAUCACAGUGCACAAGAGCUAAAAAAUGAGUGAGCAGGAGUGGUUGGCCAGAAAGCGUGCAAAAUAAGUUUGCGGUAUGGCCGUAUUUAUACGCUUGAUGCGUUGAAAGUUGAAAGACCCCACUUGUCAUUGAAUGUUGCUAUUCUAGCAAAGGGAAGGUGUUUUUUCGGACCUUCGGCAUAAAGCCUUCGUUCAUAUCGCAAUCUGAAUUUAUUAUUUCAAACAAAUUAAUAUUGCGAGGGGCUACUGUUGGGGACCUUCGGCGUCCGAAGGUCCUCAAAAACAGAAUUUAACAGUAUUUCUGUAGUACAAUAUGUGAACAGGUACCCUCAGACUAAAAUCGGCAUUGCAGCAGACCGGAAUAAUACGAAGCUUGAUACAGAGCCGAAGGUGUUGAGCAGGAAAGCUUCGGCGUAACGGCAGAGAGUGAAACCGACUUAAAGAUGAAAAGGCUAUUCAGACCUCAAUAGAUUACUAUAGAGUUAUUGUCAGAUGUAAAGGGCAUGAAUGUAAUUUUGUAAGGGCUGUGUCCCGUGUCUAUAAAUAGGUGAACAGUAUCCCCGUACUGUUCACGCUGACUUGGCAUUCGCUUUUUGCGUCACGCUUGUACAAUCAUUUCCUUCCGAUUGAAGGUACACCUGUUGUUCAAUAAUAUUUUUGUUUAUACUCAAUAAUAAUAAAUGAUUGUUCAUGUUUUCCUUUACAUUCUUCAUAUUUCGUCCUUCGUCAUUAUUUGAUUAAUUUAUGAAGGUAUGUCCUUCAUAACCUUCGUCCGCAAGUCAUUAUGUCCUAAGGGAAAUAGUGCUUCGGGGGACGAAGGGCAUUAACGAUUAAUACUUUCUAUGUUGCCUUGUUCUUAAACUCUUAGCACUUGAGAACAAGUCCCCAACAUGAAUAAUGUGAUGUACUGCUAUGUUAGAAGUGCCUUGUCCUGUGUUGUUAUGAUAGUCUUGAUUAGGUUGUGUUAUGUGUUCUCUUUGCCAUGCUGCCUAGGAGGUACGGUAACUAUUUAAUACAUUUUGCCUCUAACCAAUAAAAAUUGUUGCAUGUUUUGCCUAUAAAAGACCCCCCACUUUAACCAGCCUAGUGGUUAGCAAGUGAAACCUCUAAAAAAAAUUUCAUUCUUGUGUUGGUGUUUUCUAACCCUUGUGUGUUUUACCCUGAAGUUGCACCUGCACAACUUGUAGACCCCCAUAGCUUAACUGCUAGCCAAACCGAAACUUCCUUGUGCACGUGGUUAUGUCAAAAAAACAUCGUUUGGUGUCUAGUUGCGCAAACCAUGACCAAGCCAUGUUUCUUUCCAUAGAUCCUGCCCCAAAUCUUCAUAACCUUUCUGGUACUCAUCCUAAGCAAUCUCAUGCGACUACCUCUCUUUUCACCUGGAUUUGGUAAUCCUUUUUCUUGUGAAUCAUGUUGGAAUUAUCAUCCGAAUCUCAGGAUUCCCUAUUGAUUCUGCCCCGUUAUCUAGUUAUCUGCUAUAAACCGUUCUCAAGUGUCGGAUGUUGAUCUGCUUAAAUCUCUCAUUUUUGGUCAGUCUCAUGCCCCCUUCUCCGAGGAUCAUGACGCUUGUUUUAUCAACUUAUCUCUAAACGGCAUAUCCAUGUGGAUUAAUGGAUGUUGUUGUUAUCUUUGGAUCUCUCCUGUCUCUAAAAGCUCAUUAGUCAUGAUCUCUUGAGUGCUUCAUUCUCGUAUCCCAUCUCGUACUAAUCUCUGGCCUGGUACUCUCCGUAUUGAUCAUAAAAUAGUUCUCUGAGUCGAAGAAAAUUCUCAAGUGAUGUUCUUUUGCCAAUAAUCUCUGCUUCAACUUUAGUCUCAUUUUCUGAGCCAUAUUCUCAUGGGCUCCAUCUAAUUGUGUCAUGUAGAUUUAUCGUUGGUUGCGUUUGGUAAUGGUAUUAUGACUAAACGACUGAUGGUGCCGCGACGAAACUGAGAGCCUCCUGUGGGCACGCACACAUGGUUGAGCUACUCGGCACGCGCUGGUAUCACGGUUAAUAGUUGUGAUCCAUUACGAGACUAUACUGAUGUGCCAUCAUUUGUGGACACUCUCAGAAUGAUCGCUGCAUUUUGUCUCGAUAUGUCGCGAUAUUCUAACCAAAUCUGUCUCCAGUAUCUUGUCAGAUACCCUCUCAUGAAUUUGCAUCUAUCUUCAGUCUGGGAGUUACAUGCUUCUCCACCCUUAAAUAUCCUCAUUCGAAUCUCGGGACGAGAUUCUUUUUAAGGGGGGAAGGCUGUGACACCCCAGGUGUCUAUUUCGGGUUAUGUCGAAAGAUUUAUCCUAAUCUCGGAUGCUCAGUGAAAAUUUCUAUUUCUCGAUCGUGCCUAUCUCUGUUUAUCAGGCUUUCUCUUGGAAGUUCACCGAAUUCAGAGUUAAUUGAUCGGGAAAACAACCAAUUUUGGAGCGUGUUAAAACUUUUAUUUCUCGGAACUAAUGCAGACUCGAAGAUCAUUCUCGAAUCAUAAAUCUCAUCUGAAGCUCUUUAAAUCAAACUCUCGACGACUAUUAUUUGAUCUGAGCCCGAGUCUAAUUUUUUCGAACCAUUGAUCUAUGUUCGACUAUUUUAUUCGGAUCCAUACUCUCAAACAGAAUACUCAAUAUGUCGUCCUCUAAUCAUUUUUAUCCGAUUCGGCCAAUUAUCUUAUGUCCGAACCAAAUUCACAACCCGCAUCGACAGUGCUUUUAAAAAUGUCACGAUUCGCCUUCUUCGACUAAAAAUCCAAAGCCAAUCAAAAGUUUGAGAAAAAUAUUUGUUUCUAAAAUAGUGCGUGAGAAAAUUUCAAAGCAGAAUCUCCAAUGUGUUGCCCUCAAAUAAAUUCUUAUCCGACUCGGCUUAAUACCUCUGUGUUCGAUCCGAAUUCAAAAAUAAACAUCGGCGAAGAUUUUUAAAUGUCGCAAUUUGUCUCUUUCAAUCAUAGAUCCAAAAGCUAGUCAGUCUCAAGUCAUUUUGAUUUCCUAAUCGUACGCGGACGAAUUUUCCGAGCGACACUGAAAAAUUAAAUUCUUGGCCUAACUAUUUUUUUUGUUCUCUUUCCUCAUACUCUCGUUUGUCAGACGCCGGUUCUCUCUGUUCUCCACAUCGGCAAAUCCCGCGGGAGAUUUUUCUCCCUUUAAAUAGUUUACUUAGCCUAGAAGGAACCCCUUGCUUCUCCUCUAAGCAACAUAUUUUGCUUCUCAUCUAAGCAACCUUUGCUUCAUUCCUAAGCAACCUUUGCUUCUCUUGUAAGCAACCACUUGCUUCACUCCUAAGCAAGCAAACCAGCUCCUUUCCUCUUCUAUAAAUCCCACGCCACCUCCCCAACCAGCCACUUCCUCUCCCUCUCCCCACGCCACUCUCCCUACUCCCUUCCUCCCUCUCUCUCUAUCUCUCUCUCUCUAGCUCCCCAUGCAGCUGGCGACCAAGCCCUCCCAUGCUCCUCCCUCACCUUGGAAGCUCUCCCAUGGCGUCUCCCCCUCCUCUACGGCAGCAAGGUGUAGGUGAGCUCCGGGUCAAGAACUUGUGUGCUGAAAUUUCAGAAUCUUGCACUUUCUUCUAAAAUCUAUAACUUGAGUUUGAAAGCUCCUAAAAUAGUAAGACUUGUUUUGUUAGCUUUCAUAUGGAAUGUCCUACCUAUUAGAUCUAUAAUAUGACCUGUUUUAGUAGACGUUUUUGUCUGUGCAAAUUAAAUCUUAAAGAGAGGUUUAGAGAAUAAACGAACUUGCUUCUCUCCAUAGUUUUCAUUAUAAAAAUCCAAAAAUGAUCAAACUUGUUUUGUUAGUUAGAUGUUGUCAUACUCCAUCUAAGAAAAAUAUAAAACUUAUAUGUUGUUCACUGUUUUCUUGGUGUGUUAAUUAAAACAAGUUAAAUAGAGAAAAGAAGAUGUAUUUGCUUGUUAUUUUUGGAUCUGUAGCUCUAGUGCUCCAAAUGGGUUGAGAUUUUUACAGUAGACUCUUGGUGUGAUGUUUGGUGACGGGUAAAAAUUUCAUGAAUUGUUGUGCAUGUAUGAUUAGGUUAGUGAUUUAACUUGUUUAAUGCACCUUAAGUAGUUUUAAAUGAUUUAAAAAUAAUGUAUAGAUGCAAAAAUGAAAAAUGGCGUUCCGCUGUUCUUGCAUGAUACUAUAGUAGCCUGAGAAAACUUAAUAUGGUUAUGCAUCCACAGAAAAUAAUUAGUUUUAGAUUUAACUUGCUCUCACAAGCUUUAUUGCAUUAACAAUUUGUUAUUUUUGUAUUAAAUAAAAUAGAAAACCUGCGCAUGUGAAAUUUAUACAUUGGUCAUGAUUUGUUAUUACCUAUGUCUCAAAAAAAAAUCCCAGCCCCAAAUUAGAUAGUUUCAUAUGGUGCUAAAAUGACACACGUUUUAUAAUAAUAGGAAGAAUUAGAGACAAAUUAGAAGUAAGCAAACCAUGCAUGUUGGAAUGGUUUAUGUCAUGCAAUAAGAAUUGAAAUGUGAAGAAUGGAUAGGGUAUUUAAGAAAUGUUAGCCAAUAGGUUCGGUCAAGCAUGGUAGAGGUUGAAUCAAUUAUGUUGUAGAAUUGAUGCUCAACAUAAUAGACCCCCUAAAAUGUGCUAUUUUAGGUGACUUGUGUGCUAACCAAUUUAAGUUGAGCAAUGGUUAAGAAAAGAUGAUUAAUCUGCUCCAACCCAUGUUUUUGAGUUACAAUGUCUAAAAUGGUUUGCUAAGUUUAUAUUGUGUUAGCCAAAUCAUGUUAAGUAGGAGUCGAUUGCGUUAAGUGAUUGUUAUAUACAUAUUGUGUCUCGGAUUGUGAUGAUAAUGGGUUAGUCAACUUGUUAGAUGACUUGAUUAAGCUCAUAAUCACGGUAAAUUGCUUGUUGUGGUCUAAAUGUGUAUGGUUACAGUCGCGGGUAAAAAAUAGUAGUGCUCAUGUGAUGUCUAAUUUAAAACGCAAAUUGUUGGGUGAUUAUCGUGGAGAAUGUGUUGUUAGUUGGUUGUAGUAAUUUUAGUGCACUAAAUGACUUGAAUAAAAUUUGCAAGUCGACUUGUUGGUUCUAAUUGAUUGUCGUAACUCGAAUAAAUAGUAAAGCGUUAGAGUAAUUCAAGUCUCUCGAACGCCGCGAUUCUUGAAUUAUAUAGGAGCUAAAAUUUAUUGAUUGCUGUUUUGGACUGCACGCACUGUUGUAGUUGUGUUGUAUGCUUGAUGAACUAAAUUGUGUUUUCUGUAGAUAUGUGCUAUAGAAAAGUGGUAGAUAACUUUAUUAUCUUGCUGGUGUUAAAAUUUGACAGCCAUAGGUCUGACAGUUUAGGAGUUAUGUUGUUCACAAAUUCAGUAACUGAAUCUGUCCAAAUUCUAUACAGAUUUUAGAAACUGCAUUGUUUGCUCAAUUUAAUGUUGCAAUCUGUUCAUGGUCGUUAUAAGAAAGUUGUAGUUGCUUUUCUGAUCUUGCUUGUGUUAAAAUUUCACAACCACAUGCCUGAUAGUUUAAGAGUUAUGAAUUUUACAAACUGCUUGCUGUGUUCUGUCCACCGUCAGGACAGAUUUCGAAAACUGUGUUGUUUGAUUUAGUUAAACAUUGAAUCACUUCUUGGUGAUUAUAAAAGUUAUGUGGUGCAAUUGCCAAGCUUUCCAAAAAGUCUUGGAUCACUAUUUUUGGUGGUCUGAAGAUUAAGUUAUGGAUGUUUAAAGUCUGAAGACUGAAUCUGUCCAGUUCUGGACAGCACAGCCUUCAUAGUGUAUUUCACCCUAGAUACAUGUUAAACCAGCCAGUGAUGUUUAUAAAUAAUUUGUAGAACAUUUAAUUAGCUUUCCAGAAAGUCUAAAAUCACUUUGUUUGGAUGUCUGAAUCUUCAGUUGUGAAUUUUUGAAGUUGCAAGCCUGAAUCUGUCCAAAUCUGGACAGAGCUGUUGUGUUUGCACAAUUCGACCUUGCUAAGUGUUUAAUCAGGUUGUGAUGACAAUACCAAAGUUGUAGAGCACUUUUUAAGCUUUCCAGAAAGUCCUAGCUUGAUAUUUUUGGACUAACAAUUGAAGAGUUAUGAUUAAAACAAGCAACUGCUGUAUUGCUGUCCAAAAAUUCUGCUAGUGCUCAUUUGAUUGUUAGUUCACCCGUUUGGCUAAAAAUGUUUGGUUAGCACUUAAAUAAAUGUAGACUUGCCAUGACUAAGCUUAAUAUUGCCUAAGUGUCCUGUUUUAUAUGUUUCUUCUCUACUUGAUUGUGAUAUAGGAGUUCAUAGACAUGAAUGCCUAGGUCCUAUUUAAACUUACGUUGUGUUGGUUGCUCUUGUACGGUCAAUAGAAGAACAAAUGAACGAUUAAGGUGAGCGUAGUAAAUGUGUGUACUUGUGAUGUCGUGGUCAUGUUGCGUAAAUAAAUAAAAUGUUGUCAUCUUUUUAAUGGUGUUAAUGUUGAACGCCGACGACGUGUAGAUAACUAAAGCUAACAUGUAGUUAUCUAUGGUGUCUUCCACUUUAAUGUUUAGUUCGCCACUGUGUCUUUGUAUAUCUUGUGCUAUUUUUGUGCUACUUUCAUUAUAUUCAUACAUAUGCAUCUUGCACCUCAUAUAGGACCGAGAGAUGAUGAUCGAGCUAGUGAUGUGGUGCCAACCACAAGAUGCAGUCGGUGGACGACCCAAGGAAGGAUGGACUUAACCAGUGGAUGCUCGCCAAGCGAGUACCUCCCCAGCAAACACUCUCUAAGUGUUAAAUUAAAGGCAAGCCCCGGUUUUAUGCAUAACCGUUAUAUAUGCUAUUUUACUGCACUUAAUGUUUGUAGGCUUGUACUGUGCACUUAAGUGUAGGAGUUGACUGGAACCUUAGUUGCAUGAACUCAGGAUUCCUAUUGAGAUGAAUACUAGUAUGCUAGGUCGAGUAGCUGCUUUAUUAAAUAGGGAUCUCGAUAGAAGUCGAGUGAUUUUUCUAGCACUCGCGCGAGGUCAGGACAUUGAUUGUACCCACUUUCAUAUCAUACUGAUGUUGGUCUGUGGACACGGAUCCAUGGGGAUGCGUGGUCUACGAGAUGAAAUUGGAAUAAGGAUUAACGUGCGGAUACCUGUGUCAAGCGUUUGAAUGUACUAAACAUAUGCCGAGAAAUAUGGUAAAUCGGCAAGCCUAGUACCUGAGUGAACCUGGCAGUGGACAUAUCCCCUCACGCGUCCUGAGACGAGGUCUCCCAUUCCGGUUAUGGUGGGUACAAGUGCGGUCACUGCACGAUGGCCAGUCGGGGUCAGUGAGGCAUUGUACGCCAAGGCGGUGAGCCCUGAUCUGCUGACGGGGAAUCGAUGGGGACGGUUGAUGUGUGUGGGGACGGAGUGCCCCUACAUGUCGUGUGUUUAGGUUUACCUUGCAAGGAUAAAAACUCGAUUCGAAUCGUCUGCUUCUCGCAGCUAAUGAGACUGCUUGAUCCAUUGUACUGCAUUGAGUAAUAAGUGGAAAUGAGGUGACUGAGAAAAGAUGUUGAUUGGUAAAAAUGUUUGAUACCAUGUAUGAUUAGCUAGGUACACAUCUAGUCUAAAGGAUUCUACUAAAACUUGAAAAGCUAAAACUUGUUUUUAGACUUAGCUAGUGCUUUUGGCAAACCAACCCCCUCAGCCAAACAGCUGCAUGUCUAGAGGUAGAGGAGUAGACUCCUCACACCGGGUAAGUCUAGCUGAGUAUUAGUAUACUCAGCCUUGCUUGUGGCACAAUUUUUGCAGGUACUCCUUAGGAUGAUUGGUUGAUGGUGCGACUUGGCCUUCAUCCCUGCCACCGGGAUAGAUGGUCGAGUGGGUUACUGCUUCCGCAGGAGAGGACCAGGAGGAGUAGUGUGGCCAGGCUUCGCCAUGUUACUCGGUUCUUCUCCGUUAGUUAUUUCCGCUGCAUCAAAAUUUAUGGUUAUUAUUUCUGAAACUCCGAUAAUGCAAUCACUAUUGAUACUUAUUAAAUUUGUGGUAUUAUGCUUUAUUGUCUUUCUCUGUGCCUCAUCUUCGAGUGAGCUAGUGGUAUUCGAUCCUGGAUAAGUGGCUUUAUCGGACUAGAUCCGAGGGACUGACGGGUUAUUCCUGUUUAAGUGUGUUGCUGCCCUUAAGGGUGCGACUUGGGCACUUAAGCUGGAAUAAUUCGGGCGGUUCCGCCACACGCGGCCCCCGCCCCUCCCCUGCCCGCGCGGCGGCGCCCCCACCCCUCCCUUGCCCGCGGCGGCGCGGCCCCGCCUCCCCUACUCACGCGCAGCGCGGCCCCCGAUGCGGCCCGGCACAGCUCCCGGCGCGGCGGCCUUGCCCCUGGCGCGGCGUCCUCAGCCCCUGCGCGCGGCCUCGGCCCCCUGCGCGCGGCAUUUGGCCCUGGCGCGGCCUCGGCCCCCUGCGCGCGGCGUCUCGGCCCUCGGCGUGGCUCGCGUGGCCUUGGCGUGGCCUCGCGCUCCCCCGUUUACCCCUAACGCGUUCCCGCGUGCGCAACCCCACGCGCGCGGUGAUUAUUCUUGGUUUUUAGUUAGUUUAAAACUCCGUUAGUUAGCGUGCUGUGUCGCGCGCUUCGUCGCGCGACGAAUUUAUCUAAUUUCAGAUUCUAUGAAUGUGUUGCGUCGUGCGCUUCGUCGCGCAACGAUCCAUUUUAAUUUCAGGUUGUUUAAUGUGUAACGUCGCGCGUGUAUUCAUGCGACGUUCCACUUUAGACUCAGUUCAGUUGACGUAUGCCGUCGUGCGUUUCGUCGCGUGAAGCUUAACGUCUCUUUAUAAUUUAUGCAAAGUGUCUCGUUGUGCGCUCGGUCGCGCGACGAGUCGUUGAUUUCCUUAAUUCAAUUUAAAGUGCUAUGUCGCGCGUCUCGCCACGCGACGAUCCUUUUAAUUUAUCUUCAUCUGCUUAUAAUCAUUAGACAUGAAACAUGACUUUACUUUAUGCUAAACGUAGUGUCUACAUUAAUGCCUUUCAAUUGAGCGAGUGGUUUAAUUCAUAAUAAUGUAACGUGAUCGUUUCUCGACUGUCUUUUCCUCUUUCUCUCUUAACCGUAAUUGCGAGCCCGCGUGGAACGUCUGUUUACUUACUGCAUUCUAUUGUAUGGUGUACUGUUCUUUUGUAUUAAAUAUGUGGAUGUAUGUAUAUUUGCGCUCGCAUAGAGAACGAUCCGGUCGGAGAGCCCAAAGAACUCGCAGGAGAAGCCUCUGAGCAGUAGUCGGUUGGUGGAGGCAAGUGUCCCUUGACCUAUCUCUGUCCUAUACAUUCUUUAAUUCACCUCUCGCAUUACACAUUUAUACCUAAGGAUUGACUAGCUUUUGUUGUCCAUGUCCUUGUUUACCUAUUUGGGUCGGAUUAUUAUUGCUUAGUCUUAUGCUAUUGCUCAACUCUAAUCAAGGAACAUGAUGAGAAUUAUCAAUGAUACGUUGUUUUCCCCUCUUUUAUUAUGAUGUUAUACUUGUGACCUUCAAGGGGGCUUGAGCGGUUUCUCGAGUGCCUCUCCGUAAGGACCUGUUCGUUGGAUGACCGCCCGGGAAAACAGUGCAACCAUGAGGGUGGAGUGGGACGCCCUUAGCUGAAUAAUUAGAGGAACCGGGGUGUAGUUCGCUUAGCCGUUGUGCCGUCAAUGGGGCUCGGUGUAUGCGGCUCGCUCUGCCAAGGUUGAUUUGUCCCUUGGGGAGGAGUGCGGUACAUUUAGGAAACCUAACGGGCGGCUACAGCCCCGGAGAAUCUUUGUAAAGGCUACGUAGUGAUAUCCUGCUGGGUCACCUUGGUAGUGAUCAAUGGAGAGUCAUGAUCUCUGGGCAGAAAGGGAAAUCACAGCUUGUGGGUAAAGUGCACAACCUCUGUAGAGUGUUUGAAAACUGAUAUAUCAGCUGUGCUCGCGGUUAUGAGCAGCCAAGGGAGCUCCAGUGAUUAGUGGUACUUGAUCAGAGAUGUUCGCAUUGCAGGUGGCAAUGAGAUUGUUGGUUUUGGUAUUGACUCUGAUAAUGGUGAGUGGUACUCUUUCCGUUUGGAAAGGAGUACGUUUGGGUUAAUAACGUGGGCUGAAUCUAAAACUUGGCUUCCUCUACUAGCAAUAAUAAUAAUCUGACCAACUAAAAGCAACUGCUUGACUUAACCCCACAUAAAGCUAGUCCACUACAGCCAAACAUGAUACUUGCUGAGUAUGUUGAUGUGUACUCGCCCUUGCUCUACACACAAACCCCCCUAGGUUGUCCGCAUUGCAACCACUGCUCAGGAGAAGAUGAAGCCGUGAAAGGAGACUUCCAGGAGUUCCAAGAAUACGACGAGUUCUAGGCGUGGGUUAGCGGCAACCCCCAGUCGGCUGCCUGUGAAGGCCGCUUUUAUCUACGUUUCGUUUUCGCACUUUGAUUUAUUGUAAAGACUAUGUGGAUGUCUCAGACAUAUGAUGUAACCGACUAUUAUUUCCCUUUUAAUACUAUUUGAGCACUGUGUGAUGAUGUCCAUGUUAUGUAACUGCUGUGUACGUGAAUUGCUGAUCCUGGCACGUACAUGGUUCGCAUUCGGUUUGCCUUCUAAAACCGGGUGUGACAUAGGUGGUAUCAAAGUCGUGCUGACUGUAGGACCGCUAACCUAGAGUAAAAUGGUCGUUCUAAGGAUUAUAGACCUCUGUCCUUGCCUUGACUUUGGUAUCCCUUCAAAAGUUGGUCAUAUCGACCAAACCUAUGUUCUACUAUAUAUCAUACCUUGCUGAAAAUUGUGUUUUAUUCUAAUCCUUCGUUUAUUUAUGGUUCAUUACUUGCUGGUCAUACUAGUUCUGUUCUCACUCCUUUGCUUGCGGUGUCUUUUGUAGAUGGCUCGUCUUAGACACACCGCACGGAAGUCUGUCAUCCCCUUCUUACCCUCUCAUCUCACGGAGCGUCCGCUUCGCCGUCCCGUGGCCGGUCAGUCCAGUCACUUGGAGAGGCUGCACCACCGCCUGCAUGAGGAGCAGGAGCGUCGACGACAGGAGCAGGAGCAGCAGGGCUCUUCUUUCUCGCUCCAGCAGGAGAUAGAGUCUGUGAGGAGCUGCUCCCCUGUGCUUCCCCUGGAGGCGCCCCCUGCACCACCACUGGACGCGCCAGCCCCUGGAGUAGCUGCUGGAGGAGACCCAGACGACGGAGGUGGCGACAACAGCUCAAGCCACGACACCGACUUUUCUGCUGACCAGGAGCCGGAAGGAUGGGUUGCUCGACCCAUCACUCGCGACGCUGCUCGCGGGUGUCACUUCCACGAUGCGCUCGACACCCUGCUACGUCGGGCACUUGACCGGCAUACUUGGUCUAUCGAGUAUCGCUGUGUGGUCUUCCAGCAUAGUCGCGGGGUCUACCCGGACCGCUGGGAGGCGACCUGCUUGGUGCGUCGUCCGGAGAACAGUCUCUAGGGUGCUGAGGUCUGCUCAGAGCACUAUUCCAUCUCUAAGCGGGACUCAGCUGAGGCAGCCAUGCAAGAUGCCGCACGGCGUGCGCUUUCGCACUACUGUUUAGUGCUCGGUGGGGUAGCUGAUGGUCUCAACAUGAAGUACUACCCCCGCCGUCCAUCUGGCAGCACAGGAGGCGUGAUUGUCUCACCUGUCGGUGAGGACAAUCCUAGGUUGAGCAGCACAGUCAACCUAGCCGCCAUGCUAAACACGGAGCUGGACCAUGCAUUAGACGAGCUGAGUAGGGCUCGUGCUGAGAUCGCCCAGCUGCGGGCUGAGCGCGCGGAGCGUCGUCACCUGGAUGAUGGUUCCCCCGCUCCCAUAAGGACUCAGCACCCGUACCGCUCACCUCGGCGUGGACACCAGUCUUAUGGCAACACCGACUGCAAGACCAAGAUAAAUUUAGAACCAUAGAUCGUUAGAGCCGGAUCUUGUAAUUAAUACAAAAUAUAUACAUAGAAGCUACAAUCUUAGCAUUAGUCUCGCUUUUAGUUAGUCUUAGUUAGACAGGGUAGUUUGCUAUAUCCUGUGCAUUUAUGUUUGUCAUGAUGAAUUAUGUUUGAUUUGGAUCAUUGUAAUGACUGUCACCAGGAUGUGGGUAUCCCCUGCAUUUUGGUUUACCUGUUAUAUGUUAAUGGAGUUAGCUAUUUAGUUGGGAAGCCUUUUAUUCCACUUUCCUCUUUAUCUGAGAAGCUGUGUUGGUCUGUGUUGGAGAUCAGUGAAGAUGCUCAUCUGUUCAGUGUUGUUGAAGAAUUCUAUGCUCUUUUCUUAUGCUGCAAGAUUUGCAAGGUCAGUUCUGAUGUGUGGUUGCGUUCUGCAGAUGUCAGAAAACAGGCGCAGAGGAGGAAGGCAUGCUCAGCAGGAUGAGGCACCCCAGCAGCAGCAGCUGCCGCCCCCACCCCCGAUGUCGAUCGAGCAGAUGUUCCUGAUGCAGACUCAGGCAGUUCAAGCCAUCGGUCAGACUCUGGCCACCAUUCAGCAGCAGCAGCAGCCACCACCUCAGCCUCAGAUGCCUCAGAUGCCUAGAGACAAGCGUGCUGAAUUCAUGAGAGGUCAUCCCCCAACGUUUGCUCAUUCUUCUGACCCCAUGGAUGCUGAAGACUGGCUGCGCACAGUGGAGCGGGAGUUGCAUACCGCUCAGUGCAAUGACAGGGAGAAAGUCCUGUAUGGUCCCCGUCUAUUGAGAGGAGCAGCUCAGUCAUGGUGGGAGUCUUAUCUCGCCACCCAUGCCAACCCCGACACCAUCACCUGGGAAGAGUUCAGAGGUAGCUUUCGUCAGUACCAUGUUCCUGCAGGUCUGAUGACAGUGAAGAAGGAGGAGUUCCUGGCCCUCAAGCAAGGGUCAUCGUCUGUCAGUGAGUACCGGGACAGGUUUCUGCAGUUGUCUCGCUAUGCUCCUGAAGAUGUCAACACCUACGCCAAGCGACAGUAUCGUUUCCUGAGAGGCUUGGUUGACCCUCUGCAAUAUCAACUGAUGAAUCAUACCUUCCCGACAUUUCAGCACCUGAUUGACAGAGCAAUUAUGACAGAGAGGAAGCGUAAGGAGAUGGAGGAUCGAAAGCACAAGAUCAGUGGACCCUAGCCUGGAAGCAGCAAUCGUCCUCGUUUCUCAAGCAAUCAACCUCAGCAGUUCAGGCAGAACCAGUGUCCACCUCAGUAGCAGCAGUAGUUCCAAAGGCAGUAUCCUUAGCACCAGUAUCAGAAUCAUCAGAACAAUUAGUCAGGAGGAGGUCAGUUCCAGAGGCAGAAUCAGCAGGCACCUCACCUUCCUGCCCCAGCAAGCCAGUAGAACAGUCAGGCAGCACCAGCUCAUGUUGGAAACAGAGCAUGUUUCCACUGUGGAGAGCAGGGCCAUUGGGUGAUGCAAUGUCCGAAGAAGGCAGCCCAGCAGCAAUCAGGCCCCAAUGCCCCAGCAAAGCAGAAUGUGUCUCAGCCUGGAGCAGGCAACCGCUCUCAGCCACGUUAUAAUCAUGGGAGACUGAACCACUUGGAGGCUGAAGCAGUUCAGGAGACCCCCGACAUGAUAGUAGGUAUGUUCCUAGUUGACUCCCAUAUUGCAGAAGUGUUAUUUGAUACUGGAGCAACGCAUUCUUUCAUUACUGCAUCAUGGGUAGAAGCACAUAAUCUUCCAAUUACUACCAUGUCAACCCCCAUUCAAAUUGACUCAGCCGGUGGUAGAAUUCGAGCCGAUAGCAUUUGUUUGAAUGUAAGUGUGGAAAUAAGGGGGAUAGUGUUUCCCGCUAACCUUAUAGUAAUGGGUACUCAGGGAAUAGAUGUCAUCCUAGGGAUGAAUUGGCUAGAUAAGUAUUAGGCAGUUAUCAGUUGUGAUAAGAGGACAAUCAAGUUGGUGUCCCCACUAGGAGAGGAAGUGGUGACAGAGUUAGUCCCGCCUGAACCGAAGAAAGGAAGUUGUUAUCAGAUGGCUGUCGAUAGCAGUGAAGCAGACCCAAUUGAGAGUAUCAAGGUUGUGUCUGAGUUUCCAGAUGUGUUUCCAAAGGACUUGCCAGGUAUGCCACCAGAGCGGAAAGUUGAAUUUGCCAUAGAGCUUCUUCCUGGAACCGCCCCCAUCUUUAAGAGAGCUUACAGAGUAUCAGGACCAGAGUUAGUUGAACUUAAGAAGCAGAUCGAUGAGUUGUCAGAGAAAGGUUACAUCCGGCCAAGCACCUCGCCUUGGGCCGCCCCUGUCCUAUUUGUGGAAAAGAAAGAUGGCACCAGAAGGAUGUGUAUCGAUUAUCGAGCUCUAAAUGAGGUCACAAUCAAGAACAAGUACCCUUUGCCCAGAAUAGAAGAUCUAUUCGACCAGUUGAGAGGAGCCAGUGUGUUCUCCAAGAUAGAUCUGAGGUCGGGUUAUCAUCAGCUCAGGAUUCGACCUUCAGACAUUCCGAAGACGACAUUCAUUACCAAGUAUGGGUUGUAUGAGUUCACUGUGAUGUCUUUCGGUCUAACCAAUGCACCGGCCUUCUUUAUGAACUUGAUGAACAGUGUAUUCAUGGAUUAUCUUGAUAAGUUUGUGGUGGUAUUCAUUGAUGACAUUCUGAUUUACUCUCAAAGCGAAGAAGAGCAUGCAAGUCAUUUGAGGAUGGUAUUGCAGAGAUUGCGAGAGCACCAGCUGUAUGCAAAGUUGAGGAAGUGCGAGUUCUGGAUCAUUGAAGUCCUGUUCUUGGGUCACAUAAUCAACAAAGAAGGAUUGGCUGUGGAUCCGAAGAAAGUGGCAGACAUUCUAAACUAGAAAGCGCCAACAGAUGCUCGAGGGAUCAAGAGCUUCAUUGGAAUGGCCUGAUAUUAUCGGCGAUUCAUUGAAGGGUUUUCGAAGAUUGCGAAACCAAUGACAGUGUUGCUAGGCAACAAGGUCGAGUUCAAGUGGACCCAGAAAUGUCAAGAGGCCUUCGAAGCGCUGAAAGAGAAGUUGACUACGACACCUGUCUUAGUCUUGCCUGAUGUGCACAAGCCCUUCUUGGUGUAUUGCGAUGCUUGUUACACUGGUUUGGGAUGUGUGUUGAUGCAAGAGGGAAGAGUUGUGGCUUACUCGUCCCGACAGCUGAAGGUUCAUGAGCAGAAUUACCCAAUCCAUGACCUAGAGUUGGCAGCAGUGGUUCACGCACUGAAGACAUGGAGGCACUAUCUGUAUGGACAGAAAUGUGAUGUUUACACAGACCACAAGAGUCUGAAGUACAUAUUCACUCAGUCAGAGCUGAAUAUGAGGCAAAGAAGAUGGUUAGAGUUGAUCAAAGACUAUGAGUUGGAGAUUCACUACCAUCUAGGCAAAGCGAAUGUAGUGGCAGAUGCUCUGAGCAGGAAGAGUCAAGUCAAUCUGAUGGUCGCUCGUCCGAUGCCCUAUGAGUUGGCCAAGGAGUUUGACAGGUUGAGUGUCGGAUUUCUGAAUAAUUCGCGAGGAGUCACAAUUGAGUUGGAACCUACCUUGGAGCGGGAAAUCAAAGAAGCGCAGAAGAAUGAUGAGAAGAUCAGUGAGAUUCGGCGACUGAUUCUGGACGGCAGAGGCAAAGAUUUUCGGGAAGGUGCAGAAGGGGUGAUAUGGUUCAAAGACCGCUUGUGUGUUCCCAAUGUCCAGUCUAUUCGGGAGUUGAUUCUCAAGGAAGCUCAUGAGACAGCCUAUUCGAUUCACCCUGGCAGUGAGAAGAUGUAUCAGGAUCUGAAGAAGAAAUUCUGGUGGUACGGAAUGAAAAGGGAAAUCGCAGAGCAUGUGGCCAUGUGUGAUAGUUGUCGACGGAUCAAGGCAGAGCACCAGAGACCAGCUGGAUUGUUGCAACCGCUGCAAAUUCCUCAGUGGAAAUGGGAUGAAAUCGGUAUGGACUUCAUAGUCGGAUUGCCUCGCACUCGAGCUGGCUACGAUUCCAUUUGGGUAGUGGUGGACCGCUUGACCAAGUCAGCCCACUUCAUACCCGUCAAGACCAACUACAGCAGUGCAGUAUUGGCAGAAUUGUACAUGUCUCGGAUCGUUUGUCUUCACGGUGUGCCAAAGAAGAUAGUGUCAGACAGAGGAACGCAGUUCACCUCUCAUUUCUGGCAGCAGUUGCAUGAAGCCUUGGGCACACAUCUGAAUUUCAGUUCAGCUUAUCAUCCGCAGACAGAUGGUCAGACUAAAAGAACCAAUCAAAUCCUUGAAGACAUGUUGAGAGCCUGUGCGUUGCAAGACCAGUCCGGAUGGGACAAGAAGUUGCCUUAUGCAGAGUUCUCCUAUAACAAUAGUUAUCAGACCAGCUUGAAGAUGUCACCAUUUCAGGCGCUCUAUGGGAGGAGUUGUAGAACUCCGUUGCAAUGGGAUCAGCCUAGAGAAAAGCAAGUGUUCGGGCCAGACGUUUUGCUUGAAGCUGAAGAGAACAUCAAGAUGGUUCGAAAGAAUUUGAAGAUAGCGCAAUCAAGGCAGCGAAGUUAUGCAGAUACAAGAAGAAGAGAGCUGAGUUUCGAAGUUGGAGACUUUGUCUAUCUGAAAGUGUCACCGAUCAGAGGAGUCAGAAGAUUCGGAGUCAAAGGCAAGCUAGCACCCCGCUACAUCGGUCCGUAUCAAAUCCUCGCAAGGCGUGGAGAAGUGGCCUAUCAGCUCAGUUUGCCAGAAGGCUUGUCCGCAGUGCAUGACGUCUUUCAUGUGUCUCAGUUGAAGAAAUGUUUGUGUGUGCCAGAAGAGCAGUUGCCAGUGGAAGGUCUGGAGGUCCAGGAGGACUUGACCUACACAGAGAAACCAGCGCAGAUCCUUGAAACCGUAGACAGAGUCACCCGAAGGAAGACCAUCAGAAUGUGCAAAGUCAGAUGGAGUCAUCACUCUAAGGAAGAAGCAACCUGGGAGCGUGAAGAUGAUCUGAUGGCUAAAUACCCUGAGCUCUUUGCUAGCAAACCCUGAAUCUCGAGGGCGAGAUUCUUUUAAGGGGGAUAGGUUUGUAACGCCCUGAAUUUGGGGGUAGAAUUUUUUCUUCUUUUCUCUCACCAAAUUCGGGCGUUACUCUCUUUUCUCUUCCUGUUUUGCUCCUUCUUCCUAAUUUCAAACCAGUAUAGUGACAGGUGUCUGUGUCGUGUAUGAACAAAACCUAAGUGUCAUGGGUGUUGCAUCAUGCCGAAGCACAUUUCCUUGUCUGAUGUUGCGUGUUCGUCUCGUUCUGUCUCGGUUUUUGGUUCGCGAUUGGAGCCCGUUUGAGGGUCGUGCGUGUCGUAGGUUUCGAUCCACGAAGUGGCUCGGCCCAACCCAACCCAACCCAACCCAACCCAACCCAACUCAGCCCAGCCCGAUCCGGCCCGGCCCGGCCCUGCGCGCCCCUGGCGUCCCACACCCCCCAUGCGCCCCCUCCUCUCCUCCCUCUCUCAUUUGGAUUUCCCGCGCAGCAACCUCCCUCUCCCUCUUCCACCUCUCUCUCCCUGUGGUGCCCUAGGUUUUGGAGACGGUGAUCGCCGGAGUUGGAUCCCGAGGUGAGCUCCCCUCCCCUCCCUUCUCCUCUCUCUCUCUCCCUCUCCCUCCUCUUCUCCCCCUGCGCGCGCGCCCCUGCCCUCCCUGCUUGCCGGCGGUGCGGCCCCGCCCCCUGCUCACGCGGCACGCGCGGCCCCCGCCCCCUCCCAUGCCCGCGCGGUGCGCCCCCGCCCUCCCCUGCUCGCGCGUGGCGCAGCCCCCGCCCCCUGCUCGCGCGACGGCGCCCCCACCCCUCCCCUGCCCGCGCGGCGCGCCCCCGCCCUCCCCUGCUCGCGCGCAACGCGGCCCCCGCCCCUGCUCGCGCGGCGGCGCCCCCGCCCCUCCCCUGCCCGCGGCGACGCGGCCCCUGGCGCGGCGCGACCCGGCGCAGCCCCCGGCGCGGCGUCCUCGGCCCCUGCGCGCGGCCUCGGCCCCCUGCGCGCGGCAUUCGGCCCCGGCGCGGCCUCGGCCCCCUGCGCGCGGCGUCCCGGCUCUCGGCGUGGCUCGCGUGGCCUUGGCGUGGCCUCGCGCUCCCCCGUUUACUCCUAACGCGUUCCCGCGUGCGCAACCCCACGCGCGCGGUGAUUAUUCUUGGUUUUUAGUUAGUUUCAAACUCCAUUAGUUAGCGUGCUGUGUCGCGCGCUUCAUCGCGCGACGAAUUUAUCUAAUUUCAUAUUCUAUGAAUGUGUUGCGUCGUGCGCUUCGUCGCGUGACGAUCCAUUUUAAUUUCAGGUUGUUUAAUGUGUAACGUCGCGCGUGUAUUCAUGCGACGUUCCACUUUAGACUCAGUUCAGUUGACGUAUGCCGUCGUGCAUUUCGUCGCGCGAAGCUUAACGUCUCUUUAUAAUUUAUGCAAAGUGUCUCGUUGUGCGCUCGGUCGCGCGACGAGUCGUUGAUUUCCUUAAUUCAAUUUAAGGUGCUAUGUCGCGCGUCUCGCCGCGCGACGAUCCUUUUAAUUUAUCUUCAUCUGCUUAUAAUGAUUAGACAUGAAACAUGACUUUACUUUAUGCUAAACGUAGUGUCUACAUUAAUGCCUUUCAAUUGAGCGAGUGGUUUAAUUCAUAAUAAUGUAACGUGAUCGUUUCUCGACUGUCUUUUCCUCUUUCUCUCUUAACCGUAAUUGCAAGCCCGCGUGGAACGUCUGUUUACUUACUGCAUUCUAUUGUAUGGUGUACUGUUCUUUUGUAUUAAAUAUGUGGAUGUAUGUAUGUUUGCGCUCGCAUAGAGAACGAUCCGGUCGGAGAGCCCAAAGAACUCGCAGGAGAAGCCCCUGAGCAGCAGUCGGUUGGUGGAGGCAAGUGUCCCUUGACCUAUCUCUGUCCUAUACAUUCUUUAAUUCACCUCCCGCAUUACACAUUUAUACCUAAGGAUUGACUAGCUUUUGUUGUCCAUGUCCUUGUUUACCUAUUUGGGUCGGAUUAUUAUUGCUUAGUCUUAUGCUAUUGCUCAACUCUAAUCAAUGAACAUGAUGAGAAUUAUCAAUGAUACGCUGUUUUCCCCUCUUUUAUUAUGAUGUUAUACUUGUGACCUUCAAGGGGGCUCGAGCGGUUUCUCGAGUGCCUCUCCGUAAGGACCUGUUCGUUGGAUGACCGCCCGGGAAAACAGUGCAACCAUGAGGGUGGAGUGGGACGCCCUUAGCUGAAUAAUUAGAGGAACCGGGGUGUAGUUCGCUGUAACACUAUGAAAGUCAUUAAAUAAAAAUAAUACCUUUAGUUAAUAAUGGUAUUUAUGAUAAUAAAUUUUCCAUUGAAGUGUUUGUUAUUUAUUUCAUUCGGAAUGAUUUUUGAUUGCUCAUAAGUAAUUUUGAAUAUUGAAUAUCAUUUCUUCUUAAAUUAAAAUUCACAUAAAUAGUAUAAUAAAUAUUAGUCCAAGAAUGAAUAUUUUAUUUAUAACUUUGGUUUAAUUAUUAUAAAUUUUAUGGAUAUUUAAAAGCUUAUUUUAAAUUAGAAAAGAAUUAGAAAAUAAAAAAAAACAAAACAAAACCUAACUAACCCUAACCUAAACCUUGGCCCAUUAGGCCCAAAACACUCCCAGCCGUCACUCUCCCUCAGGCCGCCGCCGCCCCUGGUAGCCGCCGUCUCUCCCUGCUCCUCUCUCCCAACCGACUCUCUUCCAUUCCUCUCUCUCCCCUCGUUCUCUCUCCCAGGCGCGCUGCCGACCGACCCGCUCCAGCCGUCGAGCCACAGGCGCGACGCCCGCAGCCGCUGGACCGCGCCCGAGCAGCCCCGCCGAGGAGCCGAGCCCCAUGCCGCCUGACGCCCGUGACGCACAGGCCGAAGCCCGACCGCGCCGUGCCGUGCGAGCCGAGCGCCCUGCACGCCGGCCGGACCCGAAGCCGCGCCCGCCAGGAACCCGACGCGAAGCCCGACCAGUCGAGCGCCGCGCCCCUGCCACGUCCCUUCCCCGACCGCGCCCAGCUGCUCGCCGCGUCACCGACCGCAACUCCGACCCGAGCCGAGAACGGACGCCAGGAAGUCCGCCCGCGCGACGACCGUGCCAUGAAGCCGAGCCUUCCGUUCCUCUGCGUUAAGGAAUUUUACUGCGUCCGUUAAUCCCUCCCCAUUACUCUCCAUGAAAGAAACCGGUGACCAUUCAUGGCCGCCAUGAAGCAUACCGACGACCUCUGCUCUCCCUCCCUCUCUCUAUAAAACCCCAACCGAGCCCUCUCCUUCUGCCUGCCCAAGCCUCUUCCCUUCUUCUCUCUUGCAACGCCGCCUCGCCAGAACAGUCUGCCGUCGACCGCGCAGCUCGCCCAAGCCACCAGACGUUCGCUCCCGUGCCACGCGGCCAGGCCAGCGUGGUCGAGUUCUGUUGCCAGAGCUCGCCCGCGCAGCACCCGUCGACCAUGCCCAUGCCGCCGCUCUGCUCACGCGCACCCGCUGUUGAGCCCUGCUCGCGUCGUGCCCAGCUCGCUGUCGUGAAGCUCGUCGCCGGACCGUCCGCAUCCGUACGCCGUUCGCCAUCCCUGGAGCCUCGCCGGAGUUCGUACUCACCGUUCGCGUCCCUCGGCCGGAGCUCCGUCCGAACGCUCACCAACGAUCGCGUCGUUCCCUGCCCGUCGAACCCCGCUCGUCGAUGUUCAUCCCUGCGCAUGAACGAAAUCACAAGGUUGAAGACAAUCCUGAAAUAUUUAUUUUCUAAAUCAUGUUUUGAAUUUAUUGUGAAUUACUGUUGUAAUAUUGAGAUGAUGCGAUUUGGCGAAUCACGUGGAUGAUUUUAGAGAUGCGAUAUAUACGUGUAGCCACACGUUUAGCCAAAAUCGAACCCUGCGACAAUACUUUGAAGAUACGUAUGAUUUAUAAUUUAAAAAACAUGAACACAGUCACUAUUCGCUACUUUAGUGAUUUUCAUACUAGAAAUGUUUACGGAUUUGUUUUCACUUUUGUGGGUGGAGCGAUAAUUGUUAGUAGUAUGUUAAGUAUAAACUUAUUUGCAUAAAGAAAUAGAAGAAAUACUAGGCCACGUAUUUUCGGUCAAAUAAGGAUAUAGUUUACUAUUCAUAAUAAAUGAAUUCAUAAGUAUGGCACUUAAGUACUUAGAAUUAGUAUGAUAUUUAUUUAUGUCAUAAUAACCAUGAAUAGGUUAUUAAAAGUCCCAUUUAGUAAUUUACAAUUAAUUCUUAGUAUAUUAAUGUUAGAAGAAUUAAAUAAACAAUUUUUAGUUAUAUGUAUAAAUUCUAUUUAGAAAAGAAAGGAGAAAACUGAAAUAGUAGAAUUUAUAAUAGUGUUAAAAUGACUUAACUAGGCACUUAUACUUUCCUAAUAAAGAAAAUGAUAAUAUGUUGAUAAAUAUAGGUUUCUUACUAAAGAAGUAGAGAAUUUGUUUCUAACUGUAAAAUGACCUUUUUAAAAGAUAUCAUAUUUAACAAGGUUCGUUAUAAAUGUUUAAGUAUAACCGUAUUAAAUAGAAGCUUAAAAGAAUAUAUAAAUCGUUUGUUUUUUACUAGAAGAUAAAUAUAUGUCCCAUUAAUAAAUUAUUUCUUAAUUAAAAGAUAACUAAGGUCAUUGCUUUUAUAAACUAAAAUAAUAGUUAAUAACAUACCAAUGAAUAUAAUAUUCAUUUUAAAUAUUUAGGUCAUAUGUUUCUAAACUAAAUGUAAAGAUAAAUAAUAGAGUAAUUAUGUCCUCUCAUAACCUAGUUAAUUAGAUUUAUAUUGGUUUACAACGGGUUAUAUAGGCUUAAGUAAUCAUUUAAUUAAAAUUAGUUCACAUUAUUUAUAUAUGUGUCACUUAGUUUUUCCUAAAGAAUAAACUAAGGAAAUUAGUGUUCAUGUUCUUUAAUAAUAAUGUUAGUUUGUAUAUUGUUUUGUAUAUGGCUUUCUUAAUAAAAUAUAGGACAUGUACUUUAUAAUAAAAAUAAAAUAUAACUGUUUGUUUAUUGUCUUUUACAUAAAAGUUCAUUAAAGCAUAUAUCAUAACUUUCCAUAAAUAGGUGUUUAAUAAUAAUAAUCUUUUCACAUAAAACCUAUUUAGACUUAUAUCUUAAUUUGUCGUAAGUGAAGGUUUAACAAUGAUUUAUAAUAUGUUCCAUAAUGCUUCUAAAAUUAAUAACGUGUUUUGUAGGCCAUUAACCUUAGAUAUAUAAUAUUUAUCUUUUCUAAAAAGGUUUAACAUCGUUAUAACGUGUUUUAUCGUCUUAUAAACCCUUAAUAUUAGACAUAGCACGUAUGACGCUUUAUAAAAUAUUAAUUUGGUGAACCAAAUAUUUGUAUAUAUUAAUUAAUAUAUUUUAAGCUCAUGUCUUGUUUUAUAAAGUAUAGAUCACACUUUUUUUUGAAAAGAAUAUCUUUUUUUAUUACAACCCUUGCGUGUAACGUUUUUGAAAAGCGAACGCUCUUUUCAUUAGGCUUUCUUUUAGCUUUACGUAUGGUGAAUGUUGUAUGUUAUUGAGUGGUGUUUGUUCUUCUUGUUUGUUUGUGUGAUAUUCAGUGGUUGAUCUAGUAAGUUGAGAAUCAAGAUAUAUUCCGUGGAAGAACCUCGAGUUUUCAAUAAGCAAGGCAAGUGGACUUCUCCCUCUGCAUACUCUGUUUGAUCCCAAACAAUACAUUUAAUAAAGUUUAUUCUUCGAUGAAUAUAUGCAUAAUUUGACGGGUUACCUAUUUAGAUAACCAUUCCAACCUUAUUCCUUGUUAACCUGGGAUUAUGAUCUAAGCAAGUAGCUAUGCUAUUGCUACAACUCUAAAUUUAUGCAGUCACUCCCGCUUAUGAUAUUGAUGUUCCAAAUGGUAAGUUUACUUUAUUGUUGUUAACCCGAUGGUUAAACAAGAUUAUUGCAUAUUAAUUGGAACAUGGAGUGACCACCCGGGAAAACAGUGCUACCAUGAGAACUAUCAUAGCUCUGGUCUUGGCUAAAUAACUAGGGAAGUCUUAUGUUGGGUGCUGGUCGUGGUCGACAGGAACGGGGGCAUCUGGCAAGCUCUUAUAGUUCCGGCUCAGGCAGAUUGGAUACGGGCAUAGUUCCCAAAGCUUUACCCUAUAGUCUGGACUAUAAGUUGGUCACGGUAGGUGUGCCUUAUGCAGUUUGAUCAUAUCCAGCAUUUGCGUAAUGAGGACUCUAGGGAGAAGCCUCGUAGUGAGACCCUGGCCAUUCACCUCGGAAGUGAAUACGGGUCUAGCUAACCCGGGCUAGAAGGGAAUCGCGACUCAUGGGUAAAGAUGCGCCACCUCUGCAGAGUGUAAAACUGAUAUAUCAGCCGUGCUCACGGUUAUGAGCGGCCUGGACUCCUCACAUGAUAAUUGAACUUGAAGAUGGAAAUAAAUCGAGAUCCGAUGAUCUGCCAAUGGUUUUGCUUAAGUGGUUUCACUUAAGUGUUUUUGAUAUAAUCUUGUAUCUUUGCUUAAUGGGAAUACUUGGGAUUCAUACUUAUUAGUAAGACAUGUGUUGUUAAUAAAAUGUUGACCAACUAAAAUGCUUACUGCUCAACCUUAGCCUCACCUUGUUAAACCUGCAUUAGUUUUUCCCCCACUUGCUGAGCCCCGACCAUAAGUGAGCUCACCCUUGCUUAAUUUUGAUCAGAAGUUUGCAGAUGAAGAUAUGAUGCUGAACUCCAUGGAUGCUAGUCUAGUGAUACCCCCAGUCAUCUUCCUGUGGAUGGAUGUCCAUGUUCGCUGUACUUUGAUGAAUAAAGGUUAAGACAUUAUGUCUGUUCGAAGUGUAAUAUGUUAAUAUAAGCAUUAUUUACGCUCUUAUGCAUUGUUCUUUUGAUAUAUUACACUUGUGACGUCAACAUAUGUGUGGAAAUAGAUCCUGGCACACAUAUGCUAUGCACCCGGCUCUGCCCUUAGAAACGGGUGUGACAGAAGUGGUAUCAAAGCAAUGUGACCGUAGGUCGCUAGAUUAGUUAGAAAUGGAAAGCCCAGUCAGUCGUUCAAAACUUGACUUAAUUGUCUUUAUAAAAAUUUACUUUAUAUCAAACUCGCCUCUUUUAUUUUCAACUCUUCUUAUCUGAUUCUUCGUCUAUCAGAAGGUUCUAAUGAGAAGCAUUGCAAGAUGAUCAAGCUAGGAUUUCAGAACUUGAAGCGAAGUUUGCCAGAAGAAACCCUUUCGAAGCUAUCGACGAUGCCCUAUUCUCUGUCUUAUCCCCACUCCGCAAGAAGUUUUGUUAUGGAUCCCCUGGAUCUAUUAUUUGACUUCUUGGUUAGGUUGAUAGGAUUGUUCUUUAGUAUUAAGAUUUUCGACUAGAUCGGUAAUGGCGAUAUUAUAUUAUAUUAUAAGAGGUUUUCUAAUCCUUAAUAUUGCUAUAUAACCCUUGACUUCUUAUACUUUUGUUGUCUUGCCAUUGUAUUGCCACCCUUGUGCAAUAUCUACCUUGAUAUAUUAAACUUUUGCCUCUCUACUUUUCUCCUUGAUAAUGCUUUCUCCCUAUUGAAUUCUUAUACUUUUGCUUUCAUGCCAUUGUAUUGCCGCCCUUGCGCAAUAUCUACCUUGAUGUAUGAAACCUUUGGCUCUCUACUCCUUGAUAAUGCCUUUAUAUUUUGUAUCCUUAAAAAAAACUUUCUCAUAUCCUUGGUUGUAUAAUUUAUUCUCGCUUCACGAGUUAGUGGUUAUCUUAUUUCACUCUUGGUCAUUAACAAUAAUGUUUUGAAUCUUGUCUAUCUCCUUGUUAUUUCUGAUCUGAUUCUUGGAUUUUAUAAUCUCUUUCUUAUUCCUAACCUUGUCCCGCCUUUAAAAAAACUGUAAGAAAUUGUUUUCUUAGGAAAGACUGCCUUUUGAUUGAAUGAAUGACAUCGAGUUACGUUGUGCUGAUAUGUUUCAGUUCAUGUUAGCUGUAUUUGUGACUAUGUUUGAUUUGCUUCUUUGUAGUGAUUGUUGUUGUAUUGUGUGACUUUUGUCCACAAUGACAACAGUUAGCUAAGUUAAACCUUAGAUAGAUGGGUUUUCUCUGCUCUCUAUAAUCUGUCUUUGCUCAACCCUUUCGUCCCUUCCAUUCCUCCAUACCCAUAUAGAUGUCAGACCUUGGAAUGUCAACUGCAAGUGAUAUCACUAAGUACAAAGAAUACAUUGUGUUGGCAACUCCUCCAGCUAAGGAUCAGAUGGAACAGUUCAAGAAGGCGCAUGCUCAGUUUCUACAAGCAACAUGUCAAGUGGUAGCUAGACUCCAACAAGUUGAUUUAGCAGAAUUUAUAGCACAUGAGCAGACUACCGAUAAUCAUAUGACAUCAACCACAACAUCACCCUCGAUAGUUGACUUAGAAAAGCUGUUACAUAAACAGGCUCUUGUAAUACAAAAUGUAUCUCAACUCACCUCCUCAUGCCAGCAAGUGUUGGCAAGUCGAAACGUCACUAGAAAUGAAACAGCCAAUCAACAGACACAAAAGGAUGCACACCAACAGACAAGUGAUCUUGGAACAUUUUGUUGUUGUGCGUACUAUGGAAUUCCUUGUCGCCAGAUCAGUACAAACGAAAGUGAAACUACAAAACAGAAGAACCGGAUUUUAUUUUCUAGCAUAAACAGACAGAUGUCUCCCCCUGAACAAAUAAUAGCAGAUUCUCUCAUACCUAAUGCACUGUCAGUUGAUGAAUUGCAAAGUAUUCCAAAAAGGAAACAUCACAAGGAUGCCCAGCCCCAAGAAGAAACACAGGAGUGUUACAUUGAUGGAUGGACUAUUACUUGUACACAGUUUCAGCCUCGUCGUCGCAUCAGGUCCAAGAAACAAAAAGGGAAAUGUGGAAAAAGUCAAGAAAUAACUUCAAGAAAAGCUUGCUAUCAAUGUGGACUUUUAGGUCAUUACUUCCGUAACUGUCCUGAGAAAAGUUCACUACAAAUCACCUCCGAGAUGAAGCUAUCUCAGUCUCCAGACAUGGAAUAUGAACAGAAAUGCACAGAAACCUCUACCAACAACGUAAAGACAACUCCACCAUGUAACUCAUCAAGUCGUGCUUGCUUUGGCUGUGGUGAUACCGGCCAUCUUGUUAAUGGUUGUCCUAAGAAGGAUGUGGAGAUCAAUAAGGUCCAAAAGAAAAGACAACACCCUCAAACUCAAGCAUCAACAAAGAAUAAACAACGGAAAGAGACCACAGGAAAGAUAAGUUAUGCAGUGACAGGAACCAUUCCAUAUGAUGAUGCAGUAAUUUUUGGAACACUAGUCAUUCACACAACCAUCGCCACCGUGUUGUAUGAUCCUUGUACAACACAUUCUCUUAUCAGUGCCCAGUUUGCAACAAAGUACGGUAUCUUUAAGUGCCCCUUGAGAUCAAGCAAGACCAUCAGUGCACCCGAAGGAAAAAUGCUAGUAAACUACAUAUGUCCAAAAGUAAGUGUUAAAAUCAACGGGAUAGAUUUUCCAGCUGAUCUCCUAGUGAUAGAAUCAAUGGAAAAGGAUGUGAUUCUUGGAAGGAAUUGGUUACAAAGAACUAAGGCAGUAAUCCAGCAUACUGAGAGAACCAUGUGUUUGGAAACCCCAUCUGGAGAAAGAAUAGUAGUUGAAGACAAUCGACCGCCAGCUCUGAAGAUUGGUGCAUCUGACUAGGAAGAAUAAUAUAUCAUUUAGCUAGAAGGAGUAUGUCUCACGAAGAAAAAAAAACGUCAAAGUGUUGCCCCUUUCAAGAUUUGUAAUUGUGCUAAGUGAUAUAUGAAUAAAUUUGGAGAAUCUCUCGCACCUAUUGUGUUUUGCCUCUUUAUAAAGAAAAUAAAGUAUGGUGUCAUCUACUUUAUGCAAACAAUGUGAUACUCUAGUUGCCCUAAAGUCCCACUCAAGGUUUUUUUUUCAAUUUGUGCUCAAAGAAAUAUUGUUGGAUCAGAAAGAUGAUUUGGAUAUCAAGCUCUGAAAUCUAUAAGGUUCAAAAAGAUCUUUGUUAAGGAAUAUAAGACCUGUAAACUCUCAAAGUAUGAUGGAACUAGUAGAAAUCUGAAACCAUCCCUGUUCCUUAACUAAUCUUAUAUUGGAAAUUAAAACGUUGUGUUAGCUCUUUAUCAUAAUGUCAUACAAGCCUCUUAUGCAGUCUAUCUCACUAACUCUUUUACCCUCUGACUAGAUGAUGAACCCCAAUGGAAAUGAAGUAAAUGAUGCCAACAACAAUAUUCCUACCUUAACAACUAUGAACGAGAAAAAUGAGUCACAGAGGUAUUCGAUGAAUGGAAUGAAGAACAACAAAAGGAAUAGAAAAAUGUUUGGAUACAUGAUUAGUCCACCUCAAGCGAAAGCCACGAAACAUAUGGAUACCCAAACAGAAGAAUCAAGUCAGGCUCAGCUACAUGAGAUACAGACACCCAAUGAACCCUCACCCCCUGUUGGUCAAGCAAAGUUGACUCGUAAAGAACUCAAAGCAAGAGGUGCUUGCUACUACUGCAAAAACGAAGGACAUCUUAUUCGCGAAUGCCCCAAGAAACGUCUAGACCGACUUGAGAAGAAAGCUGCCAAGCAUGACCUAAGCAAUAAUUCAGAAGACCCACCAUUUAUAAGUACGAUGAUGAAGAUCGCUUGAUUUGUAGUCAUUGCGGAGCGAAGAAACAAUAAGUUCCUUAAGUUUAGAAGAGUUAAAAUGUGAACCAAGAACCUACAAAUAACCAUGUGUCUUCUUUGUUUUCUUGCUAGCCUUUCUUAAUCUCGAGGACGAGAUUCUUUUUAAGAGGGGUAGAUUUGUAACACUAUGAAAGUCAUUAAAUAAAAAUAAUACCUUUAGUUAAUAAUGGUAUUUAUGAUAAUAAAUUUUCCAUUGAAGUGUUUGUUAUUUAUUUCAUUCGGAAUGAUUUUUGAUUGCUCAUAAGUAAUUUUGAAUAUUGAAUAUCAUUUCUUCUUAAAUUUAAAUUCACAUAAAUAGUAUAAUAAAUAUUAGUCCAAGAAUGAAUAUUUUAUUUAUAACUUUGGUUUAAUUAUUAUAAAUUUUAUGGAUAUUUAAAAGCUUAUUUUAAAUUAGAAAAGAAUUAGAAAAGAAAAAAACAAAACAAAACCUAACUAACCCUAACCUAAACCUUGGCCCAUUAGGCCCAAAACACUCCCAGCCGUCACUCUCCCUCAGGCCGCCGCCGCCCCUGGUAGCCGCCGUCUCUCCCUGCUCCUCUCUCCCAACCGGCUCUCUUCCAUUCCUCUCUCUCCCCUCGUUCUCUCUCCCAGGCGCGCUGCCGACCGACCCGCUCCAGCCGUCGAGCCACAGGCGCGACGCCCGCAGCCGCUGGACCGCGCCCGAGCAGCCCCGCCGAGGAGCCGAGCCCCAUGCCGCCUGACGCCCGCGACGCACAGGCCGAAGCCCGACCGCGCCGUGCCGUGCGAGCCGAGCGCCCUGCACGCCAGCCGGACCCGAAGCCGCGCCCGCUAGGAACCCGACGCGAAGCCCGACCGGUCGAGCGCCGCGCCCCUGCCACGUCCCUUCCCCGACCGCGCCCAGCUGCUCGCCGCGUCACCGACCGCAACUCCGACCCGAGCCGAGAACGGACGCCAGGAAGUCCGCCCGCGCGACGACCGUGCCAUGAAGCCGAGCCUUCCGUUCCUCUGCGUUAAGGAAUUUUACUGCGUCCGUUAAUCCCUCCCCAUUACUCUCCAUGAAAGAAACCGGCGACCAUUCAUGGCCGCCAUGAAGCAUACCGGCGACCUCUGCUCUCCCUCCCUCUCUCUAUAAAACCCCAACCGAGCCCUCUCCUUCUGCCUGCCCAAGCCUCUUCCCUUCUUCUCUCUCGCAACGCCGCCUCACCAGAACAGUAUGCCGUCGACCGCGCAGCUCGCCCAAGCCACCAGACGUUCGCUCCCGUGCCACGCGGCCAGGCCAGCGUGGUCGAGUUCUGUUGCCAGAGCUCGCCCGCGCAGCACCCCGUCGACCACGCCCAUGCCGCCGCUCUGCUCACGCGCACCCGCUGUUGAGCCCUGCUCGCGUCGUGCCCAGCUCGCUGUCGUGAAGCUCGUCGCCGGACCGUCCGCAUCCGUACGCCGUUCGCCAUCCCUGGAGCCUCGCCGGAGUUCGUACUCACCGUUCGCGUCCCUCGGCCGGAGCUCCGUCCGAACGCUCACCAACGAUCGCGUCGUUCCCUGCCCGUCGAACCCCGCUCGUCGAUGUUCAUCCCUGCGCAUGAACGAAAUCACAAGGUUGAAGACAAUCCUGAAAUAUUUAUUUUCUAAAUCAUGUUUUGAAUUUAUUGUGAAUUACUGUUGUAAUAUUGAGAUGAUGCGAUUUGGCGAAUCACGUGGAUGAUUUUAGAGAUGCGAUAUAUACGUGUAGCCACACGUUUAGCCAAAAUCGAACCCCGCGACAAUACUUUGAAGAUACGUAUGAUUUAUAAUUUAAAAAACAUGAACACAGUCACUAUUCGCUACUUUAGUGAUUUUCAUACUAGAAAUGUUUACGGAUUUGUUUUCACUUUUGUGGGUGGAGCGAUAAUUGUUAGUAGUAUGUUAAGUAUAAACUUAUUUGCAUAAAGAAAUAGAAGAAAUACUAGGCCACGUAUUUUCGGUCAAAUAAGGAUAUAGUUUACUAUUCAUAAUAAAUGAAUUCAUAAGUAUGGCACUUAAGUACUUAGAAUUAGUAUGAUAUUUAUUUAUGUCAUAAUAACCAUGAAUAGGUUAUUAAAAGUCCCAUUUAGCAAUUUACAAUUAAUUCUUAGUAUAUUAAUGUUAGAAGAAUUAAAUAAACAAUUUUUAGUUAUAUGUAUAAAUUCUAUUUAGAAAAGAAAGGAGAAAACUGAAAUAGUAGAAUUUAUAAUAGUGUUAAAAUGACUUAACUAGGCACUUAUACUUUCCUAAUAAAGAAAAUGAUAAUAUGUUGAUAAAUAUAGGUUUCUUACUAAAGAAGUAGAGAAUUUGUUUCUAACUGUAAAAUGACCUUUUUAAAAGAUAUCAUAUUUAACAAGGUUCGUUAUAAAUGUUUAAGUAUAACCGUAUUAAAUAGAAGCUUAAAAGAAUAUAUAAAUCGUUUGUUUUUUACUAGAAGAUAAAUAUAUGUCCCAUUAAUAAAUUAUUUCUUAAUUAAAAGAUAACUAAGGUCAUUGCUUUUAUAAACUAAAAUAAUAGUUAAUAACAUACCAAUGAAUAUAAUAUUCAUUUUAAAUAUUUAGGUCAUAUGUUUCUAAACUAAAUGUAAAGAUAAAUAAUAGAGUAAUUAUGUCCUCUCAUAACCUAGUUAAUUAGAUUUAUAUUGGUUUACAACGAGUUAUAUAGGCUUAAGUAAUCAUUUAAUUAAAAUUAGUUCACAUUAUUUAUAUAUGUGUCACUUAGUUUUUCCUAAAGAAUAAACUAAGGAAAUUAGUGUUCAUGUUCUUUAAUAAUAAUGUUAGUUUGUAUAUUGUUUUGUAUAUGGCUUUCUUAAUAAAAUAUAGGACAUGUACUUUAUAAUAAAAAUAAAAUAUAACUGUUUGUUUAUUGUCUUUUACAUAAAAGUUCAUUAAAGCAUAUAUCAUAACUUUCCAUAAAUAGGUGUUUAAUAAUAAUGAUCUUUUCACAUAAAACCUAUUUAGACUUAUAUCUUAAUUUGUCGUAAGUGAAGGUUUAACAAUGAUUUAUAAUAUGUUCCAUAAUGCUUCUAAAAUUAAUAACGUGUUUUGUAGGCCAUUAACCUUAGAUAUAUAAUAUUUAUCUUUUCUAAAAAGGUUUAACAUCGUUAUAACGUGUUUUAUCGUCUUAUAAACCCUUAAUAUUAGACAUAGCACGUAUGACGCUUUAUAAAAUAUUAAUUUGGUGAACCAAAUAUUUGUAUAUAUUAAUUAAUAUAUUUUAAGCUCAUGUCUUGUUUUAUAAAGUAUAGAUCACACUUUUUUUUGAAAAGAAUAUCUUUUUUUAUUAUAACCCUUGCGUGUAACGUUUUUGAAAAGCGAACGCUCUUUUCAUUAGGCUUUCUUUUAGCUUUACGUAUGGUGAAUGUUGUAUGUUAUUGAGUGGUGUUUGUUCUUCUUGUUUGUUUGUGUGAUAUUCAGUGGUUGAUCUAGUAAGUUGAGAAUCAAGAUAUAUUCCGUGGAAGAACCUCGAGUUUUCAAUAAGCAAGGCAAGUGGACUUCUCCCUCUGCAUACUCUGUUUGAUCCCAAACAAUACAUUUAAUAAAGUUUAUUCUUCGAUGAAUAUAUGCAUAAUUUGACGGGUUACCUAUUUAGAUAACCAUUCCAACCUUAUUCCUUGUUAACCUGGGAUUAUGAUCUAAGCAAGUAGCUAUGCUAUUGCUACAACUCUAAAUUUAUGCAGUCACUCCCGCUUAUGAUAUUGAUGUUCCAAAUGGUAAGUUUACUUUAUUGUUGUUAACCCGAUGGUUAAACAAGAUUAUUGCAUAUUAAUUGGAACAUUGAGUGACCACCCGGGAAAACAGUGCUACCAUGAGAACUAUCAUGGCUCUGGUCUUGGCUAAAUAACUAGGGAAGUCUUAUGUUGGGUGCUGGUCGUGGUCGACAGGAACGGGGGCAUCUGGCAAGCUCUUAUAGUUCCGGCUCAGGCAGAUUGGAUACGGGCAUAGUUCCCAAAGCUUUACCCUGUAGUCUGGACUAUAAGUUGGUCACGGUAGGUGUGCCUUAUGCAGUUUGAUCAUUUCCAGCAUUUGCGUAAUGAGGACUCUAGGGAGAAGCCUCGUAGUGAGACCCUGGCCAUUCACCUCGGAAGUGAAUACGGGUCUAGCUAACCCGGGCUAGAAGGGAAUCGCGACUCAUGGGUAAAGAUGCGCCACCUCUGCAGAGUGUAAAACUGAUAUAUCAGCCGUGCUCACGGUUAUGAGCGGCCUGGACUCCUCACAUGAUAAUUGAACUUGAAGAUGGAAAUAAAUCGAGAUCCAAUGAUCUGCCAAUGGUUUUGCUUAAGUGGUUUCACUUAAGUGUUUUUGAUAUAAUCUUGUAUCUUUGCUUAAUGGGAAUACUUGGGAUUCAUACUUAUUAGUAAGACAUGUGUUGUUAAUAAAAUGUUGACCAACUAAAAUGCUUACUGCUCAACCUUAGCCUCACCUUGUUAAACCUGCAUUAGUUUUUCCCCCACUUGCUGAGCCCCGACCAUAAGUGAGCUCACCCUUGCUUAAUUUUGAUCAGAAGUUUGCAGAUGAAGAUAUGAUGCUGAACUCCAUGGAUGCUAGUCUAGUGAUACCCCCAGUCAUCUUCCUGUGGAUGGAUGUCCAUGUUCGCUGUACUUUGAUGAAUAAAGGUUAAGACAUUAUGUCUGUUCGAAGUGUAAUAUGUUAAUAUAAUCAUUAUUUACGCUCUUAUGCAUUGUUCUUUUGAUAUAUUACACUUGUGACGUCAACAUAUGUGUGGAAAUAGAUCCUGGCACACAUAUGCUAUGCACCCGGCUCUACCCUUAGAAACGGGUGUGACAUUCGCUUAGCUGUUGUGCCAUCAAUGGGGCUCGGUGUAUGCGGCUCACUCUGCCAAGGUUGAUUUGUCCCUUGGGGAGGAGUGCAGUACAUUUAGGAAACCUAACGGGUGGCUACAACCCCGGGGAAUCUUUGUAAAGGCUACGUAGUGAUAUCCUGCUGGGUCACCUUGGUAGUGAUCAAUGGAGAGUCAUGAUCUCCGGGCAGAAAGGGAAAUCACGGCUUGUGGGUAAAGUGCACAACCUCUGUAGAGUGUUUGAAAACUGAUAUAUCAGCCGUGCUCGCGGUUAUGAGCGGCCAAGGGAGCUCCAGUGAUUAGUGGUACUUGAUCAGAGAUGUUCGCAUUGCAGGUGGCAAUGAGAUUGUUGGUUUUGGUAUUGACUCUGGUAAUGGUAAGUGGUACUUUUUCCGUUUGGAAAGGAGUACGUUUGGGUUAAUAACGUGGGCUAAAUCUAAAACUUGGCUUCCUCUACUAGCAAUAAUAAUAAUCUAACCAACUAAAAGCAACUGCUUGACUUAACCCCACAUAAAGCUAGUCCACUACAGCCAAACAGGAUGCUUGCUGAGUAUGUUGAUGUGUACUCACCCUUGCUCUACACACAAACCCCCCCUAGGUUGUCCGCAUUGCAACCACUGCUCAGGAGAAGAUGAAGCCGUGGAAGGAGACUUCCAGGAGUUCCAAGAAUACGACGAGUUCUAGGCGUGGGUUAGCGGCAACCCCUAGUCGGCUGCCUGUGAAGGCCGCUUUUAUCUAUGUUUCGUUUUCGCACUUUGAUUUAUUGUAAAGACUAUGUGGAUGUCUCAGACAUAUGAUGUAACCGACUAUUAUUUCCCUUUUAAUACUAUUUGAGCACUGUGUGAUGAUGUCCAUGUUAUGUAACUGCUGUGUACGUGAAUUGCUGAUCCUAGCACGUACAUGGUUCGCAUUCGGUUUGCCUUCUAAAACCGUGUGUGACAGGUACGUCCGUUACAUGGCCGAGGAUCGGGCUACACUCCCGAGGUACCCUAGGACAUUGCCGAGACCAGCGGGAACGAUUUGUAAUGGAAUCCCACCAAAGGGAGGCACCGAGCCCUCGGACCCUAUCGAAUGGGUCCGGGCCCAGCAAAUCACCUGCAGGUACUUUUGGAGCGCGCCUCUAGGCCACUAGCCGACCCUUAUCGAAUGGGGCUCGGGCGUCCACUCGGAUCACCCGUUAGCAACUCAGUGGAAACACCGUGUUCGGUGCCCCCCGGGGGUAACACGGCGCUUUCCCCCUUCCUCCUUGCGAAAAGGCGACGAAGGGGCAUACAAUAAAAGUCGAGACGGUCCUUGAUCGUCCUCUCGCUCCGUGUAGAGGCUCGGGGCUGCUCUCGCACCAGGCUAUGGCCAAACCGUUGACCACGUCAACAAACCAGCUUGAAAACUCGGAGCCUGACCGUGCACCCGGGCUGCAGCCAGGCCGCAUGAGGGAACAACAAGGCUGACCGAGGCAUCACAAAAAGGAUUAAGACCUCAGAGGAGUCAAACCACUCCUCCGAGGCCUCAUGGGCUACACUCGGCGGGUGCGCUCGCGCGCACCCACCGGAACAAAGCAUAACCGAGAAGGGCUGGUCCCCUUGCAAAAAAAUCCGGCAGAACCUCCAAGCGAGUACUUACACUCCCUUCGAGGCUCGGGGGCUACUGUCGGGGAUCGUAAUUAGGGGUACCCCCAAUGCACCUUAAUCCGACUGAAAAACAUCUUCAGAACAAACCAUAAAUGGCUGAUAAAGCGCAUGCCUCGUCUACCAAGGGACGCGACCUCAUCCGAGCCUAGCCUCGGGCAAGGACGGUAGUCCCGGACGGAUUCAUGCCUCGACCGAGGGUCCCCUCAGUCAGUAGACGCACCCUCGGCUCGCCCGAAGCCCAGUGCGGGCAGACUUUGUCGUGCAGCGACCUCGCCCAAAUCGCCUUACCAACCGACCGUAUCGCAUGCGCAUUUAAUGCAGGGAUCGCCUGAAACCUUAUCCUGACACGCGUGCCUCAGUCGGCAAGGUCGAAGUGACCGCAGUCACUUCGCCCCCUUCACUGACCGUUCUGACAGGAAAACAGCGCUGUUCACCCCGCUCCGACAACUGUGCCAGCCACCAGGGAAAGACUGACACCAGCAAGUCAUGACCUCCCCUAAGUCCGGCCUCGGGCGCAACAGGGAGCUCCGCCUCGCCCGACCCUGGGCCUCGGCCUCAACCUCGGCCUCGGAGAAGGACUCUGCCUCGCCCGACCCUGGGUCUCGGCCUCAACCUUGGCCUCGGGAGAAGGUCUCGACCUCGCUUGACCCUGGGCCUCGGCCUCAGCCUCGGCCUCGGAGGAGUCGCCGCCUCGCCCGACCUCGGCCCUGUAUCAACUACGUUGCUGGGGACCCAUCAUUACCCUACCCCUAGCUAGCCGCCUCAGGCUACGAAGGAACAAGACCGGUGUCCCAUCUAAGUUACUCCGGUAACAGGUAAUGAUGGUUCCCCACAUGCGCCCAUGACGUCGGGUGCUCUCAAACCCCCUACGGAAGCAAGGCAACGUCAGCAAGAUCCAUGUCGCACCGCCAGCAAUGCUUCUACAGGGCACAAGGCACUUCUCCGACAGCCACGUUGGUACAUCUACAGGGCUCAAGGCACUUCUCCGACGGCCACGUUAUUACAUCUACAGGGCUCAAGGCACUUCUCCGACGGCCAUGUUAUUACCUGUACAGGGCUCAAGGCACUUCCCUGCCAGCCACGUUAGCAUAUAGCUACACCCCAUUGUACAGCUGGGCAUCUCCUUGUAUCUAUAAAAGGGGAUGUCCAGGGCCUUCCUAAGGCACGUUGACACAUGUCGACGGGAAAGGGAGAGACGAACGCGCGACGUAUGAACACACAGACGCGCGACGCAGACGAGCGGAGGCAGGCAGAGUAGGAGAGACGCGGUAGAGGCAGCCUCAGAUAGCUCGCCUCAAGGCCGAACCCUCUCUUACUCUCUCUCUCUCUCUCAUUCUCGCUCUCCCGCAAUGCUUGUAACCCCUACUACGAGCACCCCAGGGCAAGAUAACAUAAGCCUUAUUUCCCUCUUGUGUUCCAUCUUGCAUCAACCCAUCUGGACAGGGACACGCAACAACAAAUUCACUAGUCGGUCCGGUUGAGGGUCCCCCGGGUCCGAAACACCGACAGGUAUGUUGUUGAACAACAUGACAAAAACAAACAGCUAGCUCAUCACAGUGACAAAAACAAACAGCUAGCUCCCAAGACAAAAACAAAAUGCUAUUGCGUUUCCUGUCAGUUAGGCACUCCCAGGAACAGCUCUAUUAAUUAAACAGACUCUUGAAAGUUAUAGAAAAGUAGCUAGGCUGUUAAUUAAAACUCGGUUGUAGUCUAGCAGCGCAAUCUGUUAAUUAAAAUCCUAAGUAAAAUGACAUGGCCAGAUCACAUUUAGCUAGGCUGCAGUCUAGCAGCGCAGUAUGUUAAUUAAAACUCGGCCACAUCUUAGAUGAGCACACACACCUUCAUAUAAACAUAAUGCACAAAAAUAAACAAAAUGCAGAAGUAUACACACGCACCUUCAUAUAGCCCUUCUAAACUGUAAAAAAGAGGGAAUGGUAUGUUGCGAAACUUUGAUACCUUUAGGUGAGCCUAUUAAAUGCAACAUGAAAUAUAUUAUUAGUAGCAAAAGUGAACAUAUUGAAUGCACAAAGAUAGAAUUGUACAAAGAAAGUUUGCUUACGCGAAUCAGCCUUGGCCAAACUUCUGGUUCAGGCAGUACCAUGCAUAGGGUGUCAUUCCAACCAACCCCGCUUUCUUUUCUUGAAUCCCUUAUAGCCUUGUAGUGUCCUUUAAGCUCUCUCUCCUUCUCUUGCAGUUGUUGUUUAGAGAAAUGAGCUAGAGGGAACUUUUCAUUGAACUUGGUAGUGAUACUGUUCCAUCCAUCACGAUUCCAACCAUUUUGACCUUUGAAUUUUGGAUUAUCUUUGUGAUCAUGCAUCACAUCGACUAAGCCUUUCUCGUACACAUUGUUCCAAAUCAUCCUUUAUUCAAAACUGAAAUUGUGGAAAUAAUAGUACAUAACUAAGCAACUUUAAGUUCAUAACUUGGCAACUAGCUACAUGACAAACUACAAACCAUAAAGACUCCAUAAGUAAUAAUAGUAGGCAGCCUACAUCUAGCUAUUGUAGGCAUCCUAUUAUAACAUCUAGCUAUUGUAGGCAGCCCACAUCUGAAGUGCGAUCUGAUCUCUUAGAGCACUUCCAUCACUUGAUUCUGUGUCAUUGACAUAGUUGAUAUCUCCCUCUGGAACAUCAACAUAUUGGCUUGGAGAGAUGUAAUCUAGUUGGUUGUCAAGCCAUCUUUCGUCUCCAUUUUGCCCUCUAAUUAUGUUGUGAAAUGCAACAGUUGCAGCUACGAUCUUAAUUUGGUUCUCUAUGGGAUGAAAUGUGCCUACUUUUAGAAUCGGGAACCUUUUCUUUAGAACACCGAUGGCCCUCUCUAUAUGGUUAUGGAGAAUUGCAUGGCGGUGGUUGAACAACUCUCUGUAGUUCGCAUAACCACUUUGUGAUGAACGACGCCUCCUAAACUCAUUGAGAUGGUAUCGAACCCCUCUAUAUGGUGCAAUGAAGGAUGAUGUAUUUGCAUAACCACCAUCUACUAGAUAAAACUUUCCUUCUAGCACACUAAAUCCUUUGCUAAUAGCAGAUCGAAGCACCCCUGCAUCUGAGGCUGACCCCUCCCAUCCACAUGAAACAAAUGUGAAAUUAAGGUCAAAGUCGUAGGCUACCAUAACAUUGUGUGAAAGAGUUCCUUUCCUGUUUCUAUAUGGAGGAGCCCUAUGUUCUGCUAUGGUGAUGGGUAUAUGUGUGCCGUCAAUUGCACCAAUGCAGUUCUGCAAGGAAAAGAAUAAGGAAAGAUAUUGAGGUCGUGUGGCAAAUUGGCAAUGAAAGGAAAACAAUUAAGCAAAUUGUGUGUUUGGAAUUGAUAGCACACCUGAAAAAAUGGCAUGAACCUAUAAUCUGUUGCAAUUUUGGUGUGAGUUUGGAUAGAGCUAGGAAGCUUCACAAAACGCUGAGUUAGUGUGGGAACAAUAUCAAAUACUUCAGAUAUUUUUCUAUGGAUAGUCUCUCCACUAUGUUGAAAAGCCUUCUGUAGCAUUUGGUUACUAGCAUUAUGGGAGAUCAUGUACAUGAUCAUCCCAAGCUGCUCCUCAACGGUAACUCCUCGUGUGUCUCGUAGUAAAUUCUCUCUUCUAAGAAAAUUUGUUGUGGUUCUGAAUAUUGCUGGCUCCAUUUGAAACUCAGAUUUGCACCAACUCUCAUGUCCUUCAAGGAUUUCUCUAACCUUUUUAGCACCAGUGAGUGAGGACGUGUGGAUGGGCUAUUUCUCUUCUGAGAGGUAUGGAAUUAUAGCAGGGAGAAUAACAAAGAACAACUCAUCGUCGUCUUCUUCCUCAUCUAACAAAAAUUGUCUAACUUGCUCCUCCCAAGAACCCAUAUCUAGAGAAGUGGAGACCAAUUGAACUUAUAAGGCAAGUUAUCCAAUUGAACUAAAAAUGAUACAACAAACAAUAAAAAAUCUAGGAAAAUAUUUAUGCAUGGUGACUCUCCUGGGAAAGAACAGAACAAAAGACUGAUGUUUAAUCAAGUUGAGGUUCAGAUUAUAAUAAAAAUAACCCAAUAUCCCAGGUAAUAGGUGUUUGAAGACAUAACUAAAUCAGUCAACAACUAGAGAAAGAACAAUCAGCAACCAAAGUUACAGAUAACUUUAGCUCUCAAUAUCUAGAUAUAAGUGCUCCACUAGCAGAAAGGAAUAAUAUCUAGGUCUAGGAUCGAAUCACUGUUUUAUAUAAGUUGUUGUAAAAACUGGACAUUUUUUAGUAUGCAAAGCAAACAAAACAAAUAAAUCAAAUUGUUAGGAUCCCCAGUUCUGGUUGAACAACAUGAGUGCGUUAAAACGUUACAAGAAAACAAUGUUAUUCUUCACAAUAGUUUAAACACAAACACUAUAGGAUAUAAGGAUAUAUCUUUCAUCGACACUACCAAGACCAAGACAUGAGACACACUAUCAUACCAGGCAGGCACCCAAUAGGAAAUUGUUGCAAAACAAAUAUGCAUAAUGUGUAUGCUGGCCGCGUGACGCACGAAAUCCGAAUGCUGACCACAUGACACAACAAGUACCCAACCACUCCUUGAUUCCCCUUUCCUCCCCUCUCGCAUUCGUCUCCACCAGCAGUCUCCACUAGCAGGUCGAACUUCUUGCGCUCCAAAAGCAAACUGUGCUCGCGUUACCACAUGCUGGUGGCUCCAAGGCAGAGGCAAGGCAGCGGCUGGCGGACGCUGCUACCGCGCGUGCGCUGCUUCUGGUGGCGAGGGGGCAGAGGCAAGGCAACGGCUGGCGGACGCUGCUAUCGCGCGCGAGCUACUUCUGGUGGCGAGGGGGCAAAGGCAAGGCAGCGGCAGGAACCUGAGAAUCUUGGGCGCUCGCGCUGUGUCGCUCGCGAUGUGUUUCCUGCUGGCGCUACAGGAGAUGUAGAUCUACAGGAGUUGACCUUGUGAGGGGAAGGAGAUGGCGUUGAAGACGACGAUGGUGUGGCGACAGAGGUGCUCACGGGGAUGGCGUCGAUGAGGCUAGGCCUAGCGUCGCGGGGAGCCGGGGCGAUGGGGGAGAUGCUCCAAGGCAAGGUUGGCGGCACCGUGGAAACGCCUGGCCUCCCGAUGCCAAGGUUUUUCCUGACCGGAAAAGAUGUUUCUCUGGAGGAAAGUGUGUCGAGUCUUUUGGCUUCCAAACACGCAGAAGUACAAACUCCAGGCAAAUGUCCGCGUGGGCUUUCUUCCUAGAGAAAAUGCCGGGAAACCCGUGGGUUUUUAUGGUACCAAACUAGCCCUAAGGGAUUUCUAUUUUCCCAAAGUAAAAUUGGGAACUCCAUUUUCCUAAGAGAUUUUUAUUUUUCUAAGGGAAAAUAAACUAAUUUCUCUUAGGAAAAUAGAAAUCCAUUGGAAAAUGUGGUUUCCAAACUAGUCCUUAUGGUAUGGAUAUGAGGAAUUUUGAUGCUUAUAUGUAUGUUAUUGGGUCAUUUUAUAUACCUAAUGGAUAUGGUGGGUGUGGGCAUCUUUGAAAAAAGUUUUGUUGGAUGAAUCUGUCAUGCUGGAUAAAAAAGAUACUCCCUCCGUUCCUAAAUCUCCCUCGUGUAAGCCAUGGGCACAAUGACCAAGGGAUUGCAAAGAACCGUGCUACUCCCUUCGUUGCUUUUAAUGGCCCGGCGUUAAUUCAUUUGCUCAGAACCUUGCGCUCGCGUACGUGGUCCCACCCGGCUGCUCACGUAGCUCACGUAUUUUCGCGCGCUCACGGACACACCCAGCGCAGCUUUGAUUUUUUGUUUGAUCUUCCUGAAGAAACAAAAUUUAGCCACCAAAAACAUCAAAUUUCCAUUGCCCGCCACUUCUCUCCCAUGGCGUAUAUAAAUCGCCCAGUAGGAUCGCCAUGCCCAGGUCAUUCCAGCGAACUCUUCCACAUUGAUGCUACCGCAAUGUUUGGAUUAGGGAUUGAUUCAAACCUACAACCCAUAGAUUGGGAUAGUGUUGCAGAGUUUGAUGGCCCUGCUCAUGAACUCGAUUUCAACAUGGUCUGGGAUGAUGGAAUAGAAGGUGUUCCUUCUUCAAUCACUUUACUCUACUAUUUUGACAUAUCCCCUUCUCGUUAUGGUUUCAUUCUUCCUCUUUUUUCUUUUGUUCCACAGAUCAUGAAAUUGUAGCAGAUGAAGUGCAAGGUAAUGGUGCAGCAUAUGGCAUUUAUGUUUCUUCAGAAACAAUAGUAGAUGGUGUUCAGGUUCCUGUGUAGGGAGAUUGAAAGUUCCCUUUGCCCGGGAACAGGAUCUGGAUGUCGCCUAGAGGGGGGUGAAUAGACGAAUAAUAAUUAUCACUUUAAAACCUUAAAUUCUUACUCUACUCGAAGGCUGGAUCACAGUGGAAUGAAAGACCCUUCAAGUAGGUUGCAGCGAAAUGGAAGAUCCUGUCUUAAGAUGCCCUGCACUUCAAAUAUAACUUGUACCACAGAUAAGUAUUGAAGUGCAGAUAUAAAGAGUAGGUGAAACAGAGAAUCAGCACACAACAUAGAGCAGAGCACACAGACGCCGGGAUUUAUCCCGAGGUUCGGUCAAGCCUGAAAUGCUUGCCUAGUCCUCGUUGGAGUUAGCCACACCUGGGCUUGGAGUCUAUUUCAACUCCUUCCUCCAUUUGCUCAGAUCUUAGAGCCUUCCACUAUGUUGAGAUUGGUUACAACAACGCCGUGGCUGCUUACAGUCUUCUUGACAGCACUCCGGCAGAGUAACAAUUCGCUCAAGACUUUGCUCUAUCUCUCAGCAGCACUUCUCCACUCUCUAAAGGCUUAUAGCUUUGCCUCCACACAAACUAGAGAGAUAUACAUGAGAGGGAGAGAGAGAAUUGAUCCAAAUGAUGUAUACAAUUGUUGGCUGCACUUGUGUCACUGUUGGAGGCGCCUAGGGGUCCCUUUUAUAGACCCAAGGGGCCUAGGAGCCGUUGGAAUUCAUUUUGGAAGGCAAUAUUAGCUUUCUGUCGAGUGGCACACCGGACAGUCCGGUGCACCACCGGACAGGUCCUGUAGCUUGUCCGGUGCGCGAUCUCCUUCCAUAUCGGGCUCAGCUGACCGUUGGAGGAACGGUCCCCUUGGCUCACCGGACACUGUCUGGUGCACAUCGGACAGUCCAGUGCGCCAACUAACCGUUGGCCCAGGCCACGCGUCGCCCACUGAUUGCGCUGCCGACUGUUGGUGCAGGCGCCGUUGGCUCACCGGACAGUCCGGUGAAUUUUAGCCACGAACCCCCGCAGAUUCCCGAGAGUUGGCAGUUCACUGCCGAGUCAGCCUGGGCCACCAGACACUGUUCGGUGCACCACCAGACAAUCCGGUGUGCCAGGCUGGUGCUGGUUUUGGCUAUACAAAGCCAUAUCUUCUCUAACUCUUUUCUUCUUUUCUUGGCACUAUUUCUAGCACUCAAAUAACCAUGUUAGUGAACAAAACAAUUCACUGAGCCCAGAAACAUACCUUGUUCACUUCUAGAGCUUGAUCUUGAGCUUUAUGACUUACACCACAUAAUUGUAGAUGUUACCCCAUUGGUUGUAAGUCAUGACAUCAUGUAGUGAUACUUGAUACACCAUAACUCUUCUUAACUUGAUCAACCUUGACUUUGCAAGUCUUCUUCUUCACCCCUGGCUUUGGGUUCCUGGUCUCCUUGACCUUCCCCCGUGCACUCGGUACCUCGAAGCUCUUCUUGCCUCCAUCCUUGGCUUGAUCGGUUGUCUCUGAGUUACACACAUCGGGUCUCACUUAAGCAAUGUCCAUCUUACUUGUGAUGUCCAUUGUCUAUAGAUAAUCUAGUCUUUGGACCAUCAUACUUGUUCACUUGUGUUGAACCCUGUUAGCUUUGCAUUAAGCACCUGCUCAACACUUAGCACACUUGUUAGUCCUUUAAUUGGGCUGUCAUCCAAACACCAAAACCCACAAGAGAGCUUUCAAUCUCCCCCUUUUCGGUGAUUGAUGGCAACACAAUUAAAGCUUACACAAGAAUAAGAUUUAAAGCACAAAUUUUGAAUUCUAAGUUUAUAGAAUGCUUCCCCUAAAUAUGUGCUAACAUUAAUAUCUCAACUUUGGCCUUAUAUGCCAAAAAUGCACAUACUUAGGCUAAUCGAAGCAUUGCUACACCUUAGCACCUGUGGGAUGCAUUGUCAAUAAUUGAACGUGAUGUGUAUAACACACAAAUGCACAGAAUCAGAGUUAAACACCAAUUGAAUGGAUAUACACAGGAAUAUCAACCUACCACUAUUCAUCAUUAAGAUACCUAUUGAAAGCAAUUUAAAGCACCAGAACCACAUGAAUAUCUAUUACAGGACAAACACAAUAGAUACAAUUGAUUCAUAUCAACAGAAGCACUAAUUAUGCAUUAUCACUAUAUAAUACAGCAAGAAGCAUAUGAUAAGUAUUAUCAACAAAACUAACACAUUCUUCCUUAAGAUCAAAGGAACUCAAGGAAACCCCUUUGAGUCCUUUAGCACAAAAAUAAUCUUCAUCCUACUCAAGGAAACCCCUUUGAGUCCUUUAGCACAAAAAUAAUCUUCAUCCUCUUCACACUUAAGAUAAGCUUUCCUCUCAGGUCGAGGUAAGCUUUAAUGCACAAAUUCUCCCCCUUUGACAUCAAACACCAAAACCAUAUUCAAGCAAGAACAUAGGAUGAUGUCAAGGGACAGCAGGGUAUUAAGCAGGUAAAAUGCAACACACUAACAUUACUUCCCCUUACAUAUUAAACAUAUGCAACACAAGCAUUGGAGAAAAAUUUAGAUAUAAAUACGCAAAAGGUCAAUACCUCCUUUUGUACCUUUACCAUGUUAUGGUGUACUUUCCAUCUAUGUAGGCAGUUCCUUUUGCCAUCAAUUUAAGAUUUCCAUCUUGAAAGUCUUAUCUCUAGGGAGCUCAUUCACACUUGUGCCUGAUCCUUCUUCCUGACUUUUUCUUGUUGCUAAGACACCAAACUUAGAACAAGUUAUAGUAUUGUGGCACAAGAUGAAGCUUCCAUUCUAGUGAUUACCAAAAGAUAUCAAUUAAAGCACACUACUAAGGCUACUAAUUGAAGGAUCAUCACUGUCACAUCUCCAUGAUAUUCAAAGAUAAGCAUCUAGGAUCAUCAACUAUUAUAGAGCAUGAGCAACUAAUUACUCGACUUGUGGAGGUACCCAAGUCCUGAUUGCUCCAUUUCUUGCUCAUGUUCCCUUUUUCACCUUGAGACUAUAUAGGAUCACUCAAGAAACAGUUAGUCUCAAAAGACACAAGUUAUGUGUGCUCCCCCUAAAGUUGUGCAUCAAGUAUUUGAAUGACUUGCACUUUGCACAUUCUAGCGUCCUUAGAACUAGAGGGGAUCACAACAUACCUUGAUCUAGGCAUAAUAUAUCAAUUGCAUCACAAAACGAUACCAAUUGAAUAGAUGACAUAAUACAACUUAUGACUAAUGGAAACAAUGCAUGCCUCAAGAUAUAUAACAUUUUAAAAGCAACCUAGGCACGCUUCACACAUGAUGAUCAUUGCAACACAUAUACCAAUUGAAAAAUGACAAGAUCAUGCAUAUAAAGCACAAUGUCUAAGCACACCAAGAUUAAGAAGUAUUUUCUUAGGUACACCAAGGGAAACAACAUUUUAAAGCAUAAGGCACCUAAGCCAAGAUACUACUAAUUGAAAGGCAAGAACAUAGCUAUGAUCACAAUCACCGGAACUUCAAGAUAUUCAAUGAAAUUGCAUAGUUCCAUUCUCCAUACCUUUGCCUUUUCCUGAAUUGCCAUGAGAGCACAUGUUGUCACCAAUUUUGGGCUCCUUUUGCUCAUGAACCUCAUUGCUCAAGAGGGUGCAUUAGAGGCACAACACGGAUUUCUUGUUUUGAUAUACACACAAUACUAAGACAAAGUAAUCAUGUGAAUAUGGACUAAACAAAACUAUCAUGCUUGCACAUAGGUUGAUACAUAAUCAUUAAAAAAUCACGCAACAUGAUUUACAAAAAGAUACAGGUUUAGCCACAUACACCAAGAGAGUUAAUCAUGGUAGAUAUUUCAAAUGAAAAGCUACCCAUUGGAUGAUUCAAGAGAUAUAACCUAUAAAGCACACAAUCAUAAUUGAGCAAGCAUCAAUAUGAUCUUGGAAAUCACAAAUCAUUAAUUGAAAGAUAUUCAACAUAGGCAAUAUCAAAAGCAUAACUACUCCAAGGAUAUGUAUAGCACGACAAUCCAACAUAAGAGCAAUACUGUUUUGAAAUAAUGCACUUAAGAUACACGAGUACCAUCCUUUGGAGAGGAAGUUGCAGAUUCUCAUCAAAGUCCUUUGCUUGAUUUACCAAUAAUGAUUAAGGACCUCAACAACUUAUUUGACUUGAGAUGAACAUGGGAUUAGUAUUGCACAAUAAUUCAACCUUGGGUCAAUAAAUAGACAAUAAAAAUUGACAGCUUAAGCAUAGAGUUUGAAUUAACCAUCUUAAGCUCUCCCAUGGUCUCCAGUCCAUCUCGAGGCACCUGCAUGGUCUAGUUGGCACAGUUUGGUACCCAUCUCGGGAUGGGUCCAUAACGAUCAUCCAAAAGAGCCUUUGGUACCCAAAUAGCAAUUGUGCUAGUUCUAGGUGAUCUCAUUACUGAUCUAGCACAAGUGUAUGGUUUGGGUCUCCUAAGCGAAUAAGAUUGAGAUAAAUUUACUUGCUUAGGAACCUUACCCUUUUUACAUACCUUGGAUAUAUGACCAUGCUCACCACACAUGUAGCAGAAGCGUCGCUUAACCUGACAUGACACUUGUUGUUUGUCUUCUUUCUUAGUAAGGGUCAUCCCGGAGAGCGCACGUGCUUGAUUUUUCAUGAGCGGACAUGAAGUGAUCAUAUGGUCCUUGUCAUUGCAUCCGAAACAUCUCCUCAUCCCUUCAUCCUUGUCGUUGUAUGGACACGACGCAAUGAGGUGGCCUAACUCAUUGCACUUAAAGCACCUCCUUUUCCUUUUCUCUUUUUGUUCUUGGAUAACAUAGAGAGAUGGUCAGUGCAAACAACAUGAUUGAUUGAAUCUUUACCUUUUUCCUUGUUCAUGUUGAUUUCUACAUUUUUUGCUUUAGGAACAUCCUUCUUAUGGAGUUUAACACUUGCUGCGGUUUCUCCCGUCUCAAGCUUCUUCACCACGCAUCCGUGGAUAUCUUGAGGAGGUUGAGCAAUGCAUCUUCUCCUUAGUUGCUUUGCUUUCUUGCUCCUUUCUUUAUUGAUGAGCAACUUUUCUUUUGAUCCUGCAGCUUGAUGCUCAAUCAAAAAUUGGCUUUCUUUUGAGCAGCAGGGGUUAGCACAUGGUGAUGUAUUAUCUAAAGACGCACGUGUGCAAGAAUGAGAUUCACAUGAAUUUAGGUUCGCAAUUACAACCUCAUGGGCAACAUCAAGCAUGAUAUGGCCAUCAACUAAUUCAUUAUGAGAAUAAGAUAGCAUAUCAUAUUUUUCACUUAGAGCAAGUUUUUCUAAAUUUAUCAUUUCUACUUGACUCUUAAGCAUAGAAUUCUCAGUUUUAAGUUGAGCAACAUCAGAUAAUACAUCAUGAUUAUUUCUCUGCUCAAAUAAAAUAGAUUCAUACCGUUGGACCAAACUAUCAUGAGAGCACUUUAGCUCCUCAUGAUCUUUGGUCAUCUCCAGGCUGUCAUUGGUUUUGAUGAGAGUCUCCUCUAGCCUGAGAAGCGUCUCGCCUUGUUCCUUGUUCCUUCUCAACAGCUUAACCAAGAGCACUUUGUCUUCUUUGUUGAGAUGGGUGUAGAAACGGCGAAUCUCCUCUUCUUCCACAUCGUCGGUCUCAUUUUCCCUGUCAUUAUUAUCAGUGGAAGCAAAACAGGAAAAUGUACCUUGUGGUGAUGUAGAUUCAUCCUUGCUAUCAUCCUCAUAUUCCUCCUCAUCAUCACUUUCAUCUCCACUCUCAUUGUUAGCAACAAGACAUGUAUAACUAGUGGGAGAUGAACCUGUCGGUGAGGUGGAUCCAUCGAUUGGUGUCCAUCGUUCUUGUUCUUCUCCCUUGGACAAGUUAGUAUCGCCAGCAAUAGAGGGAGCAGAAGCAGUGCAUAUGGACUUAAAAAAUUUCAACUUAAUUUUAGUCCAUAGAUCAUGAGCAUCAACAAAUAAAUCACUAUCACUACUCAUGAUGGCAAAAUAAGCACCUCGAGAAAGAGAGUCAACUAAGAUGUUGCAAGCAUGGUGAUUGAGAGAUAGACAUCUUAAUUCAUCAUUUGAAGGAUUUUUACUAAUAUCAGAGGGAAAAAUACUUCUACUAAAGAUCUAUCUUAAAUCAGGAUCAAUAUGCAUGAAAGCCUUGUAAAUAGAGACAGACCAAGAUUUAUAAUUAGAACCAUCGCCUAGAAGCAAUUCUAGAGUUACCUCUUAUGACGACAUCGUUAUCUCCGGACGGCUAAGCCCACACUGGAGAGGCCUAGCUCUGAUACCAAUUGAAAGUUCCCUUUGCUCGGGAACAGGAUCUGGAUGUCGCCUAGAGGGGGGUGAAUAGGCGAAUAAUAAUUAUCACUUUAAAACCUUAAAUUCUUACUCUACUCGAAGGCUGGAUCGCAGUGGAAUGAAAGACCCUUCGAGUAGGUUGCAGCGGAAUGGAAGAUCCUGCCUUAAGAUGCCCUACACUUCAAAUAUAACUUGUACCACAGAUAAGUAUUGAAGUGCAGAUAUAAAGAGUAGGUGAGACAGAGAAUCAGCACACAACACAGAGCAGAGCACAUAGACGCCGGGAUUUAUCCCGAGGUUCGGCCAAGCCUGAAAUGCUUGCCUAGUCCUCGUUGGAGUUAGCCACACCUGGGCUUGGAUUCUAUUUCAACUCCUUCCUCCAUUUGCUCAGAUCUGUUAGUAUGACAGAUAGAGCCUUCCACAAUGUUUAGAUUGGUUACAACAACGUCGUGGCUGCUUACAGUCUUCUUGACAGCACUCCGGUAGAGUAACAAUUUGCUCAAGACUUUGCUCUAUCUCUCAGCAGCACUUCUCCACUCUCUAAAGGCUUAUAGCUUUGCCUCCACACAAACUAGAGAGAUAUACAUGAGAGGGAGAGAGAGAGAGAAUUGAUCCAAAUGAUGAAUACAAUUGUUGGCUGCACUUGUGUCACUGUUGGAGGCGCCUAGGGGUCCCUUUUAUAGACCCAAGGGGCCUAGGAGUCAUUGGAAUUCAUUUUGGAAGGCAAUAUUAGCUUUCUGUUGGGUGGCGCACCGGACAGUCCGGUGCACCACCGAACAGGUCAUGUAGCUUGUCCGGUGCACGAUCUCCUUCCAUAUCAGGCUCAGCUGACCGUUGGAGCAACGGUCCCCUUGGCUCACCGGACACUGUGAGGUGCACAUCGGACAGUCCGAUGCGCCAACUAACCGUUGGCCCAGGCCACGCGUCACCCGCUGAUUGCGCUACCGACCGUUGGCGUGGGCGCCGUUUGCUCACCGGACAGUCUGGUGCACCACCGAACAGUCUGAUGAAUUUUAGCCACGAACCCCCACAGAUUCCCGAGAGUUGGCAGUUCACCGCCGAGUCAGCCUCGGCCACCGGACACUGUCCGGUGCACCAUCAGACAGUCCAGUGUGCCAGGCUGGUGCUGGUUUUGGCUAUAUAAAAUCAUAUCUUCUCCAGCUCUUUUCUUCUUUUGUUGGCACUGUUUCUAGCACUCAGAUAACAAUGUUAGUGAACAAAACAAUUCACUGAGUCCAGAAACAUACCUUGUUCACUUCUAGAGCUUGAUCUUGAGCUUUAUGACUUACACCACAUAAUUGUAGAUGUUACCCCAUUGGUUGUAAGUCAUGACAUCAUGUAGUGAUACUUGAUACACCAUAACUCUUCUUAACUCGAUCAACCUUGACUUUGCAAGUCUUCUUCUUCACCCCUGGCUUUGGGUUCCUGGUCUCCUUGACCUUCCCCCGUGCACUCGGUACCUCGAAGCUCUUCUUGCCUCCAUCUUUGGCUUGAUCGGUUGUCUCUGAGUUACGCACAUCGGGUCUCACUUAAGCAAUGUCCAUCUUACUUGUGAUGUCCAUUGUCUAUAGAUAAUCUAGUCUUUGGACCAUCAUACUUGUUCACUUGUGUUGAACCCUGUUAGCUUUGCAUUAAGCACCUGUUCAACACUUAGCACACUUGUUAGUCCUUUAAUUUGGGCUGUCAUCUAAACACCAAAACCCACAAGAGAGCUUUCAGAGACGCAACAGCAUCAGACGGUAAGUUCAAGCUUCUUUUCCUUUCAUUGUAUGAGCGUCCAGUUCAUUUCAGUUUAGAUAUUGCUUCAUAAAAAAGUCUAAUACAACCAUUUCUAGAUGUGGUUACGUACAAGGACUAGUUUUAAGUUUCAGCGUUAUGUUUGCAGGUUCUAAUGACAAGAAAAGGAAGUUCUAUCCUGAUGACCUAAAGAUUGCCAUUUACCUUGACUUGCCAAAAAUUGUUCCACCUAUUCUUGGCCAUGGAGUUUCAAAAUCGGUUUCUGAAAAAUUUGGAGUGCCUUUAAGAGUUGUACAGUCCAUUUUGAAAAAUGGACAGCUGAAGAAAGAGGGAUGCCAAUCUUCAUCCAACAAUACAAUGCUAGGACUCACAUUGGUGUAGAUGAUUGUAACGCCUUGAAUUUGGGGGUAGAAUUUUUUCUUCUUUUCUCUCACCAAAUUCAGGCAUUACCCUUUCCUUUUCCCUUUUUCUCCUCGCUAAGCCUUGAUUUUUUUCCAAAAGUUAUAGCGAGAAUUAGCUCGACAUCUUGUGUAAGCAAAACCUAGAACUUUUUUGGUUGUUGCAUCAUGCCGGAUUAUGCACUCUUUUUGUUUGUGGUUGGGUGAGUUGGAGAAUUAGGCAUAUAAGAAAUAGGGGUUAUAGAAAAUGGAAAAUAGGAAAAAGAAACUUUUUCUUUUUCUCUCUCCCCCUUUCUCCCCUUUUGGCCCAGCCGCCCCCCCCCUUCGCGCCGGCCCAGCCGCCCCCCUUCCCUCCCCCGCCGUGGCCCGUCCCAGCCCAACCGCGCCCGCCCCCUCCCCCCCUUUGGGCCCAAGCGGCCCAGCCGCCCCCUCCCCCCUUUUUUCCCAAAAAUUCCCUCCUCGCGGGCCCCGCCCGUCAUCCUCCCUCCCUCUCUCCCUCUCCCUAACCCUAACCGCCGCCGCCGCCGCCGCCCCUUCCCCAGCACCGCCGCCGGCCGCCCCCGCCUCGGUGAGGCCCCCCUCCCCUCCCUUCCCCAUUCCCCGCCCGCCGGCGCCGCUCCCUGGCGCGCCACCCCAGGCCCGCGCCCGCCCCUCGCCGUGGCAAGGCCGCCCCGCCCCGUCCGCUCGGCGGCCCGGCUCGGCCGCCUCUCCGGCGAGCCGCCCCCCCCCCCCCCCGGCGAGCUCGGCCCCGCCCCCGUCCCCGACCUCGGCCGCCCCGUGCUCGGCCCCCUCCGGCGAGCCGCCCCGCCCCUUCCCCGCCCUCGCCUCGGCCGCGUCCAGCGAGCCGCCCCCGACCUCGGCCGCCCCCAGCGAGCCCGCCCCGUGCCCCGGCUCGACCGCCCCCCGGCGACCCGCCCGCCCCCGUGCUCGGCCGCCCCGCCCGCCCACGUGCCCGGCUCGGCCCCCCCCCCCCCCCCCCCCGUGCGAGCUCCGCCCGUCCCCGGCCAUGGCGCCCGCGCCCGGCUCGGCCGCCCCCGCCGCGCCCGUCCCCGGCGAGCCCCGCGCCCGGCCCGGUCGCCCUCACCGUCGCCCGUGUUCGCCCGCCCGCCCCCGCUGCGCCUGUCCCCGGCAAGCCCCGCGCCCGGCCCGGCCGCCCUCGCCGUCGCCCGUGUUCGCCCGCCCGCCACGGCGUGGCGCCGGCGUGCCUUGCUCGUGUCGUGAUGGCCCCGACGCGGCAUCGAGCUCGGCCCAGCGUGCCUUGGCGCGCGGCCUCGAGCUCGGCCAGCGCACGGCCCCGACGCGUGCGCGACUCGUUCGCGGCACGUUAAGCGUGGCUUUGCGCGUGCGCGUGCCCGCGAUGCGACGCAUAGCGCCCUGUCGCGUCCGCGACACGAUCGUCUACCCCGAGCCACCCGUCUAACCCCCCCCCCCCCCGUGCAUUCCGUGCGUAGUGAUCAUGUUACAUAAUCAAUAAAUGGAAACCCAAAUUAGAAAUUGUUUACGUUAGUUAAUUUGUAUAGCUAAUCGUCUAUCUUAUUCAAUGUUAAUCUACUAAAAGUGGUCACGUUUACAUUAGUGCAUGUAGCUAAUUCUUAUCAUUGAAGCUAAGUAGAACUAGAGCACGUAGCCUGUAGUUAUUCGUCUACCCGUAGUGCGCCUCGAGCAUAAGCCUUAACCCCUGCGAGACCGUUCCCCGUUUCUUUCUAACCAUGGUAAAUUCAUUAUCGUAUGUGAUAUUCUAUGCGUAUUUACUUUAUUUGUUCUUUUGUAUGGUGUACUGUUUGUUUCCUAAUUUGAAUGGAUGGAUGUAUGUAUGCUUGCAAUCGCAUAGAGAACGAUUCGGUCGAGGAGCCCGAAGAACUCGCAGGAGAAGUCCCUGAGCAGCAGUCGGUUGGUGGAGGCAAGUGUCCCUUGACCUAUCUCUGUCCUAUUCAUUCUUUAAUUCACCUCCUGCAUUACACAUUUAUACCUAAGGAUUGACUAGCUUUUGUUAUCCAUGUCCUUGUUUACCUAUUUGGGUUGGAUUAUUAUUGCUUAGUCUUAUGCUAUUGCUCAACUCUAAUCAAUGAACAUGAUGAGAAUGUUCAAUGAUACGCUGUUUUUCCCCUUCUUAUUAUGAUGUUAUACUUGUGGCCUUUAAGGGGGCUCGAGCGGUUUCUCGAGUGCCUCUCCGUAAGGACCUGUUCUUUGGAUGACCACCCGGGAAAACAGUGCAACCAUGAGGGUGGAGUGGGACGCCCUUAGCUGAAUAAUUAGAGGAACCGGGGUGUAGUUCGCUUAGCCGUUGUGCCGUCAAUGGGGCUCGGUGUAUGCGGCUCGCUCUGCCAAGGUUGAUUUGUCCCUUGGGGAGGAGUGUGGUACAUUUAGGAAACCUAACGGGCGGCUACAGCCCCGGGGAAUCUUUGUAAAGGCUACGUAGUGAUGCCCUGCUGGGUCACCUUGGUAGUGAUCAAUGGAGAGUCAUGAUCUCCGGGCAGAAAGGGAAUCACGGCUUGUGGGUAAAGUGCACAACCUCUGCAGAGUGUUUGAAAACUGAUAUAUCAGCCGUGCUCGCGGUUAUGAGCGGCCAAGGGAGCUCCAGUGAUUAGUGGUACAUGAUCAGAGACACUUUGGUUUGCAGGUGGCAAUGAGACUGAUGGUUUUGGUUAUGACUAUGGUAAUGGUAAGUGGUAUUCUUUCCGUUUGGAAAGAGUACGUUUGGGUUAAUAAUGUGGGUUAACUCUAAAACUUGGCUUUCUCUACUAGUAAUAACAAAUCUGACCAACUAAAAGCAACUGCUUGACUUACCCCCACAUAAAGCUAGUCCACUACAGCCAAACAGGAUACUUGCUGAGUAUGUUGAUGUGUACUCACCGUUGCUCUACACACCAAACCCCCCCAGGUUGUCAGCAUUGCAACCACUGCUCAGGAGAAGAUAAAGCCGUGGAAGGAGACUUCCAGGAGUUCCAAGACUACGACGAGUUCUAGGCGUGGGUUAGCGGCAAACCCCCAGUCGGCUGCCUGUGAAGGCCGCGUUUAUCUACGUUUCUUUUCCGCACUUUGAUUAUUGUAAAGACUAUGUGGAUGUCUCAGACAUAUGAUGUAAUCGACUAUUACUUCCCUUUUUAAUACUAUUUGAGCACUGUGUGAUGAUGUCCAUGUUAUGUAACUGAUGUGUACGUGAAUUGCUGAUCCUGGCACGUACAUGGUUCACAUUCGGUUUACCUUCUAAAACCGGGUGUGACAUAAGGUGGAAUCAAAGCCGUGCUGACUGUAGGACCGCUAACCUAGAGUAGAAUGGUCGUUCUAAGGAUUAUAGACCUUUGUCCUUGCCUUGACUUUGGUAUCCCUUCAAAAGUUGGUCAUAUCGACCAAAAUUAUGUUCUACUAUAUAUUAUACCUUGCCGAAAUUUGUGUUUUAUUCUAAUCCUUCAUUUAUUUAUGAUUUAUUACUUGCUGGUCAUAUUAAUUCUGUUCUCACUCUUUUACUUGCGGUGUCUUUUGUAGAUGGCUCGUCUUAGACACACUGCACGGAAGUCUGUCAUCCCCUUCUUACCCUCCCGCUUGAUGAGCGUCCGCUUCGCCGUCCCGUGGCCGGACAGUCCAGCCACUUGGAGAGGUUGCACCACCGCCUGCAUGAGGAGCAGGAGCGUCGACGACAGGAGCAGCAGGGCUCUUCUUUCUCGCUCCAGCAGGAGAUAGAGUCUGUAAGGAGCUGCUCCCCUGUGCUCCCCCUGGAGGCGCCCCCUGCACCACCACUGAGCGCCCCAGUCCCUGGAGUAGCUACUGGAGGAGACCCAGACGACGGAGGAGGCGACGACAGCUCGAGCCACGACACCGACUUCUCUGCUGACCAGGAGCCGAAAGGAUGGGUUGCUCGACCCAUCACUCGCGACGCUGCUCGCAGGUGUCACUUCCAUGAUGCGCUCGACACCCUGCUACGUCGGGCACUUAACCGGCGUACUUGGUCCAUCGAGUAUCGCUGUGUGGUCUACCAGCAUAGUCGCGGGGUCUACCCGGACUGCUGGGAGGCGACCUGCUUGGUGCGCCGUCCGGAGAACAGUCUCCAGGGCGCGGAGGCCUGCUCAGAGCACUAUUCCAUCUCUGAGCGGGACUCAGCUGAGGCGGUCAUGCAAGAUGUCGCACGGUGUGCGCUUUCGCACUACUGCUCGGUUCUCGGUGGGGUAGCUGACGGUCUCGACCUGAAGUAUUACCCCCGUCGUCCAUCUGGCAGCACAGGAGGCGUGAUUGUCUCACCUGUUGGUGAGGACAAUCCUAGGUUGAGCAGCACAGUCAACCUAGCCGUCGUGCUAAACACGGAGCUGGACCAUGCGCUAGACGAGCUGAGUAGGGCUCGUGCUGAGGUCGCCCUGCUGCGGGCCGAGCGUGCGGAGCGUCAUCACCUGGACGAUGGUUCCCCCGCUCCCGUCGGGACUCAGCACCCGUACCGCUCACCUCGGCGUGGAUACCAGUCUUAUGGCAACCCCGACUGCAAGACCAAGAUAAAUUCAGAACCAUAGAUCGUCAGAGUCGGACCUUGUAAUUAAUACGAAAUAUAUAUAUAUAGAAGCUAUAAUCUUAGCAUUAGUCUCGCUUUUAGUUAGUCUUAGUUAGACAGGGUAGUUUGCUAUACCCUGUGCAUUUGUGUUUGUCAUGAUGAACUAUGUUUGAUUUGGAUCUUUGUAAUGACUGUCACCAGAAUGUGGGUGUCCCCUGCAUUUUGGUUUACCUGUUAUAUGUUAAUGGAGUUAGCUAUUUAGUUGGGAAGCCUUUUAUUCCACUUUCCACUUUAUCUGAGAAGCUGUGUUGGCCUGUGUUGGAGAUCAGUGAAGAUGCUCAUCUGUUUAGCGUUGUGGAGAAUUCUAUACUCUUUUCUUAUGCUGCAAGAUUUGCAAGAUCAGUUCUGAUGUGUGGUUGCGUUCUGCAGAUGUCAGAAAAUAGACGCAGAGGGGGAAGGCGUGCUCAGCCGGAGCAGGCAGCUCCGCAAGAUGAAGUGCCCCAGCAACAGCAUCUACCGCCCCCGCCCCCGAUGUCCAUCGAGCAGAUGUUUCUGAUGCAGACUCAGGCAGUUCAAGCCAUCGGUCAGACUCUGGCCACCAUUCAGCAGCAGCAGCAACAACAACAGCAGCAGGCACCACCUCAGCCUCAGAUGCCUCAGAUGCCCAGGGACAAGCGUGCUGAAUUCAUGAGAGGUCAUCCCCCAACGUUCGCUCAUUCUUCUGACCCCAUGGAUGCUGAAGACUGGCUGCACACUGUGGAGCGGGAGUUGCAUACCGCUCAGUGUGACGACAGAGAGAAAGUCUUGUAUGGUCCUCGUCUGUUGAGAGGAGCAGCCCAGUCAUGGUGGGAGUCUUAUCUCGCCACCCAUGCCAACCCCGACGCCAUCACUUGGGAAGAGUUCAGAGGUAGCUUUCGUUAGUAUCAUGUUCCUGCAGGUCUGAUGACAGUGAAGAAGGAGGAGUUCCUGGCCCUUAAGCAAGGGUCGAUGUCAGUCAGUGAGUAUCGAGACAGGUUUCUGCAAUUGUCUCGCUAUGCUCCUGAAGAUGUCAACACCGACGCCAAGAGACAAUACCGUUUCCUGAAAGGCUUGGUUGACCCUCUGCACUAUCAGCUGAUGAAUCAUACCUUUCUGACGUUCCAGCACUUGAUUGACAGAGCAAUCAUGACAGAGAGGAAGCGUAAGGAGAUGGAGGAUCGUAAGCGAAAGAUCAGUGGACCCCAGCCUAGAAGCAGCAAUCGUCCUCGUUUCUCAGGCAACCAACCUCAGCAGUUCAGGCAGAACCAGCGUCCACCUCAGCAGCGUUAGCAGUUCCAAAGGCAGUAUCCUCAGCACCAGUAUCAGAACCGUCAGAGCAAUCAGUCAGGAGGAGGUCAGUUUCAGAGGUAGAAUCAGCAGGCACCACGUCUUCCUGCCCCAGCAGCCCAGCAGAACAGUCAGGCAGCACCAGCUCAGGUUGGAAAUAGGGCAUGUUUCCACUGUGGGGAGCAAGGCCAUUGGGUGAUGCAAUGUCCGAAGAAGGCAGCCCAGCAGCAAUCAGGCCCCAAUGCCCCAGCGAAGCAGAACGUGUCUCAGCCUGGAGCAGGCAACCGCUCUCAGCCGCGUUAUAAUCAUGGGAGACUGAACCACUUGGAGGCUGAAGCAGUUCAGGAGACCCCCGGCAUGAUAGUAGGUAUGUUCCCAGUCGACUCCCAUAUUGCAGAAGUGUUAUUUGAUAUUGGAGCAACGCAUUCUUUCAUUACUGCAUCAUGGGUAGAAGCACAUAAUCUUCCAAUAACUACAAUGUCAAACCCCAUUCAAAUUGACUCAGCCGGUGGUAGAAUUCGAGCCGAUAGCAUUUGUUUGAAUGUAAGUGUGGAAAUAAGGGGGAUAGCGUUUCCCGCCAACCUCAUAGUAAUGGGUACUCAGGGAAUAGAUGUCAUCCUAUGGGUGAAUUGGCUAGACAAGUAUCAGGCAGUUAUCAGUUGUGAUAAAAGGACAAUCAAGUUGGUGUCCCCACUAGGAGAGGAAGUGGUGACCAAGUUAGUCCCGCCUGAGCCAGAGAAGGGAAGUUGUUAUCAGAUGGUCGUUGAUAGCAGUGAAGCAGACCCAAUUGAGAGUAUCAAGGUUGUGUCCGAGUUCCCAGAUGUGUUUCCAAAGGACUUACCAGGAAUGCCACCAGAGCAGAAAGUUGAGUUUGCCAUAGAGCUUCUUCCUGGAACCGCCCCCAUCUUCAAGAGAGCUUACAGAAUAUCCGGACCAGAGUUAGUUGAACUUAAAAAGCAGAUUGAUGAGCUGUCAGAGAAAGGUUACAUUCGGCCAAGCACCUCACCUUGGGCUGCCCCUGUCCUAUUCGUGGAGAAGAAAGAUGGCACCAAAAGGAUGUGUAUCGAUUAUCGAGCUCUGAAUGAAGUCACAAUCAAGAACAAGUACCCUUUGCCCAGAAUAGAAGAUCUGUUCGACCAGUUGAGAGGAGCCAGUGUGUUCUCCAAGAUUGAUCUGAGGUCAGGUUAUCAUCAGCUCAGGAUUCGACCUUCAGACAUUCCGAAGACGGCAUUCAUUACCAAGUAUGGGUUGUAUGAAUUCACUGUGAUGUCUUUCGGUCUAACAAAUGCACCGUCCUUCUUUAUGAAUCUGAUGAAUAGUGUAUUCAUGGACUAUCUUGAUAAGUUUGUGGUGGUAUUUAUUGAUGACAUUCUGAUUUAUUCUCAAAGCGAAGAAGAGCAUGCAAAUCAUUUGAAGAUGGUAUUGCAGAGAUUGCGAGAACACCAGCUGUAUGCAAAGUUAAGCAAGUGUGAAUUCUGGAUCAAUGAAGUCCGGUUCUUGGGUCACAUAAUCAAUAAAGAAGGAUUGGCUGUGGAUCCGAAGAAAGUGGCAGACAUUCUGAACUGGAAAGCGCCAACAGAUGCUCGAGGAAUCAAGAGCUUCAUUGGAAUGGCCGGAUAUUAUCGGCAAUUCAUUGAAGGGUUUUCGAAGAUUGUGAAACCAAUGACAGCGUUGCUAGGCAACAAGGUCGAGUUCAAGUGGACCCAGAAAUGUCAAGAGGCCUUUGAAGCGCUGAAAGAGAAGUUGACUACGGCGCCUGUCUUAGUCUUGCCUGAUGUGCACAAGCCCUUCUCGGUGUAUUGCGAUGCUUGUUACACUGGUUUAGGAUGUGUGUUGAUGCAAGAGGGAAGAGUUGUGGCUUACUCGUCCCGACAGUUGAAGGUUCACGAGAAGAAUUACCCAAUCCAUGAUCUAGAGUUGGCAGCAGUGGUUCACGCACUGAAGGCAUGGAGGCAUUAUCUGUAUGGACAGAAAUGCGAUGUUUACACAGACCACAAGAGUCUGAAGUACAUAUUCACUCAGUCAAAGCUGAAUAUGAGGCAACGAAGAUGGUUGGAGCUGAUCAAAGACUACGAGUUGGAGAUUCAUUACCAUCCAGGCAAAGCGAACGUAGUGGCAGAUGCUUUGAGCAGGAAGAGUCAGGUCAAUCUGAUGGUCGCUCGUCCGAUGCCUUAUGAGUUGGCCAAAGAGUUUGACAGGUUGAGUCUCGGGUUUCUAAAUAAUUCGCGAGGAGUCACAGUCGAGUUGGAACCUACAUUGGAGCGAGAAAUCAAAGAAGCGCAAAAGAAUGAUGAGAAGAUCAGUGAGAUCCGGUGACUGAUUCUAAAUGGCAGAGGCAAAGAUUUUCGGAAAGAUGCAGAAGGUGUGAUAUGGUUCAAAUACCGCUUGUGUGUUCCCAAUGUCCAGUCUAUUCGGGAGUUGAUUCUUAAGGAAGCUCAUGAGACAGCCUAUUCGAUUCACCCUGGCAGUGAGAUGAUGUAUCAGGAUCUGAAGAAGAAAUUCUGGUGGUACGGAAUGAAGAGGGAAAUCCCAGAGCAUGUGGCAAUGUGUGAUAGUUGUCGGCGGAUCAAGGCAGAGCACCAGAGACCAGCUGGAUUGUUGCAACCGUUGCAAAUUCCUCAGUGGAAAUGGGAUGAAAUCGGCAUGGACUUCAUAGUCGGAUUGCCUCGCACUCGAGCCGGCUAUGAUUCCAUUUGGGUAGUAGUGGACCGCUUGACCAAGUCAGCCCACUUCAUACCUGUCAAGACCAACUACAGCAGUGCAGUAUUGGCGGAGCUGUACAUGUCUCGGAUCGUUUGUCUUCACGGUGUGCCAAAGAAGAUAGUGUCAGACAGAGGAACUCAAUUCACCUCUCAUUUGUGGCAGCAGUUGCAUGAAGCCUUGGGCACGCAUCUGAAUUUUAGUUCAGCCUAUCAUCCGCAGACAGACGGUCAGACUGAAAGGACCAAUCAAAUUCUUGAAGACAUGUUGAGAGCCUGUGCGUUGCAAGAUCAUUUUGGAUGGGAUAAGAAGUUGCCUUAUGCAGAGUUCUCCUAUAACAACAGUUACCAGGCCAGCUUGAAGAUGUCACCAUUUCAGGCGCUUUAUGGGAGGAGUUGUAGAACUCCGUUGCAAUAAGAUCAGCCUGGAGAAAAGCAAGUGUUUGGGCCAGACAUUUUGCUUGAAGCUAAAGAGAACAUCAAGAUGGUUCGAGAGAACCUGAAGAUAGCGCAAUCAAGGCAGCGAAGCUAUGCAGACACAAGAAGAAGAGAGCUGAGUUUCGAAGUCGGAGACUUCGUCUAUCUGAAAGUGUCACUGAUCAGAGGAGUCAGAAGGUUCGGAGUCAAAGGCAAGCUAGCACCCCACUACAUUGGUCCGUACCAAAUUCUCUCAAGGCGUGGAGAAGUGGCCUAUCAGCUCAGUUUGCCAAAAGAUUUGUCUGUCGUGCAUGAUGUUUUUCAUGUGUCUUAGUUGAAAAAGUGUCUGCGAGUGCCAGAAGAGCAGUUGCCAGUUGAAGGUCUUGAAGUCCAGGAGGACUUGACCUACACAGAGAAACCAGCGCAAAUCCUUGAGAUGGCAGACAGAGUCACUCGAAGGAAGACCAUCAGAAUGUGCAAAGUCAGAUGGAACCAUCACUCUGAGGAAGAAGCAACCUGGGAGCGUGAAGAUGAUCUGCUGGCCAAAUACCCUGAGCUCUUUGCUAGCCAACCCUGAAUCUCGAGGGCGAGAUUCUUUUAAGGGGGAUAGGUUUGUAACGCCCUGAAUUUGGGGGUAGAAUUUUUUCUUCUUUUCUCUCACCAAAUUCAGGCGUUACCCUUUCCUUUUCCCUUUUUCUCCUCGCUAAGCCUUGAUUUUUUUUCCAAAAGUUAUAGCGAGAAUUAGCUCGACAUCUUGUGUAAGCAAAACCUAGAACUUUUUUGGUUGUUGCAUCAUGCCGGAUUAUGCCCUCUUUUUGUUUGUGGUUGGGUGAGUUGGAGAAUUAGGCAUAUAAGAAAUAGGGGUUAUAGAAAAUGGAAAAUAGGAAAAAGAAAAACCUUUUCUUUUUCUCUCUCCCCCCUUUCUCCCCUUUUGGCCCAGCCGCCCCCCCCCCUCGCGCUGCCCCCCCCCCCUUCCCCCCUUCCCUCCCCGCCGUGGGCCGUCCCGGCCCAACCGCGCCCGCCCCCUCCCCCCUUUGGGCCCAAGCGGCCCAGCCGCCCCCUCCCCCCCUUUCCCAAAAUUUCCCUCCCCGUGGGCCCCGCCCGUCAUCUUCCCUCCCUCUCUCCCUCUCCCUAACCCUAACCACUGCCGCCGCCCUAGCGCCGCCGCCGGCCGCCCCCGCCUCGAUGAGGCCCCCUCCCCUCCCUUCCCCCUUCCCCGCCCGCCGGCGCCGCUCCCCGGCGCGCCACCCCGGCCCGCCCCGCCCCUCGCCGCGGCAAGGCCGCCCCCGGCUCGGCGCCCCGCUCGGCCGCCCCUCCGGCAAGCCGCCCCCCCGGCGAGCUUGGCCCGCCCCCGUCCCUGACCUCGGCGCCCCGUGCUCGGCCCCCUCCGGCGAGUCGCCCCGCCCCUUCCCCGCCCUCGCCUCGGCCGCGUCCGGCGAGCCGCCCCCGUCCCCGACCUCGGCCGCCCCCGCGGCCCGCCGCGCCCCGGCUCGGCCGCCCCCGGCGAGCCCGCCCCGUGCCCCGGCUCGCCGCCCCCGGCGACCCGCCCGCCCCCGUGCUCGGCCGCCCCGCCGCCCCCGUGCCCGGCUCGGCCCCCCCCCCCCCCGCGCGAGCCCCGCCUGUCCCCGGCCAUGGCGCCCACGCCCGGCUCGGCCGCCCUCGCCGUCGCCCGUGUUCGCCCGCCCGCCCCGGCGUGCCUUGCUCGUGUCGUGAUGGCCCCGGCGCGGCCUCCGAGCUCGGCCAGCGCACGGCCCCGACGCGUGCGCGACUCGUUCGCGGCACGUUAAGCGUGGCUUUGCGCGUGCGCGUGCCCGCGCAGCGCCUUGGCGUAGCUCAUCGUGCCCGCGACGCGAAGCAUAGCGCCCUGUCGCGUCCGCGACACGAUCGUCUACCCCGAGCUGCCCGUCUACCCCCCCCCCCCCGGUGCAUUCCGUGUGUAGUGAUCAUGUUAUGUAAUCAAUAAAUGGAAACCCAAAUUAGAAAUUGUUUACGUUAGUUAAUUUGUAUAGCUAAUCGUCUAUCUUAUUCAAUGUUAAUCUACUAAAAGUGGUCACGUUUACAUUAGUGCAUGUAGCUAAUUCUUAUCAUUGAAGCUAAGUAGAACUAGAGCACGUAGCGUGUAGUUAUUCGUCUACCCGUAGUGCGCCUCGAGCAUAAGCCUUAACCCCUGCGAGACGUUCCCCGUUUCUUUCUAACCAUGGUAAAUUCAUUAUCGUAUGUGAUAUUCUAUGCGUAUUUACUUUAUUUGUUCUUUUGUAUGGUGUACUGUUUGUUUCCUAAUUUGAAUGGAUGGAUGUAUGUAUGCUUGCAAUCGCAUAGAGAACGAUUCGGACGAGAGCCCGAAGAACUCGCAGGAGAAGUCCCUGAGCAGCAGUCGGUUGGUGGAGGCAAGUGUCCCUUGACCUAUCUCUGUCCUAUUCAUUCUUUAAUUCACCUCCCGCAUUACACAUUUAUACCUAAGGAUUGACUAGCUUUUGUUAUCCAUGUCCUUGUUUACCUAUUGGGUUGGAUUAUUAUUGCUUAGUCUUAUGCUAUUGCUCAACUCUAAUCAAUGAACAUGAUGAGAAUGAUCAUGAUACCUGUUUUCCCCCUUUUAUUAUGAUGUUAUACUUGUGCCUUUAAGGGGGCUCGAGCGGUUUCUCGAGUGCCUCUCCGUAAGGACCUGUUCUUGGAUGACCGCCCAGGAAAACAGUGCAACCAUGAGGGUGGAGUGGGACGCCCUUAGCUGAAUAAUUAGAGGAACCGGGGUGUAGUUCGCUUAGCCGUUGUGCCAUCAAUGGGGCUCGGUGUAUGCGGCUCGCUCUGCCAAGGUUGAUUUGUCCCUUGGGGAGGAGUGUGGUACAUUUAGGAAACCUAACGGGCGGCUACAGCCCCGGGGAAUCUUUGUAAAGGCUACGUAAUGAUGCCCUGCUGGGUCACCUUGGUAGUGAUCAAUGGAGAGUCAUGAUCUCCGGGCAGAAAGGGAAUCACGGCUUGUGGGUAAAGUGCACAACCUCUACAGAGUGUUUGAAAACUGAUAUAUUAGCCGUGCUCGCGGUUAUGAGCGGCCAAGGGAGCUCCAGUGAUUAGUGGUACAUGAUCAGAGACACUUGGUUUGCAGGUGGCAAUGAGACUGAUGGUUUUCGUUAUGACUAUGGUAAUGGUAAGUGGUAUUCUUUCCGUUUGGAAAGAGUACGUUUGGGUUAAUAAUGUGGGUUAACUCUAAAAGUUGGCUUUCUCUACUAGUAAUAACAAAUCUGACCAACUAAAAGCAACUGCUUGACUUAUCCCCACAUAAAGCUAGUCCACUACAGCCAAACAGGAUACUUGCUGAGUAUGUUGAUGUGUACUCACCCUUGCUCUACACACCAAACCCCCCCAGGUUGUUAGCAUUGCAACCACUGCUCAGGAGAAGAUGAAGCCGUGGAAGGAGACUUCCAGGAGUUCCAAGACUACGACGAGUUCUAGGCGUGGGUUAGCGGCAAACCCCCAGUCGGCUGCCUGUGAAGGCCUCGUUUAUCUACGUUUCUUUUUCGCACUUUGAUUAUUGUAAAGACUAUGUGGAUGUCUCAGACAUAUGAUGUAAUCGACUAUUACUUCCCUUUUUAAUACUAUUUGAGCACUAUGUGAUGAUGUCCAUGUUAUGUAACUGCUGUGUACGUGAAUUGCUGAUCCUGGCACGUACAUGGUUCGCAUUCGGUUUACCUUCUAAAACCGGGUGUGACAAUGAUCCAUCGUUUGUGACAGCCGCCAAAGAAGAUGGUUGGGACAUUAGGCUAACAUGUCCUAAUUCACCUGAUCUGAAUGUUUUGGAUCUUGGAUUUUUUGCUGCAAUCCAAUCUUUGUUUGAGAAAGGUACACCAAACAACAUUAGCGAAAUUCUCAGAAAGGUUGAUGAGUCAUAUCAGAAUUAUCAUGUGGAUAGAUCAAACCGAAUUUUCCUAACCCAGCAGGGUUGUAUGAUGGAGAUCAUGAAGCAAAAUGGUGGCCAGCACUACAACAUUCCUCACAUGAAGAAGAAGACCCUGGAGUUGCAAGGAUGACUUCCCGUUACUCUGAAGUGCCCUUUGCAGCUUCAUAAUCAAGCCAUGCAAUUCGUCGGUACUUAGAAUUGUUUUAGUCCAGAUACAGUUAGCAUGUGUCGGUUUUUGUUAGUGAUAUCAGGUUCAUUAGCUCGAAUGCAAACUGCAUGCAAAAUAAAAAAUUCAAGAUUUCACCUGCAACUCAUGAUAAACUUGUUUACACUGUUCAGAUUACAUCCAACAUAAAAAAUCAAGGAAAAAACUAAACAAAGGCAUACCCAUGAACAAGGCCACGUCCAAUCCAAAACAAAGUUACAGAGGCAUCGUAAACUUGUUGUUCAUGUUGUCCAUACAAAAGAGGAAGAUAGACAGGGAGCAGCAAGGUAGCACAAUCUUCUUUUUCCUUGUCAGAUUGAAACUUGGUUACCUCUGUUGAUGCAAGUUGCAUUAGAGCAUGAACAUCAACGUCAUCUUCUUCGGCAGCAAUAUUCUCCUGUUGAUCCUUGUCUUCUUCGUCGCUUGAAUCUGGCACCCAGUUGACACCACGAAUGAGCUUCUCUGGUACAGACGAUUCUAGUUGAUCCUCCAUGGCAAGCACCAGUGUGACUACAUGAAGUGCGCGCGCGAUAGCACAACAGUGUGGAGUGGAGCGGCAGCACACGUUGAUGCUCCAUAAAGAAGCUAACGGGAUGGUGAGCUAGCAGCGCAUUAAUGACGCCACUGUAGAAACGAAACGAUGGAUAUAGGAAACAAAGCGCCUGCUACUGAGCAAACCAAGAACGGAGCUAAUACGACGGAGAUUUGUAGAAAAACGCAAAACGCUCAUGCGACGGAGAUUUAGGAACAGAGGAAGUAAUACACUAUUCUACAAUCUUUCAUUAUUAAUAAGGUUUGGGCUUUUAUAUUUUGCAUACUUUGUAUUUGGUUCUUAUUAUUGUGAUUAAAAUAAGCAUGUACUAAAAUGUUAGUGGGUGUUAGUGGGUGUUGAUACUCGAUGGAUAUGUGUUAGGUGCGGAUACUCGAUGGAUAUCUGUUAUCCAUGUGAGUGGUGUAUAUGGAGUAAUUUUAUACCCAUCUUUACUAUAUUAAAGUUCUAGUUUUAACGGUCACCUCGCGCCAUUCUUUUAUAAAAAACCCCCUUUUAUUUGUUUGAAAUCAACUUGCGACUCUCUGCCUCAGCUAGAGGAAUAGACAGAUGGAUAGCCUAUAGAACACACACCCUCCCUUUCUCUCUCUACUAUCUACGGCUCCAAUCUCCCCCAACCUAUUCGUCGCCCCUCUCUCAUGCCCCUCCCCCACUGUUGCCCCAUGGCCGAUGCGCUGCCUUCGUCUCUCUUCCCCACUGCCAUGACAGGCAGAUUAUCGGAUCCGCACUGGUAAGGGAGAUUUGGAUUGUCAGGUGGCAUCUAGGCUGGCCUGAUGCCAUCCAAACCGUCUCGGUGGCAUUAUCCGGGUAGGUCCCGUAGAGGGAUCACUGAUUUUGGACUUGGGAGAUGGAGUUUCUCCGCUCUAGAUUGAGCCCGGGGAGAGGUCGUGUUGUGGACCUGCCUCCUCGGCGGCCGGCACGUGUCGCCUCCUGACUCACCCCCUCGGCAUGUGUAGGUCUUCAUGGUCAUGGCGCCACCCACGCCUCCUGUCCUUUCUAUCUGCUGGUGAGGCCUCUCCUGGUAGGUCAGCUAGAAAAUUUAUUAACCGUGUGAUCGCUACGUAGCCUAUCCCCACUGGUUAUCCUCAAUCACUUGGCUUGGCGUGUAGAUGCAAGGUAUGAGCUACGUCAUGCUGUCAUGCCUGUGGUUUGGUUGCAAGAUCUCCAGAUCAUGUGCGGAUGUAUUGCGGGUCUCAUGUAUUUCUAAGGAUACUCAACAUGCGAUCUGGUGCAGGGGUACUUUAGCAGUAGAUUUUGUGUGUGUCUCUCAUCAUGGGGUUUAAUUAUGGUCUGGUAGGUCUACUAGAGUGGAGUUUGAAAUGACACUAACCAACAUUGUUAUAGUGUUUUCCAUUAUUUGUUAUACCUUUUGUAGUUAUAACAAUCAGUCCAUCCUAUGUUAUGCUCGUUAGAGGUUAAUUUAGGAACUAUAGGAUUAAGGUAAAUUAUUGCCCUAAAUUAUUCAUUUAUUGUCACAAGUAGCUUUGUGUAGUCACCUGUAAGGAAAAUGGACCCUGGGUCAUUUGGCUCAAUAGAUUUUGGUGUUUGAUGAACAACAUAACCUGUGGACUAAUGUGUUUGCUAGUGUUUAUGUUUGUAGUCUAUAAGAUGCUAAAGUUACUUGGACUAAGGCAUUGGGGAAAGCAACACCUCAAAAGAAGACAUUAUGAAGAUCACAAGUGAAGGUCAACAAGUAUCAAGCAAAGUCCAAGAAACGAAGAAUAGUGGUGCCACACGCCGGACUGUUCCGUGCACUAGGGAACUGUAGCCCAACGACUAGUUUCAGGUGGCACUGGUGGAGAGAAGGCACCGGGCUAUCCGGUGCGACGUCCGGACUGUCCGAUGUGAAAGCCUGCAGCGCCAAUGGUCAUCUGCGGUAAUAGAUCCAACAGCUAGGCGCAUCGGAUAGGGGCACCGGACUGUCCGGUGUGCCGCAGAGAGCAGCAGCUUUUCUCCAACGGCUAGAAUUGUGUUGGGGCCUAUAAAUACCACCUCAACCGAGCAUUUCAAGGUGUGGGAGCCCAAGCAACAUACCAAGGCAUAAUUUGCCCCUCUUAAUAUCAAAUCCAAGUUCCUGUCUCUUACAAGUAUUCAAAACUUGUAUACACACUUUUAGGGGGAGGUUACUCUAUAAUCUAAGUCUUUGAGACUAAUACAUGUUUUUAAGUCUAUUUCAUAUAGUAGUCUCAUCGUAAGAAAAAAGGAGUUCCCAGAGAUAGACAAUAAGCUUCCACUGCAAAUCUACAAAAAUUCUUAUAUCUCACAAGCCUACCAUUGGCCUUCAAUUGAUUUUCAAUUCGAGAAUUCUUAUAUCUCACAAGCCAACGCCUUGAUCUAGUGUCCCUGCGAAUUUCUUGUCAAGGAUCAUCUAGCAUAGCUUCUUCUCAACAUGGUUCGUUUGCAGCUCAAUCAUCUAUACUACGUGGGUAAUCUCUACCCUUGAGUAGGGCUCAAUCAACCUGUAGACUUUCUGCUCCAUGGGAGUAUCAGAAAGAGAGGAAAGUUGCCUAUGGACAAUAGGAUCGUCUAGCUGGGCUUUGUACAUAGAGCAGUUUCAAAGUACUUCAAAGACCUUUUGGAGUAGGCAUCAGCCACAGCUUUCAUAGCAUUAAUGUCAGGACCCAGAUACUUGAGGCCAUCAUUCGGUGAGAUGAUUCCUGCAACAUCAUCAGCUUGGUUGACUAUUAUCUUGCACAAAAGCAUGUACUUCAAGUAAAUUAAAAGCUUCAAAUGCUUCGAAGAAGUAGUUGUAAAAUAACAGCAGGCCAAAUAAAAAUAAUAGCUGCACAAACCAGCAGGCAAAAUAACAGGUCCACAGAGCGCUAGGCCAAAUAAUAGCAGAGGGGGUCGACGCCCUACCCAUCGCAGUCGACAAAGGCGGAGCAGCCGUUGACGUUUCUGUCUGAGUCACAGUGCAGGUCUGUGGCGAAGUGGUAGACGACGAGGUAGUUGGUGACAAGUGCCUGGGCGAGCACGACUUGGAGGUGGUCGAGGAGAUGAGGAGACGGGCGGUGGAGAUGUAGGAUUACGGGGAGGCUACGCUAGCGCAAAACAAAAUUUUCAUCCCCAUAAUACCAAGAACUACUGCGGUUAUAGGUCAUGGAAUUACCACUAGACGCGCAGAGCAGCGGAAGACGUCUCGAUGUAGACGAACGCGUCGAGCAGUGCCGUGCAGUCGCCGGCGUCCUUCACGUCCUCGCACAGUUCGUCCAAGUGCUCCAGAUGCAGCACCUCCGAGAUAUCCACACGUACAGGGAGGAAGCGCCGCGUACCGAACUGCUAGGUUCGCGACGGCGGCUUGGCGAGGGCGAGAGGUGGGCGGCGGCUGUUAGUCCGCUGGUGGCGAAUUAGGUUAUCUUUUAACCGCGCCCCUGCCCCUCAUUAUAUAGGCGUUAUGGUGGGCUUCUGACGCCGAGGCCCAUCAUUAACCCUAAAGCCCAGUCUAAUUUCGGAUCUAAUCCGAAUUAGGCUUCCUUCCCCUUAAGUGUGUGACCCUAUAGGUUCACGUACAAAUAGACAUAGCCCGAGUACUCUUACUUGGCCCAAUAAUUGACAGCGGCCUCUAGCAAGACAUGUCAACUCCUAUGUGUACGUAAAGAUCAUAUCAGACGAACCAUUGCGACAUUAAGUACAUGUUGUUCCCUUUGUCUCACGAUAUUUGGUCUGGCUCUAAGCUGACCUCUCUUUCUCGAUACUGUGAAUUGGAAUCCUUUCAAUGGUUAACUCUUAACCCUAGCACGGCCAUGCAUUUCUUGAUCCAAUCACUCGAGGGGCCCAGAGAUAUCUCUCUCACAAAGAGAGGGACAAAUUCCAUCUUGACUGACCAUGCCUCAUAGCAUGCUUCCUGACAAACCCAAAACUACCUUUAUAACUACCCAGUUACGGGAUAGCGUUUGAUAGUCCCUAAGUAAGUCAAUUCACAUCUUGAGAACAUGCGACAAUCUCAGGUCUAAGGAUACAGUAUUCAUGUUGCAAGAAGAGAACUAUAUUACAAUAUCUCACGUUGGGUCGGUCCAGCCUCAUGUCAUACAUGCGCCCACAUUAUUAAUUUAACAUCUCCAUGUUCAUGACUUGUGAAAUGUAGUCAUCAACUAAUACAUGUGCUAGUCAUCGACUCUGACUAGGGACAUCAUUUAGAAUAACCAUAUAAGUAAAGAAUCUCACAAACAAUUCACAUAAUUGCUAAUCAAUACAAGGUGCCUUCCAUGGAUAUUCAAUUAAGCAAUAUAUAUAUCAUGGAUACAAAGAAAUAUGCUCAUCUCUAUGAUUAUCUCUAGGGCAUAUUUCUAACAGUCUCCCACUUGCACUAGAGUUAAUCUAGAAGAUAUCUAAUACCCAUAGAUCUCACGUGUGCCUCAUGCUUAGGUUGUGGAAGAGGUUUUGUCAAAGGAUCAGCAACAUUCAAAUCCGUAUGUAUUUUGCAUAUCUUUAUCUCACCCCGCCUAAUGAAUUCCCGUAUGAGGUGAAACUUCCGCAGUACGUGUUUGUUUUUCUGGUGGUUCCUUGGCUCCUUAGCUUGCGCAAUAGCCCCAUUGUUGUCACAGUAGAGGUUCAAUGGGCUAGAUGCAUUAGGAAACACACCAAGCUCGAUGAGGAACUUCCUUAUCCAAACACCUUCCUUCGCAGAUUCAGAAGCUGCAAUGUACUCGGCUUCUGUUGUAGAAUCAGUCACAGUCUCCUGUUUGGAACUCUUCCAACUAACAACACCACCAUUUAUUGUGAACACAAAACCUUAUUGCGAUUUUAACUCGUCUGGGUCAGUUUGGAAGCUAGCAUCGGUGUAACCAGUUACAACGAGCUCCUCCUUACCCCCAUAUACCAGGAACAUAUCUUUAGUCCUUCUUAAGUACUUAAGAAUGCCUUUUACCGCUGUCCAGUGAUCCUCACCUAGAUCAGCCUGGUAUCUACUCGUAGCACUUAUAGCGUAUGAAACAUCUGGGCGUGUACUUAUCAUGGCAUACAUGAUUGAUCCAAUCGCUGAGGCGUAUGGUACCUUACUCAUGCGCUCUCGCUCAUUAGCUGUCGCAGGACAUUGCAUCUGGCUAAGGUGUUUACCAUGUGACAUAGGUAUGAAACCUUUCUUGGACUGUUCCAUGUUGAACCGUUUCAAAACCUUGUCAAUGUACGUAUCUUGACUUAAUCCUAUAAGCCUCUUCGACCUAUCUCUAUAGAUCCUUAUGCCCAAAAUAUAUGCUGCUUCCCCUAAGUCCUUCAUAGAAAAACUCUUUUUCAGUGAAGCCUUGACGGACUCCAGCAUAGGAAUGUCAUUCCCAAUCAAUAAUAUGUCAUCCACAUACAAGAUUAGAAAUACAACAGCGCUCCCACUUUCCUUCUUGUAAACACAAGCUUCUUCUUCAUUCUGAUGAAAACCAAGCCCUUUGAUCACUUCAUCAAAACGAAUGUUCCAACUCCGAGAUGCUUGCUUCAACCCAUAAAUGGAUUUCUGAAGUUUGCAUAUCUUUCCAGCAUUGAUCGGAUCGACAAAACCCUCGGGCUGUAUCAUAUACACGUCCUCAUCUAGGUUUCCAUUAAGGAAAGCUGUUUUGACAUCCAUCUGCCAAAUCUCAUAAUCAAAAUAUGCGGCAAUAGCUAGAAUGAUCCGAAUAGAUUUAAGCAUCGCUACUGGCGAGAAUGUCUUGUCAUAGUCAACUCCUUGAACUUGUCGAAAACCCUUUGCAACAAGUCGAGCCUUAUAGAUGUGAAUAUUUCCAUCCAUGUCUUUCUUCUUCUUAUAGAUCCAUUUGCAUUCUAUAGGUCUAACACCAUCAGGCGGGUCAACCAAGUUCCAAACUUGAUUUUCUCCCAUGGAAUCUAUCUCGGAUCUCAUGGCGACAUGCCAUUUCUCGGAAUCUGGGUCCAUCAUCGCUUCUGAAUAUGUUGCAGGUUCGUCGUUGUCUAACAACAACACUUCCCCAUUGCCCAACAAUAGCACUUCUCCUCGUGCCUCGCGAAGCCUUGCUGACCUUCGUGGUUGUGGUGGUGAUUCUCUUGCCAUAGACGUCUCAACUUGUUCUGCUACAUUAGCAUCGCUUGUUGAAUCUUGUCCCACUGGCUCAUCCUGAACUUCUUCAAGAUACACCUUUUGUUUACUUUUCUCUCUUUUGAGAAACUCUUUCUCUAAGAACACACCGUUCCGGGCGACAAACACUUUGCCCUCUGACCGGUGGUAAAAGUAAUACCCUAAAGUUUCCUUUGGAUAUCCCACGAACAUGCACUUGUCCGAUUUUGGAGUGAGUUUAUCCGACUGUAGUCGCUUGACGUAAACCUCACAACCCCAAAUCUUCAGAAAAGACAAGCUGGGAGUCUUCCCAGUCCACAUCUCAUAUGGUGUCUUAACUACGGACUUAGACGGUACCCUAUUUAGUGUGAAAGCUGCUGUUUCUAGAGCGUAUCCCCAAAACGACAAAGGUAGGUCCGACUGGCUCAUCAUUGAUCGAACCAUAUCCAAUAAAGUCCGAUUACGUCGCUCAGACACGCCAUUCCUCUGAGGCGUUCCAGGCGGCGUAAGCUGUGGAACAAUUCCACAACUCUUUAGAUGAUUGCUAAACUCAUGACUCAAAUAUUCACCACCACGAUCUGAUCGCAGUGCUUUAAUUUUCUUGCCACGCUGAUUUUCUACUUCAUUCUGAAACUCUUUGAACUUUUCUAAGGAUUCAGACUUGUGUUUCAUUAAGUAGACAUACCCAUAUCUACUAAAAUCAUCAGUGAAGGUUAUGAAGUAUUGGAAUCCUCCCCUAGCUGUCGUACUCAUUGGUCCGCACACAUCAGUAUGUAUGAGUUCCAAUAAAUCUAACGUCCUCUCCGGUAAACCCGUGAAGGGCGCCUUGGUCAUCUUACCAAGUAAGCAAGCUUCACAUGUCUCGUAUGAUUCAAAAUCAAACGGAGUUAAAAGCCCAUCAGAAUGAAGCUUCUUCAUGCGAUUCUCACUUAUAUGACCCAAACGACAGUGCCACAUGUAGGUAGGACUUAAAUCAUUAGGCCGAUGCCUUUUAGCACUAAUAUUACAGAUAGGUGCAUCAUCAAGAUUUAAAAUGAAUAACUCAUUCAUAAUGGAUGCAAAAGCCACAAACAUGCCAUUCUUAGAGAUCACACAACCAUUGUUUUCACUCGCAAAUGAAUAACCAUCCUUCAUCAAACAUGAAGGAGACAUAAUGUUUCGACUCAUACUAGGAACUAGAUAACAAUUAUUUAACUCCAAAAUAAAUCCUGAUGGGAGGUGGAGUUGCAUCGUCCCGACGGUCAACGCAGCAACUCUUGCAUUAUUGCCUACCCAGAAAUCAACUUCUCCUCUUUUCACGCUUCUACUUCUUAUCAUUCCCUGCAUCGAAUUGCAAAUAUGGGCAACCGAUCCGGUAUCAAAUACCCAAGAAUUAAUAUAAGAAUCAGCAAGAAAAAUUUCUGUAAUGUGAAUAGCAAGUGUACCUGCUGCGGCUGUACCCUUACCGCCGCGAUCCUUAAUAGAGGCCAAGUACUGCUUGCAAUUCCUUUUCCAGUGACCAAGUUCUUUGCAAUAAAAGCACUCUGCAUCUGCAGCUGGUCCAGCCUUGGGCUUUUGAUUUGGCUUGGAUACUGUAUCCUUUGCCUUGCCCUUCUUCUUUUGAGACUUACCCUUCUUCUUAAAGUUGGGUUUGUUUUGGACCGCCAUCACAUGGCCGCUGCUGCCAGCGCUUUUCUUUAUGUCCCCCUCUGCUGUUUUCAGCAUGCCACAUAGUUCAUUGAGGCCCCUCUCCGCCCCAUGCAUAUGGUAGUUCGUGAUGAAGUUUCCAUAGCUGGGCGGAAGAGAUGCCAAAAUGAAGUCAGUGGCCAACUCUUGGCUUAUUGGGAAGCCUAGUUUCUCCAACCUCUGACUGUAACCAACCAUUUUGAUUACAUGUGGCCCAACUGCUGCGCCUUCUGCUAGCUUGCAUUCCAAAAAGGCUUUGGACACAUUGAACCUUUCAGUCCUAGCCUGAGUCUGGAACAUAUCCUUGAGCGCCACGAUCAUAUCGUACACCUCAUGGUUUGUCUCAAACUGCAUCUGGAGCUCAGGCUCCAUGCAAGCAAGCAUUAGGCAACUCACUUCAAGAUUAGCAUCCAUUGCUUUCUUGUAAGCGGUUUUAGCUGCAGCAGUUGCAUUUUCACCAGGAUCCUCUGGCAGUGGGGUGUCUAGAACGUCUUCCUUUUUUCAGCCCUGAGAACAAUUCUCAGGUUACGGAUCCAAUCCGUAUAGUUUGUUCCAUUUAACUUAUCCUUUUCAAGAAUUGAUCGCAAAGUAAAUGUUGGUGUGCUAGGUGCCAUCUACAACAAAAUAAUGCAAAAUACUAAGACAAAAAUAUCCAUGACAGAGUAAAUCAUAUUAAACAUUUAAUAGUCUACUCCCACUAAAAUCAAUAUCCCUCGAUUGAUACUUAGUGAUUCAGAACCCACAACUAACAAGUCUACUAGUGAGCUUUAGCAUCACCGCUAGAAGACAAGGUAGAUCGGUAAGCAACUCCUUGCUAAUCAUAUCAUAUAUAUGACUCCUGUUGUUGGGUGACAUCUCUAUGUCUCGGCUCCCAACCUUAUGCCUCAAAGUCCUUAACCAUUAAGCUGACUUUGUUUAAGUUAACCAACCCUUUCUGCAGUUCGUAUCCGAUACAAACCUAUCUAGUCAAGGAAAACUGGUGGCACCCUAAUUUCAUAGACCCACCACCAAUUGUACAAGACUUAUGAUAGUGCAAGGUUUGGAGAGGCAUUAAAGCUUAAACAUUUAUGAGGGAUCGUCCUACUUAUAACAUCGCACGCAAGGACAUAUAUGCAAUAUAAACAAGUAGAACAAUAAGAAUGGCAUUCACACAACAGUUGUGAUUCGGUAUGGCUUGUUGUCACAUGGUGAUCCCCAUCUCCAAUAAUCUGUCCAUCACGAUGAUCUCCAUCUCCAUGAUAUAGGUAUGCCAUCCUCCAGGUGAUGAGUCCUUCAAGACCUAUCUAACGUAUGCUGGUAAACAAAUUACAUAUACGCUUUGGAUCAUCACAUGUUGACACGCAGGUCAUUACAUUAAAUUUGGACAAUACAUGUGGCUCCAGCCGUAUUGCCCUGGUCACGACACGCAGGUCAUGAAUAAUUUAUUAACAUGCAUCACAUACACAUAAUAGCCAUACCGAUCACAUGUCCUGCAAAAACAGGUUAGACAAACACGUUUCUAUACGUUCGCCACUACAGCAGAUAGCCACCGCGGGUCUCAGGGCAGCGCCCUGAAAACCUCACAGGAUUCCAUGCAUCGUAUGUAUGGAAAUUCCACUGGAAAUCUCAUGCGGUUGAUCAAAUCAACCCAAAUCCGAGACUUUCGACCCGAAGAGGAUUACACUCAUGACGUUGAUCUGUUACAUCAAUCUGCUAGUUGUGUACGCAGUUAGCCCCGAUGGUGAUUCCAGCCGGUAGGGGCAAGUCGCGCACAUAACAGAGAAGGACGAACUGAUCUCUCCAGUCAUAUCCGAUGUAAUCGACUUCAACCCUUUAUAACCAAUUGAUCUAAUCAAACCGUGCAUCAAGUAGAUCCAUCUCAUGAACCUAGAUCCAGACCUAAAACUACGCAGAACCUGCUUUGAUACCACUGUAGGAUUACGGGGAGGCUACUGUAACGCCCUGAAUUUGGGGGUAGAUUUUUUCUUCUUUUCUCUCACCAAAUUCAGGCGUUACUCUUUCCUUUUCCCUUUUCUUCUCGCUAAGCCUUGAUCUUUUCAAAGUCGCAGCGGGUUUUGGCUUUAGACCUCGUGUAAAGCAAAACCUUAAAACACUUUAUUUCGUAUGAUGCACCAUGCCGAACCGUGCAUUUUUUUGAUUGAUUAAAAUGUGAAAGCAUUCGUCCUAAGAAAAUUAGAUUUUAGAAAAAGAAAAUCCUUUCUUUUUCUCUCCCUCCCUCCCUUUCCCAUUUCGGCCCAAGCCGCCCCCUCUCCCCCCUUCGGCCGGCCCAGCUGGCGGCCCAGCCGCCCCCUCCCCUCUCCCCUCCCGCGUGGGCCUCCCGGCCGGCCCAGCCGCGCCCCCCCCCCUUCCCCCACUUUGGGCCCAUCCGGCCCAGCCGCCCCCCCCCCUUUUUCUUUUUUUCCAAAAAUCCUCCCCGCGGGCCCCGCCCGUCAUCUCUCUCUCUCUCUCUCUCUCUCUCUCACCCCAACCCUAACCCUAGCCGCCGCCGCCGCCGCUCCCCCGCGCCGCCGCCGCUCCCCCGCGCCGCCGCCGCCCCCGCCCCCCGGCGCCGCCGCCGCCGCUCCCCUCCGGUGAGACCCCUUCUCCUCCCUCACCCCCCCCCCCCCUCUCCUCCCUCUCCCCCCGGCGCCCUUCCCCCACCCACGCCAUGGGCGCCGCCCGUUCCCGCGCCCCGGCGUCCCGCGCCCGUCCCCGCCCGCGCCGGCCGCCCUCGCUCGGCCCCGGCCCGGCCGCCGCUCCCCCGCGGCCUCCCGCGCCCGGCCGCCCUCGCCCUCGUCCGCCCCGGCCCCGGCGACCCCGGCCGCUCGGCUCGGCCGCUCCGGCGAGCCCGCCCUCGCCUCGCCCCGGCGCGCCUCGCGCCGCCGCGCCUCGCGCCGCCGCGCCCGGCCGCCUCCGGCGAGCCGCCCGGCCCGUCCUCCCCCAGCUCGGCCCCGCCCCGCCGCCCCGGCCGCCCUCACUCGACCCCGCCCCCGGCUUGGCCGCCCUCGGCUGCCUCGCCCCCGGCGAGCCCCGCGCCCGCGUCGGCCCCGCCUCGCCGCCCUCCGGCGAGCCGCCCUCGCCCGGCCCCGCUCGGCCCCGCCCUCGCGCCCGCCUCCCGGCAAGCUCGGCGCCCCCCGGUUCAACCGCCCCCGUGCCCCGGCUCGACCGCCCGUCCCCGUGCUCGGCCUCGUCCGGUCGCGCCCUCGCUCGCUGGCCCCGGCGUGCUUGCCCGCUCGCCCCGCCGUGCCUUGCUCGCGUCGUGUCGGCCCCUGCGUGGCCUCGAGCUUGGCCCAGCGUGCUUAUGGCGCGCGGCUUAGAGCUCGGCUAGCGCACGGCCCCGACGUGCGUACGGUUAGUCCGUAGCGUGUGCGUGCGACCUCGCGUGCGUGCCCGCGUAGUGCGCGUGCCUUGGCACGACUCGUCGUGCCUCGUCUACCCCCUAACCCCUCGUCUACCCCCCCCCCUUCUCCUAUAUGCGCUAAUCACGUCGUUUAUAUUAGUAAGAUAGGAGUCUCGAUUUGGAAAUUGAUUACGUUAGUUAAUUCGUAUAACUAAUCAUCUAUCUCGUUCAAUGUUAAUCUACUAAAAGUGGUUGCGAUUACAUUAGUGCAUGUAGCUAAUUCUUUUGUUGGAACUAAUUAAAACUAGAGCACGUGACGUCUAGUCUUUCGUUUACCCGUAGUGUCCCUCGAGCAUAAGCCUCAACCCUUGCGAGACUUUCCCUCGUUUCUUUCUAACCAAGGUAAAUUCAUUAUCGUAUGUGGUAUUCUAUGCAUAUUUGCUUUACUUGUUCUCUUGUAUGGUGUACUGUUGGUUUCCUAAUUUCAAUGGAUGGAUGUAUGUAUGUUUGCGCCCGCUUAGAGAACGAUCCGGUUGAAGAGCCCGAGGAACUCGCAGGAGAAGCCCCUGAGCAGCAGUCGGUUGGUGGAGGCAAGUGUCCCUUGACCUAUCUCUGUCCUAUUCAUUCUUUAAUUCACCUCCCGCUUUACAUAUUUAUGCCUAAGGUUUGACUAGCUUUUGUUAUCCCCAUCCUUGCUUACCUAUUUGGGUUGGAUUAUUACUGUUUAGCUUUAUGCUAUUGCUCAACUCUAAUUAAUGAACAUGAUGAGAUUAUCUAUGAUACGCUGUUUUCCCUUCUCUUAUGAUGAUGUUGUACUUGUGACCUUCAAGGGGCUCGAGCGGUUUCUCGAGUGCCUCUCCGUAAGGACCUGUUCUAUGGAUGACCGCCCGGGAAAACAGUGCAACCAUGAGGGUGGAAUGGGAUGCCCUUAGCUGAAUAAUUAGAGGAUCCGGGGUGUAGUUCACUUAGCCGUCGUGCCGUCAAUGGGGCUCGGUGUAUGCGGCUCGCUCUGCCAAGGUUGAUUUGUCCCUUGGGGAGGAGUGCGGUACAUUUAGGAAACCUAACGGGUGGCUACAGCCUCGGGGAAUCUUUGUAAAGGCUACGUAGUGAUGCCCUGCUAGGCCACCUAGGUAGUGGUCAAUGGGGAGUAGCUCUCUCCGGGCAGAAUGGGAAUCACGGCUUGUGGGUAAAGUGCACAACCUCUGCAGAGUGUUUAAAAACUGAUAUAUCAGCCGUGCUCACGGUUAUGAGUGGCCAAGGGAGCUCCAGUGAUUAGUGGUACUUGAUCAGAGAUACUUUGGUACAGGUGACAAUGAGAUUGAUGGUUCUGAUUACGAUUAUGGUAUUGGUAAGUGGUAUUCUUUCCGUUUGGAAAGGAUACAUUGGGCUAAUAACUUGGGUUAAUGUUAAAACCUGGCUUUCUACUAGUAAGUAAUAACCUGACCAACUAAAAGCAACUGCUUGACUUAUCCCCACAUAAAGCUAGUCCACUACAGCCAAACAGGAUACUUGCUGAGUAUGUUGAUGUGUACUCACCCUUGCUCUACACACCAAACCCCCCCCCCAGGUUGUCAGCAUUGCAACCACUGCUCAGGCGAAGAUGAAGCUGUGGAAGGAGACUUCCAGGAGUUCCAAGAUUACGACGAGUUCUAGGUGUGGGUUAGCGGCAACCCCCAGUCGGCUGCCUGUGAAGGCCGCGGUUAUCUACGUUUCUUUUCCGCACUUUGAUUUAUUGUAAGGACUAUAUGGACGUCUCAGACGUAUGAUGUAAUCGACUAUUUCCCUUAUUAAUACUAUUUUGAGCACUGUGUGAUGAUGUCCAUAUUAUGUAACUGCUGUGUACGUGAAUAACUGAUCCUGGCACGUACAUGGUUCGCAUUCGGUUUGCCUUUUAAAACCGGAUGUGACAUAAGUGGUAUCAAAGCCGUGCUGACUGUAGGACCGCUAACCUAGAGUAGAAUGGUCGUUCUAAGGACUAUAGACCUCUGUCUCUGCCUUGACUUUGAUAUCCCUUCAAAAGUUGGUCAUACCGACCAAACCUAUGUUCUACUAUAUAAUAUACCUUGCUGAAAAUCAUGUUUUAUUCUAAUCCUUCAUUCACUUAUGAUUCAUUAUUUGCUGGUCAUAUUAAUUCUGUUCUCACCCUUUUGCUUGCGAUGUCUUCUGUAGAUGGCUCGACUUAGACACACUGCACGAAAGUCAGUCAUCCCCUUCUUACCCUCCCGCCUUGCUGAGCGUCCGCUUCGCCGUCCCGUGGCCGGACAGUCCAGCCACUUGGAGAGACUACACCACCGCCUGCGUGAGGAGCAGGAACGUCGACGACAGGAGCAGCAGGGCUCUUCUUUCUCGCUCCACCAGGAGAUAGAGUCUGUGAGGAGCUGCUCCCCUGUGCUUCCUUUGGAGCCGCCCCCUGCACCACCACUGGGCGCCCCAGCUUCUGGAGUAGCUGCUGGAGGAGACCCAGACGACGGAGAUGGCGACGACAGCUCGAGCCACGACACCGACUUCUCUGCUAACCCUGAGCCGGAAGGAUGGGUUGCUCGGCCCAUCACUCGCGACGCUGCUCGCGGGUGUCACUUCCACGAUGCGCUCGACACCCUGCUACGUCGGGCAUUUGACCGGCAUACUUGGUCCGUCGAGUAUCGCUGUGUGGUCUACCAGCAUAGUCGCGGGGUCCACCCGGACCGCUGGGAGGCAACCUGCUUGGUGCGCUGUCCGGAGAACAGUCUCCAGGGUGCUGAGGUCUGCUCAGAGCACUAUUCUAUCUCUGAGCGGGACUCAGCUGAGGCAGCCAUGCAAGAUGCUGCACGGCGUGCGCUUUCGCACUACUGCUCGGUUUUCGGUGGGGCAGCUGACGGUCUUGACCUGAAGUAUUACCCCCGCCGUCCAUCUGGCAGCACAGGAGGCGUGAUUGUCUCACCCGUCGGUGAGGGCAAUCCUAGGUUGAGCAGCACAGUCAACCUAGCCGCCGUGCUAAACACGGAGCUGGACCAUGCAUUAGACGAGCUGAGUAGGGCUCGUGCUGAGAUCGCCCUGCUGCGGGCUGAGCGCGCGGAACGUCGUCACUUGGAUGGUGGUUCCCCCGCUCCCGUCGGGACUCAGCACCCGUACCGCUCACCUCAGCGUGGACACCAGUCUUAUGGCAAUCCCGACUGCAAGACCAAGAUAACUCUAGAACCAUAGAUCGUUAGAGUUGGAUCUUGUAAUUAAUACGAAAUAUAUGCAUAGAAGCUUCAGUCUUAGCGUUAGUCUCGGUCUUAGUUAGUCUUAGUUAGACAGGGUAGUUUGCUAUAUCCUGUGCAUUUAUGUUUGUCAUGAUGAACUAUGUUUGGUUUGGAUCUUUGUAAUGAUUGUCACCAGAGUGUGGGUAUCCCCUGCAUUUUGGUUUACCUAUUAUGGUAAUAAAGUUAGUUAUAUAGUUGGGAAACCUUUUAUUCCACUUUCCUCUUUAUCUGAGAAGCUGUGUGGUCUGUGUUGGAGAUCAGUGAAGAUGCUCAUCUGUUCAGUGCUGUUGAAGAAUUCUAUUCUCUUUCCUUAUGCUGCAAGAUUUGCCAGAUCAGUUCUGAUGUGUGGUUGCAUUCUGCAGAUGUCAGAGAACAGGCGCAGAGGAGGAAGGCGUGCUCAGCAGGAGCGAGCCGCUCAACAAGAUGAGGUGCCUCAGCAGCAGCACCUGCCGCCCCCGCCCCCGAUGUCCAUCGAGCAGAUGUUUCUGAUGCAGACUCAGGCAGUUCAAGCCAUCGGUCAGACUUUGGCCGCCAUUCAGCAGCAGCAGCAGCAGCAGGCUCCACCUCAGCCUCAGAUGCCUAGAGACAAGCGUGCUGAAUUCAUGAGAGGUCAUCCACCAACGUUCGCUCACUCUUCUGACCCUAUGGAUGCUGAAGAUUGGCUGCGCACUGUGGAGCGGGAGUUGCAUACCGCUCAGUGCGAUGACAGGGAGAAAGUUCUGUAUGGUCCCCGUCUGUUGAGAGGAGCAGCCCAGUCAUGGUGGGAGUCUUAUCUCGCCACCCAUGCCCACCCUGACGCCAUCACCUGGGAAGAGUUCAGAAGUAGCUUUCGUCAGUACCAUGUUCCUGCAGGUCUGAUGACAGUGAAGAAAGAGGAGUUCCUGGCUCUCAAGCAAGGGCCGUUGUCUGUCAGUGAGUAUCGAGACAGGUUUCUGCAAUUGUCUCGCUAUGCUCCUGAAGAUGUCAACACCGACGCCAAGCGGCAGUACCGUUUCCUGAGAGGCUUGGUUGACCCUCUGCAGUACCAACUGAUGAAUCACACCUUUCCGACAUUCCAGCACCUGAUUGACAGAGCAAUCAUGACAGAGAGAAAGCGCAAGGAGAUGGAAGAUCGUAAGCGCAAGAUCAGUGGACCUCAGCCUGGAAGCAGCAGCCGUCCUCGUUUCUCAGGCAAUCAACCUCAGCAGUUCAGGCAGAACCAGCGUCCACCUCAGCAGCAUCAGCAGUUUCAAAGGCAGUACCCUCAGCAUCAGUACCAGAACCGUCAGAGCAAUCAGUCAGGAGGUCAGUUUCAAAGGCAGAAUCAGCAGGCACCUCGUCUUCCUGCCCCAGCAAAUCAGCAGAACAGUCAGGCAGCACCAGCUCAGGUUGGAAACAGAGCAUGUUUCCACUGUGGAGAGCAAGGCCACUGGGUGAUGCAAUGUCCGAAGAAGGCAGCCCAGCAGCAGUCAGGCCCCAAUGCCCCAGCGAAGCAGAAUGUGCCUCAGCCUGGAGCAGGCAAUCGCCCUCAGCCGCGCUAUAAUCAUGGAAGGCUGAACCACUUGGAGGCGGAAGCAGUUCAAGAGACCCCCGGCAUGAUAGUAGGUAUGUUCCCAGUCGACUCCCAUAUUGCAGAAGUGUUAUUUGAUACUGGAGCAACGCAUUCUUUCAUUACUGCAUCAUGGGUAGAAGCACAUAAUCUUCCAAUUACUACCAUGUCAACCCCCAUUCAAAUUGACUCAGCCGGUGGUAGAAUUCGAGCCGAUAGCAUUUGUUUGAAUAUAAGUGUGAAAAUAAGGGGGAUAGCGUUUCCCGCCAACCUUAUAGUAAUGGGUACUCAGGGAAUAGAUGUCAUCCUAGGGAUGAAUUGGCUAGAUAAGUAUCAGGCAGUUAUCAGUUGUGAUAAAAGGACCAUCAAGUUGGUGUCUCCACUAGGAGAGGAAGUGGUGACCGAGUUAGUCCCACCUGAGCCGAAGAAAGGAAGUUGUUAUCAGAUGGCUGUCGAUAGCAGUGAAGCAGAUCCAAUUGAGAGUAUCAAGGUUGUAUCUGAAUUCCCAGAUGUGUUUCCAAAGGAUUUACCGGGUAUGCCACCAGAGCGGAAAGUUGAGUUUGCCAUAGAGCUUCUUCCCGGAACCGCCCCUAUCUCUAAGAGAGCUUAUAGAAUAUCCGGACCAGAGUUGGUUGAACUUAAGAAGCAGAUUGAUGAGCUGUCAGAGAAAGGUUACAUUCGGCCAAGCACCUCGCCUUGGGCCGCCCCUGUCCUAUUUGUGGAGAAGAAAGAUGGCACCAAGAGGAUGUGUAUCGAUUAUCGAGCUUUGAAUGAGGUCACGAUCAAGAACAAGUAUCCCUUGCCCAGAAUAGAAGAUCUGUUCGACCAGUUGAGAGGAGCCAGUGUGUUCUCCAAGAUUGAUCUGAGGUCAGGUUAUCAUCAGCUCAGGAUCCGACCUUCGGACAUUCCGAAGACGGUAUUCAUUACCAAGUAUGGUUUGUAUGAGUUCACGGUGAUGUCAUUUGGUUUGACCAAUGCGCCAGCGUUCUUCAUGAACUUGAUGAACAGUGUAUUCAUGGAUUAUCUCGAUAAGUUUGUGGUGGUAUUCAUUGAUGACAUUCUGGUUUAUUCUCAAAGCAAAGAAAAGCAUGCAGAUCAUUUGAGGAUGGUGUUGCAGAGAUUGCGAGAGCACCAGUUGUAUGCAAAGUUGAGCAAGUGUGAGUUCUGGAUCAGUGAAGUCCUGUUCUUGGGUCAUAUAAUCAACAAAGAAGGAUUGGCCGUGGAUCCGAAGAAAGUGGCAGACAUUCUGAACUAGAAAGCGCCAACAGAUGCUCGAGGAAUCAAGAGUUUCAUUGGAAUGGCCGGAUAUUAUCGGCGAUUCAUUGAAGGGUUUUCGAAGAUUGUGAAACCUAUGACAGCGUUGCUAGGCAACAAAGUUGAGUUCAAGUGGACCCAGAAAUGUCAAGAGGCCUUUGAAGCGCUGAAAGAGAAAUUGACUACAACGCCUGUCCUAGUCUUGCCUGAUGUGCACAAGCCCUUCUCGGUGUAUUGUGAUGCUUGCUACACAGGUUUGGGAUGUGUGUUGAUGCAAGAGGGAAGAGUUGUGGCUUACUCGUCCCGACAGUUGAAGGUUCAUGAGAAGAACUACCCAAUCCAUGAUCUAGAGUUGGCAGCAGUGGUUCACGCACUGAAGACAUGGAGGCACUAUCUGUAUGGACAGAAAUGUGAUGUUUACACAGAUCACAAGAGUCUGAAGUACAUAUUCACUCAGUCAGAGUUGAAUAUGAGGCAGCGAAGAUGGUUAGAGUUGAUCAAAGACUAUGAGUUGGAGAUCCAUUACCAUCCAGGCAAAGCAAACGUAGUGGCAGAUGCUUUGAGCAGAAAGAGUCAAGUCAAUCUGAUGGUUGCUCGUCCGAUGCCUUAUGAGUUGGCCAAGGAGUUUGACAGGUUGAGUCUCGGAUUUCUGAACAAUUCGCGAGGAGUCACAGUCGAGUUGGAACCUACCUUGGAGCGCGAAAUCAAAGAAGCGCAGAAGAAUGAUGAGAAGAUCAGUGAGAUCCGGCGACUGAUUCUAGAAGGCAAAGGCAAAGAUUUUCGAGAAGAUGCAGAAGGCGCGAUAUGGUUCAAAGACCGCUUGUGUGUUCCCAAUGUCCAGUCCAUUCGGGAGUUGAUUCUCAAGGAAGCUCAUGAGACAGCCUAUUCGAUUCACCCUGGCAGUGAGAAGAUGUAUCAGGACCUGAAGAAGAAAUUUUGGUGGUACGGAAUGAAGAGGGAAAUCGCAGAGCAUGUGGCUAUGUGCGAUAGUUGCCGAAGAAUUAAGGCAGAACACCAGAGACCUGCUGGAUUGUUGCAACCGUUGCAGAUCCCUCAGUGGAAAUGGGAUGAAAUUGGUAUGGAUUUCAUAGUCGGAUUGCCUCGCACUCGAGCCGGCUACGAUUCCAUCUGGGUAGUAGUGGACCGCUUGACCAAGUCAGCCCACUUCAUACCUGUCAAGACCAACUACAGCAGUGCAGUGUUGGCAGAAUUGUAUAUGUCUCGGAUCGUUUGUCUUCAUGGUGUGCCAAAGAAGAUAGUGUCAGACAGAGGAACGCAGUUCACCUCUCAUUUCUGGCAGCAGUUGCAUGAAGCUUUGGGCACGCAUCUGAAUUUCAGUUCAGCUUAUCAUCCGCAGACAGAUGGCCAGACCGAAAGAACCAACCAAAUUCUCGAAGACAUGUUGAGAGCCUGUGCGUUGCAAGAUCAGUCCGGAUGGGACAAGAGAUUGCCUUAUGCGGAGUUUUCCUAUAACAACAGUUACCAGGCCAGUUUGAAGAUGUCACCAUUUCAGGCGCUCUAUGGAAGGAGUUGUAGAACUCCGUUGCAAUGGGAUCAGCCUGGAGAAAAGCAAGUGUUUGGGCCAGACAUUUUGCUUGAAGCCGAAGAGAACAUCAAGAUGGUCCGAGAGAAUCUGAAGAUAGCACAAUCGAGGCAGCAAAGCUAUGCAGACACAAGAAGAAGAGAGCUGAAUUUCGAAGUCGGAGACUUUGUCUAUCUGAAAGUGUCACCGAUCAGAGGAGUCAGAAGAUUCGGAGUGAAAGGCAAGCUAGCACCCCGCUACAUUGGUCCGUAUCAGAUUCUUGCAAGACGUGGAGAAGUGGCCUACCAGCUCAGUUUGCCAGAGAAUUUGUCUGCUGUGCAUAAUGUCUUUCAUGUGUCUCAGUUGAAGAAGUGCUUGCGUGUGCCAGAAGAGCAGUUGCCAGUGGAAGGUCUUGAAGUCCAGGAGGACUUGACCUACGUUGAGAAGCCAGUGCAAAUCCUUGAGGUUGCAGACCGAGUCACCCGAAGGAAGACCCUCAGAAUGUGCAAAGUCAGAUGGGACCACCACUCUGAGGAAGAAGCAACCUGGGAGCGUGAAGAUGAUCUGAUGGCCAAGUACCCUGAGCUCUUUGCUAGCUAACCCUGAAUCUCGAGGGCGAGAUUCUUUUAAGGGGGAUAGGUUUGUAACGCCCUGAAUUUGGGGGUAGAUUUUUUUCUUCUUUUCUCUCACCAAAUUCAGGCGUUACUCUUUCCUUUUCCCUUUUCUUCUCGCUAAGCCUUGAUCUUUUCAAAGUCGCAGCGGGUUUUGGCUUUAGACCUCGUGUAAAGCAAAACCUUAAAACACUUUAUUUCGUAUGAUGCACCAUGCCGAAUCGUGCAUUUUUUUGAUUGAUUAAAAUGUGAAAGCAUUCGUCCUAAGAAAAUUAGAUUUUAGAAAAAGAAAAUCCUUUCUUUUUCUCUCCCUCCCUCCCUUUCCCAUUUCGGCCCAAGCCGCCCCCCCCCCUCUCCCCCCUUCGGCCGGCCCAGCUGGCGGCCCAGCCGCCCCCUCCCCUCUCCCCUCCCGCGUGGGCCUCCCGGCCGGCCCAGCCGCGCCCCCCUUCCCCCCACUUUGGGCCCAUCCGGCCCAGCCGCCCCCCCCCCUUUUUCUUUUUUUUCCAAAAAUCCCCCCGCGGGCCCCGCCCGUCAUCUCUCUCUCUCUCUCUCUCUCUCUCUCUCUCUCUCACCCCAACCCUAACCCUAGCCGCCGCCGCCGCCGCUCCCCCGCGCCGCCGCCGCUCCCCUCCGGUGAGACCCCUUCUCCUCCCUCACCCCCCCUCUCCUCCCUCUCCCCCCGGCGCCCUUCCCCCACCCGCGCCAUGGGCGCCGCCCGUUCCCGCGCCCCGGCGUCCCGCGCCCGUCCCCGCCCGCGCCGGCCGCCCUCGCUCGGCCCCGGCCCGGCCGCCGCUCCCCCGCGGCCUCCCGCGCCCGGCCGCCCUCGCCCUCGUCCGCCCCGGCCCCGGCGACCCCGGCCGCUCGGCUCGGCCGCUCCGGCGAGCCCGCCCUCGCCUCGCCCCGGCGCGCCUCGCGCCGCCGCGCCCGGCCGCCUCCGGCGAGCCGCCCGGCCCGUCCUCCCCCAGCUCGGCCCCGCCCCGUCGCCCCGGCCGCCCUCAAUCGACCCCGCCCCCGGCUUGGCCGCCCUCGGCUGCCUCGCCCCCGGCGAGCCCCGCGCCCGCGUCGGCCCCGCCUCGCCGCCCUCCGGCGAGCCGCCCUCGCCCGGCCCCGCUCGGCCCCGCCCUCGCGCCCGCCUCCCGGCAAGCUCGGCGCCCCCCGGUUCAACCGCCCCCGUGCCCCGGCUCGACCGCCCGUCCCCGCGCUCGGCCUCGUCCGGUCGCGCCCUCGCUCGCUCGCGCUCGCUGGCCCCAGCGUGCUUGCCCGCUCGCCCCGCCGUGCCUUGCUCGCGUCGUGUCGGCCCCUGCGUGGCCUCGAGCUUGGCCCAGCGUGCUUAUGGCGCGCGGCUUAGAGCUCGGCUAGCGCACGGCCCCGACGUGCGUACGGUUAGUCCGUAGCGUGUGCGUGCGACCUCGCGUGCGUGCCCGCGUAGUGCGCGUGCCUUGGCACGACUCGUCGUGCCUCGUCUACCCCCUAACCCCUCGUCUACCCCCCCCCCCUUCUCCUAUAUGCGCUAAUCACGUCGUUUAUAUUAGUAAGAUAGGAGUCUCGAUUUGGAAAUUGAUUACGUUAGUUAAUUCGUAUAACUAAUCAUCUAUCUCGUUCAAUGUUAAUCUACUAAAAGUGGUUGCGAUUACAUUAGUGCAUGUAGCUAAUUCUUUUGUUGGAACUAAUUAAAACUAGAGCACGUGACGUCUAGUCUUUCGUUUACCCGUAGUGUCCCUCGAGCAUAAGCCUCAACCCUUGCGAGACUUUCCCUCGUUUCUUUCUAACCAAGGUAAAUUCAUUAUCGUAUGUGGUAUUCUAUGCAUAUUUGCUUUACUUGUUCUCUUGUAUGGUGUACUGUUGGUUUCCUAAUUUCAAUGGAUGGAUGUAUGUAUGUUUGCGCUCGCUUAGAGAACGAUCCGGUUGAAGAGCCCGAGGAACUCGCAGGAGAAGCCCCUGAGCAGCAGUCGGUUGGUGGAGGCAAGUGUCCCUUGACCUAUCUCUGUCCUAUUCAUUCUUUAAUUCACCUCCCGCUUUACAUAUUUAUGCCUAAGGUUUGACUAGCUUUUGUUAUCCCCAUCCUUGCUUACCUAUUUGGGUUGGAUUAUUACUGUUUAGCUUUAUGCUAUUGCUCAACUCUAAUUAAUGAACAUGAUGAGAUUAUCUAUGAUACGCUGUUUUCCCUUCUCUUAUGAUGAUGUUGUACUUGUGACCUUCAAGGGGGCUCGAGCGGUUUCUCGAGUGCCUCUCCGUAAGGACCUGUUCUAUGGAUGACCGCCCGGGAAAACAGUGCAACCAUGAGGGUGGAAUGGGAUGCCCUUAGCUGAAUAAUUAGAGGAUCCGGGGUGUAGUUCACUUAGCCGUCGUGCCGUCAAUGGGGCUCGGUGUAUGCGGCUCGCUCUGCCAAGGUUGAUUUGUCCCUUGGGGAGGAGUGCGGUACAUUUAGGAAACCUAACGGGUGGCUACAGCCUCGGGGAAUCUUUGUAAAGGCUACGUAGUGAUGCCCUGCUAGGCCACCUAGGUAGUGGUCAAUGGGGAGUAGCUCUCUCCGGGCAGAAUGGGAAUCACGGCUUGUGGGUAAAGUGCACAACCUCUGCAGAGUGUUUAUAAACUGAUAUAUCAGCCGUGCUCACGGUUAUGAGCGGCCAAGGGAGCUCCAGUGAUUAGUGGUACUUGAUCAGAGAUACUUUGGUACAGGUGACAAUGAGAUUGAUGGUUCUGAUUACGAUUAUGGUAUUGGUAAGUGGUAUUCUUUCCGUUUGGAAAGGAUACAUUGGGCUAAUAACUUGGGUUAAUGUUAAAACCUGGCUUUCUACUAGUAAGUAAUAACCUGACCAACUAAAAGCAACUGCUUGACUUAUCCCCACAUAAAGCUAGUCCACUACAGCCAAACAGGAUACUUGCUGAGUAUGUUGAUGUGUACUCACCCUUGCUCUACACACCAAACCCCCCCAGGUUGUCAGCAUUGCAACCACUGCUCAGGCGAAGAUGAAGCUGUGGAAGGAGACUUCCAGGAGUUCCAAGAUUACGACGAGUUCUAGGUGUGGGUUAGCGGCAACCCCCAGUCGGCUGCCUGUGAAGGCCGCGGUUAUCUACGUUUCUUUUCCGCACUUUGAUUUAUUGUAAGGACUAUAUGGACGUCUCAGACGUAUGAUGUAAUCGACUAUUUCCCUUAUUAAUACUAUUUUGAGCACUGUGUGAUGAUGUCCAUAUUAUGUAACUGCUGUGUACGUGAAUAACUGAUCCUGGCACGUACAUGGUUCGCAUUCGGUUUGCCUUUUAAAACCGGGUGUGACAGCUACGCUAGCGCAAAACAAAAUUUUCAUCCCCAUAAUACCAAGAACUACUGCGGUUAUAGGUCAUGGAAUUACCACUAGACGCGCAGAGCAGCGGAAGACGUCUCGAUGUAGAAGAACGCGUCGAGCAGUGCCGUGCAGUCGCCGGCGUCCUUCACGUCCUCGCACAGUUCGUCCAAGUGCUCCAGAUGCAGCACCUUCGAGGUAUCCACACGUACAGGGAGGAAGCGCCGCGUACCGAACUGCUAGGUUCGCGACGGCGGCUUGGCGAGGGCGAGAGGUGGGCGGCGGCUGUUAGUCCGCUGGUGGCGAAUUAGGUUAUCUUUUAACCGCGCCCCCGCCCCUCAUUAUAUAGGCGUUAUGGUGGGCUUCUGACGCCGAGGCCCAUCAUUAACCCUAAAGCCCAGUCUAAUUUCGGAUCUAAUCCGAAUUAGGCUUCCUUCCCCUUAAGUGUGUGACCCUAUAGGUUCACGUACAAAUAGACAUAGCCCGAGUACUCUUACUUGGCCCAAUAAUUGACAGCGGCCUCUAGCAAGACAUGUCAACUCCUAUGUGUACGUAAAGAUCAUAUCAGACGAACCAUUGCGACAUUAAGUACAUGCUGUUCCCUUUGUCUCACGAUAUUUGGUCUGGCUCUAAGCUGACCUCUCUUUCUCGAUACUGUGAAUUGGAAUCCUUUCAAUGGUUAACUCUUAACCCUAGCACGGCCAUGCAUUUCUUGAUCCAAUCACUCGAGGGGCCCAGAGAUAUCUCUCUCACAAAGAGAGGGACAAAUUCCAUCUUGACUGACCAUGCCUCAUAGCAUGCUUCCUGACAAACCCAAAACUACCUUUAUAACUAUCCAGUUACGGGAUAGCGUUUGAUAGUCCCUAAGUAAGUCAAUUCACAUCUUGAGAACAUGCGACAAUCUCAGGUCUAAGGAUACAGUAUUCAUGUUGCAAGAAGAGAACUAUAUUACAAUAUCUCACGUUGGGUCGGUCCAGCCUCAUGUCAUACAUGCACCCACAUUAUUAAUUUAACAUCUCCAUGUUCAUGACUUGUGAAAUGUAGUCAUCAACUAAUACAUGUGCUAGUCAUCGACUCUGACUAGGGACAUCAUUUAGAAUAACCAUAUAAGUAAAGAAUCUCACAAACAAUUCACAUAAUUGCUAAUCAAUACAAUGUGCCUUCCAUGGAUAUUCAAUUAAGCAAUAUAUAUAUCAUGGAUACAAAGAAAUAUGCUCAUCUCUAUGAUUAUCUCUAGGGCAUAUUUCUAACAGGAGAAUGAUGCAAAGAAAGAGAGAGAUUGUGAAAUUCACAUGCGAAGUGAAGAACUAUCCUUAGGCAGUCGCAAUGUCAUAACUCGUUGGUGAUAGAGCACCGCCAAACACCGUGAGUAGCAACAGAUCUGAUGGAAGCAAGCUUCCUGGUGCUAGAACCCUGGUAAGUUUCUAGGAGAACAGGUAUGUGGUUCUGGUAACUUUCUGUAAUUUCAUUUUAUGUCCGUACAUUAGAGUUACAAUGUAUUUUUAUAUCUGACUAGCACACGACCUAGAUCCCCUUCUCUUCUAUACUUCUAAUGACAGCUAAAUGCUAGCUAAUGACAGCUUACAGAUUUGUCAGGUUGUUAAAUCUGGUACAGACCCAAUAUCAGAAUACAGCUGGCUUAAUAUUGAAUCAGUACUACUUACCUAGGCACUAUCCACGAUCCUGACACGCAGAUGUCUCAGGCGGCUGAGGAGAAUGGCGCAGUCGGUGGUCCGAAAACCCUAGGUAGUUGGGGAUGAGCGCCUGGGCGAGCGGACACCGUCGCACCGAGGGGGGGAGUUCGAUGGGCCUCAUCGGUGGAGGAAGCCAGCACGGGUGGAGAGCUUCUCGAGGACAGGAGGUGUAGUGGGGGCUUGGCCACGUUUAAGGGGAGGGACGGGCAUGGAACUCCUAAAGCUUCGUGGUGCGUUCGAUAGAAGGAUGGGACGUGUAGUGGCCAUCAUAGGCCACUGAUCCUAGAUCGAACAGUGAAGGUAAAAAAUGACGUGGAUACUAGACAGAAGCCAUUUCAAAUCGGCUUUAAAGUAUAUUAAAAGUAUAGGAAAAGGAAAUGAUUCUCUUAUCUGUCCAGCUACCAGCUUCCGGCAUGAGAGCCACUGUCCUCUAAGGGCUAGUUUGGCAAUAAAUGGACAAAAAACCUAGGGAAGUAAUCCACCAAGGGGAUUUUAAAUGACACAUUAAUUCCCUGGAGGAUUUUUUCACUCGGAUGUAUUUCCCUGCCACUAUUUGGCAACCAAGGGGCUAAAAACCCCUUUUGAGACAAAUUACUUCAGAAAAAUCACAAAAAACCAAAGAAAAAUAGGAAAUAUUUAGAUAAAUCAAAAAUACAAUGAAACAUCACUACAAAUCUAAAAACAUGCACCGGACUUGAUAAUCUAAUAUCCAACAAAGUUUAACUUAAAUAUCAUCUAAUAUCCAACAAAGUUAAUCUAUCCAUCAUCAUAUCACAUAAGAUCAUCUCCAUUCACACUACAAAUAGACAAUAUAACAUAUAAACAGAGUAAAAGUCCCUUCAUUAUAAACUUUGACACUAGAAUAAAUUAUGAGUUUAACUCCUUUUUAUAAGCUCAUGUGGACUGUCGUUCCAUUUUCCUUCUUCACGUCAGCUUAUAUGUUGCUUCCACUUAGCACUAUGCAAGUACCAGCUCUCAUGCCCUUCAAGAAUUUAUUUAACCUUUUUAGCACUGGUGAGGAAGGAUGUGUGGAUGGACCUUUUCUCUUCCGAGAGGUAUAGGAUUAUAGCAGGAAGAAUAACAAAGAAUAGUUCUUCGUCAUCUUCCUCCUCCAACAAAAAUUGCCUAACGUGCUCCUCCCAAGAACCCAUUAUCUAGAAACAUAAUAAAUUUUAAUCAUGCACUUAUAUAGUUGUGCUACCUCUCAUAUAAUAUAGCAAUGUUGAACAAUAUAAUUGUUAAUAGUUACUUCAAUACCAUAUAAUUGUUAUCCUAUUUCAAGAUUAAAUUAAAGCAUCAAUUUGUUAACAGUUACUUCAAGUAAAGUAAAUAGCACCAGAAAAGAAGCAAUAUAUUAGACAUUUAGUAGAAGAUUAAAUUAAAUCACAAUUUGUUAACAGUUACUUCCACUUCCACCCAAGAAGCUCUUUCUUUCUUUUUUUGAAUAAACCAACAGAUGAAUUAAAUAAUUCAAGCCAUCAAACACAAACCAAACAUGAGAAAUAAUCAACCAAUUCCAAGGGUGAAGGAACACUUAUUUACCUUAAGUUAGCCUAUCUAUUCAAGGAUGACAAACUGAAUUAAGCUGGACCAACAAUCUGUCACACUCUGCAAAUGACACCAACUAUACGUUUAAUGCAGUGAGCAUAGUAGGGUUAAUGCAGUAAUCAAACAAUGUAGUAGGCUAAACUAGCAAGUGACCACUGCAUUUAGCAUGUAAUUUUAACUUUAAAAUAAACUAAGUGAUAAUCUUCAGAACAACCAAAGACAUCGUAAGCUCGAGCUCAGCUUCUACUUACAACAAGACAGAGAAGUGGUGAACAUGACGUGCAAGCAAUAAUGUGUAAUUUUAACUAUAAAAUAUUAGAUAAGAAUGUAAGGCCCAAAAUCUGUAUAAAAAAUAUAAAUAAUAAAAUAAAUAUAUGAUGAGAUAAAAUCAUAAAUUCAGAUAUCUCAAAUUAUACUUGAGUGUUGAAAAAUUGAGAACAGAAUUUUGAAAACCAAGAAUUAUAUUAGGAAAGCUAGUGGAAGACUACCUUACCCGAAAUAAAGGGGCAAGGGCAGUAGGGUAGUUGCAUGCAAGGAGGUUCUCAGGUUGAUUUUGUUGCGAUGGCGGUCAGACGAGGGAUUCUUGCAAGUGCUCUUCCCAUAGACUGUAGCAGGUUUUCGGAAGCUAGUGGAACUUUGUAAAGGCCUCGUAGUGAAUCCCUAGCCAUUCACCUCGGUAGUGUCUAAGGGUCUAGCUAACCCUGGUGACAUGGGAAACACGACUUGUGGGUAAAGGGUACAACCUCUGCAGAGUGUAAAACUGGUAUACUAGCCGAGCUCACGGUCAUGAGCAGCUUAGGACUCUCUGAUGAUUAAUCUAUGGAACUUAAAUUCAAUUUGUCAUUUGCAUUGCAUGAGAUUUGUUAUUAAUUUUGUUCUAUUAUUUUAUUAUGGUUUGGUAUUCACUUACACUUAGUAACUACUAAUAAAAUUUUGACCAGCUUAUAAAAGCAAUGCUCAGCUUUAACCUCUAUUGUUGAUCAGCCUUACACUUCAUGAACUCCCACCUUUGGUGAGUUCAUGUCACAUUAUUCCCCACAACUUGUUGAGCGAUGAACAUAUGUGAGCUCACCCUUGCUGUCUCACACCCUCCCACAGGUCAAGAACAGGUACCACUGGAUGAGGCGCAUGGUGGAUGUUGCGCUGUGUUCGUGAGAGGUCUAGGUCGUCGUCUCUCAGUUGACUCUCUGGCGCCAAGGAUGGAUUUUAGUUCGAUCCAUAUCUAUCAUUUAUUUUGUAAGUCUUCUGCUAUGUAAUAAGUACUCUGAUUAUAUUGUGACAUUUAUCCCUAUACACUCUGUUAUUAUAUAUGUUGUCUUCUUUGGCGCAUGUAUGAGAUGCACCCGACUUUGUCCCUUAAAACCAAGUGUGACAGAAGUGGUAUCAGAGGAAAUGUUGAUUGUAGGACGAAACCUAGAUAGAAAUGGACAAAAUCCUUACCUACUUACCUUACUCUGAUUCUUUUGUACUUAUCUUGAUCCUGUCUCACCUUCUACUGUUCUAUUCUGAUCAUUCUUAUCUUUUCUAUUCUAAGACAAGAUGGAUUUCACACUUUGGAAUCCUACAUUUAUGACUUUUCUAAGAGAUAGGAGGCCUAAGACAAAAAUCAAAAUUAUUUUCUCUAUUUAAAAAUGUUGGUUGAUUGUUCUGAUGAUAAAUGUCUGAUUUGCUUCUUUGAUUGAUUGAAACAUUAUAGUUGGGCAUCUUAGCAUGUACCACCAUAAGGUAAUAUAUUAGCUUUAGUGGAUAACACACUAAUCUACUUAGCUAAUAAAUCCCCCGCAGUAACAUUUCUCGUAAUUACUCGCCUUGUCUACAAUUCCUCCUUUCUUACCCUAUAUUUCUAACCCCGAUGGGCUACCCCUAUAGUGUUAGAAGAGAGCACCAUAGAUGUGAUCCUUGGUAUGUCAUGGUUAAGAAAGGCAAAGACAGUUUAUACACUGUGCUAAGGGAACCGUAGAACUCACCAUUUCCAAAAGAGAAAGAUUUGAAGGUGAAAUUACAGUAACUACCACACCAGACGUGUGGCAUUCUUCAUAGAUGAGGAGUUUGUUGGUAACAACAUCCGGGUGGUUAGAGAUUUUUCGGAUGUCCUUCCAGAGGAGUUACCAGGGAUGCCACUAGAUAUGGAAGUUGAGUUGGUCAUUGAUCUCUUACCUGGGACUGCUUUUAUUUCUAAAUGGCCAUAUAGGAUGUCCGUAGAAGAACUAAAGGAACUUAAGAAGCAAUUAACAGAGUUACAAGAGGCUGGGUACAUUCAUUCGAGUUCCUCACCUUGGGGGAGCGCCAGUUCUAUUUAUACAGAAGAAAGAUGGAUCACAAGGGAUGAGCGUGGAUUAUAGGUCCCUUAACGAUGCCACUGUGAAGAACAAGUGUCCAUUACCCCGCAUUGAGGAUUUAUUUAAUCAGAUGAGAGGUGCUAGGGUAUUCUCGAAGAUUGAUCUCCGAUCAAGAUACCAUCAAAUGAAGAUUAGGCCAUCGGACAUUCCUAAGACGGCUUUCUCGACUCGAUAUAGUUUAUAUGAGUUCACUGUUAUGUCAUUUGGACUAACUAAUGCACCAGCCUAUUUUAUGGAUCUGAAGAAUAAGGUGUUCAUGUUCUGGACAGAUUCGUUGUGGUUUUCAUCGACGAUAUUUUUAUUUAUUCCAAGAGUGAUAGUGAUCAUGAGGAACAUCUGAGAUUGGUACUAUAGAAGCUACGAGACAAUCAACUCUACGCCAAGUAUAGUAAAUGAGAGUUUUGGAUUGGCAAGGUGCCCUUUCUUGGACAUAUCAUUUCUAAUGGAGGGAUUUCAGUGGAUCCUGCUAAGGUCAAGGAGAUUAUGGCGUGGAGCAUACCCAAUAUAGUUACUGAGGUCCGGAGUUUCUUAGGACUUGCAAGAUAUUAUCAGAGAUUUAUUGAAGGAUUUUCUAAGAUUGCUAAGCCUAUGAUCUCGCUUCUGGAGAAGGGAAGAGAGUUUAAGUGGGAUGAGAAGUGUCAAGAUAGCUUUGAUCAAUUAAAGAAGAGGUUGAUGUCGCCACCAGUGUUGGUUAUGCCAGAUUUACAGAAGGGAUUUGAUAUUUAUUGUGAUGCAUGUGGCUAAGGCUUGGGAUGUGUGCUCAUGCAAGAAGAACAUGUGAUUUCCUACGCUUCUCGUCAAUUGCGGAAACAUGAGUUGAACUACCCCACUCAUGACUUAGAGCUGGCAGUCGUUGCGCAUGCACUUAAGAUUUGGAGACAUUAUAUCAUGGGGACCAAGUGCCAACUGUACACGGAUCAUAAGAGUUUGAAGUAUAUAUUCACACAGAAGGAUCUCAACCUUAGGCAAUGUCGUUGGUUGGAGCUUAUUAAGGGUUAUGAUUUGGAAAUUCACUAUCACCCGGGCAAGGCGAAUUUGGUUGCAGAUGCCUUGAGUCGAAAGGAACACGUUCAUUCAGCUAUUGUUGCCUAGCUACCCGAUGAGAUUGAUGAGGAUUUCAGGAGACUUAACCUGGGGAUAGUUGCUCACACUGAAGGAGUUACUAUUGAUGUGGAAUCUACUUUGGAGCAAGAAAUCCACAAAGGACAAAUUGGUGAUGCUAAAAUACAAGAGAUUAAGGAUCUAAUUACUGAAGGUCGAGGUCCAGAAUUCACGGAGGAUGAGCAAGGCACCGUAUGGUUCAAGGACAGGAUAUGUGUUCCUGAUAUUGAAAGCCUUCGUGAGACUAUAUUGAAGGAAGCCCAUGACUCAAAUUAUUCUAUUCAUCCUUGUAGUACCAAGAUGUAUUAGGAUUUGAAGCGGAAGUAUUGGUGGUAUGGAUUGAAGAGAGAUGCGGCUGCACAUGUGGUUAUGUGCGAUGUGUGUCAAAAAGUUAAGGCUGAACACCAGAGGCCAACUGGACUACUGCAUCCAUUAAAGAUACCCGAAUGGAAGUGGGACGAGAUUGGUAUGGACUUCAUUAUUGGAUUGUCUCGCACCCUGAAAGGAUAUGAUUCGAUAUGAGUUAUUGUGGAUAGACUGGCCAAAGUGGCUCAUUUCAUUCCGGUCAAGACUACUUAUAAGGUAUCUCAAUUAGCUGAGUUAUAUAUGGCCCGGAUUGUGUCUCAACACGGUGUAUCGAAGAAGAUCAUUUUUGAUAGAGGAUCACAGUUUACCUCCAGAUUUUGGAGAAGCUCAUGAGAAUAUGAAUACGAAGUUGAACUUCAGUACAGCUUAUCACCCUCAGACGGAUGGAUAGACCGAAAGGACUAAUCAAGUAUUGGAAGACAUGUUGAGAGCUUGUGCCCUUCAGCAUGGUAGUAGUUGGGAGAAGAGUCUACCAUAUGCUGAGUUCUCACAUAAUAAUAGUUACCAGACCAGUCUGAAGAUGUCACCGUUCGAGGCUUUAUAUGGCAGGAAAUGCAGGACUCCUCUAUUUUGGACCAGACUAGAGGAAAACAGAUCUUUGGACCUGAACUUAUUCAAGAGGCAGAAGAAUAAGUCUGUAUAAUCAGGGAGAACUUGACGGUAGCUCAGACCAGGCAAAAGAGCUACGCUGAUAAUAGAAGAAGACCACUAGAAUUUGAGGAAGUUGAUUAUGUGUACCCAAGGUGUCACCACUCCAUGGAAUGAGGAGAUUCAAAGUCAAGGACAAAUUGUCCCCUCGCUUUAUUGGACCCUUCAGAGUUUUUUAGGCGAGUUGGAGAGAUAGCCUAUCAACUCGAGCUACCCGAUAAUCUAUUCGAUGUGCAUAAUGUAUUCCACGUAUCUCAACUUAAGAAGUGUCUUCGUAUCCCUGAGGAACAGUUACCAAUGGAAGAGCUCAGUGUUCAGGGUGAUUUGACUUGCACGGAGUAUCCUAUCAAGAUUCUUUAUACAUUGACUCGAGUUACAAGAAAUAAGGUGAUAAAGAUGUGCAAAGUACAAUGGAGCCAUCAUGGAGAAGAUGAAGCUACUUGGGAGAGAAAAGAACUCCGCAUAGAUUUUCCCCAUCUUUUCACUAGACCUUCCUAAAUCUCGAGGACAAGAUUCUUUUUAAGGGGGUAGGAUUUGUAAGGCCCAAAAUCUGUAUAAAAAAUAUAAAUAAUAAAAUAAAUAUAUGAUGAGAUAAAAUCAUAAAUUCAGAUAUCUCAAAUUAUACUUGAGUGUUGAAAAAUUGAGAACGAAUUUUUGAAAACCAACAAUUAUAUUAGAGAAGAAGUAGUAGAAAGGCUUUCAAUUCAACUAAAUGACUAUUUAUUUCAUUAAAUGAAGCACUAUAGGCAUCCUAUACUUAUGAAUAUGUGGUGGAACAUGUUGAUAGAGAGUCAUAAUCUAAACUUGGGACCUCAAGGUAUACAUGAAAAUAAAAUAGAAAAUAGGAAAGGGGAUUUAAUAGAACUAUUUAUUCCUUUUCAUAAAUAAAUAAUGGAGAAAUGAAUAAAUAAUAAUAUUAUAAACAGUAGAACAUAUAUUCACAUUAAGUUUAUAUUUGAGAAUGGGAAUUUGGAAAAGGAAAACUAAAACAAGAAAAAGAAUAAAACCCUGCUGGGCCUGCUACCUCAUUUUAGGCCCAUUCCCAACCUCCACCGCGCGGCCUAGCUCAUUUCUCUUCCAUGGUGUCACCUACGUGUGGGGCCGCGUGGUCAGUCGCUCACUGGAGUAUGUGUGCUGUUGUGCAAUCACUGCCGUGUAGACCAUCCUUGUCAGCUCGUUCCCUUUCUCGAAACAGAACGCGAGAAUUUCUCUGUGCGCACCGUGGGAAUCGCGGGUCUUCCACCGGCCGCCACAAUCAUGUGCCCUCACCCCUAUUUAACCAGCCGGGGCCUCGUGUUCUCUCCUCUCUCCUCCCUCCUCUCUCCCAUCUCCUCUCAUCUUCUUGUGCCGCACAUAAGCAUCAGGGCCACCGCGGUCACAAGAACAGAGGAGAGUGAGAGAGAUGUGCGCCGCCGUGGAUCCCCGCUUGCGCCGUGGCUAGGGCAGGUACAUGUGGCUUGGGUGCUUCAACGAGUUCCUGGGAGGAGAUCAUGGCUGCGCCUGGGAGUACUGUCAUCCUGGCGAGGCGGAAUUCCUCGUCGGGGCAAGGUCAGCGCCGCCUUGGGUGGGAUGGAAUGCCGUAGUCGUCGUGCGUGCGCUUCAUCGCCUAUCCAGACCUUGGAGUCGGUUUGGGUGGAGGGAUUGGUGCUCGAGGAUGGUUAGACCGACGACAAUUUCUUGAUGAGAUCCCUCGUCCACCGCGAACCUGCCUGAUGUCGAGGACAGCUUCGCUCCGCCACCCAACCCUCGGUAAUGCUUAGUUUUCUGUUUCGCCAUGCGCCUAGGUCCGCGUUGCACCGGUUCAAUUUGGAUUUGGAGCUCGGGUGGUCCAGUUGGGUGUCGCGCCGGCCAUGGCUCCGCCGUGCUGGCCCUGCGCCACCGUGUUGGUGCGGCCAGUGGGGAAGAGGUUGUUUGCGCCGUCCGUCUCUUGAUGAACGGCGUAGAUUAGAGCAGAUCGCAACCCUUCGCGGGAUAGAAUCUGGGCUGUCGACCUUACUGCGGAUGGUUGAGAUUAGUGAUUGGCGUGGGCUGGCGCUGAUCGUUAGAUCUAGAUCUGAAGGUCGGCGUUGCGUACCAGGUUGGUGAAAGUUGCCUAGAGGGGGGGGGGUGAAUAGGCAAGUUAAAACUUUUUCAACAAAAACUAGAAGCAAACUGGGUAAAACUGAAUUGAUCUCGAAAUUCACCCAGUUAACUUUGGAAAUGAGAUGUUCUAAAUGAUCCACAGGGUUCAAAGUAGUAGAUCUGAGAAGGGCACUUCUCAAAAUCCACACACCAAAAAGAUAUAAACAAUCUUCCACGGAAUGGUGAGAGAACGAAGAACAUGAACAAACACAAUGAGCAAGAACGCAAGAGACACAAGAUUUAUCCCGAGGUUCGGUCACACCACAAAAGGUGCCCUACUUCCUCGUUGAGGCGCCCACAAAGAGCCGGGUCUCUUUCAACCCUAAUCCUCCCUUUGCCGACCACAAAGGUCAAGCCCACACAAUAAUCUUUGCUCAAACGAGCGGGUAAUACAAACUUUCUUGUGGUCUUCCACAAGAUUUGGAGACUCACAAGAGACACCUAGUCGUCUAGGAGCUAGAAGCUCCAAGAGUAAUGAAUCCACAAAGAACUCGAUGUAGUACCAAAGCUCGAAUGAAGAAGAAGAGCAAGAGAGAUUUAGAGAUGAAGCACAAAACCGCAGCUCUCAAGCUCACUCAAAGAUUUCUCUCCAAAGAUUUGAAAUGGGAGAGGCAAGAGAUGUGUGUGAGAGAGAGGGAGGUGUUUCUUGGGUUAGAAAUGGAGUUCAAAUCGUGCUCACUGCUUUGGGGAGAGAGGUAGGAGGUAGUAUAUAUAGGUGGAGUUCAAAACUAGCCGUUGGGCAGAUUUUUCUGCCUGAGACCGGUUGAACCUCCCCCUAGGGCGGUUGAACCUCCCCUGGCAGGCCUGGCAGCCUGUCUGCCAGUCUGACUGGCAGACUGACGCGCAGACUGACCUGCAGACUGGUCAGGGUUGACCAGACCGGUUGAACCUCCCCCUAGGGCGGUUGAACCGCCCCUGACACCUCUGGCGACCUGUUUGCCAGUCUGACUUGCAGACUGUUGGUCAGAGGUCAGAGGGGUCAGAGACCAGCUAAACUGCCCCUCAGGACCAGUUCAACUGGUCUUGACCAGAGAGUUUAGGAGAGAAAACCCCAGCUCAACUGCCCAGAGGCAAGUUCAGCUGGUGUAUGGUCAAAGAGGUUCACAGCUGAAGUUGAGUUCAGCUGAAGUUGAGAAAGCUCAACUCAGCUGAAGUUCAGCUCAGCUGAAAAGCUCAGCUGCAGCUGAAGAAGCUCAACUCAGCUGAAGUCAAGUUCAGCUGGAAAGCUCAGCUGCAGUUGAAGAAGUUCAGCUGCUUUUCAGCAAGAACACUCUAGGUUUCUCAAUCCUAACCACGGUCAACCAUAGAACGUUAAAGAGAUUUUUUCUUUUCAAAAAUAGCUUUUGAAUAGAGAGGUUUGAGCUUUGGCAAACACCAACCUUCUUUUUGGAUCCCCCUUUAUAGUACGACGAUUCCUAUACUCAAGUUAAAUAAAAUAUAAUGAAGUAAACUCCUUGAGUCAUUGGUGUCUCAUGUGUGAUUUCUCCAUGGCAUUGCUUCAUAAGGAUCACAAACAUCUUUGUCUCACCUUUUGAAGCAAACUCAAAUCAAACCCAGUGACUUGUACCAUAUCACCUUAUAUGAGUUCAAAUCAUGGCUUCAAGUCACCUUACUGAUGCAUCAACAUGUUAUAACUCUUCAUAGCUGAUUAGUUCAUCGACUUAGUGCAAGUACUCUCUUCUUCACCUUAGCCAUGGUACCUCGGUCUACAAGCCGUCGCUUGACCUUCACCUUCGCUUAGUUCCUCGAAGCCCUUUCCUUGCUAUCUUCACCCUAUCAAGCCAUUCUUGAGUCACAUCAAAUUGAGCAUCCAUUGAGAGAAUCAUUUCUUCAAUAUUGUGAACCUUGCUUGAAUGUCUUCUAGAUAUAAUUGUCAAGGUCAAUCAAGCUCUAGUUUGAUUCUCAUAGAAGCAUAUAUGGACUGACAGUAAUAUGGUCAAGCCAAUUCAUGAUUCCUCAUAUCUUAUUCUCUUUGGCUUGACCAAUCCUCUAAAUCACUUUGUCCUCUAUUCUGGUCAUAUGUAUGUAGUGAUUUCUCAGGUCUUGUCCAUAUAUUCAAACCAAUAUAGGGAUCAUAUUAUAUCCAUUUGCAUUGUCUCAUUGGUUAUUUAACCUCGUGUUGAACCUUUGUUCACUGAUCAUUAUACACUAUUCAAGUAUGUUCAUCAUACUGAAUUUCCUGUUCAACACUUAGCAAACUCGUUAGACCUUUAAAUGUGUUGUUAUCCAAAUCACCAAAACUCACAAAAGGGAUGAAUACACUUUCAAUCUCCCCCUUUUUGGUGAUUGAUGACAACACAUUUAAAGCUUACAUAAGAUUUGAUAAAUAAGAUUUUAAAUCCUAUGAUAUAGUUUCCUCCCCCUAAAUAUGUGCAUUUCAGAAAAUAACACUUUUGUACUCAAAUGCCAAAAGCACAUAUUUAGGUCAAAGUAUAGACAACUUAUAUCAUACUAUUCAUAGGGUGCAGUGUGUCAUAAAAUAAACGUGAUGCUCAUGACAUGGAAUGCACUUAUCAACUUUCUUCAUCUUAUGUUUUUCUUAUGACUUCCCCUUUUUGUUAAUUAUUUCUCCCCUUUUUAAAAGUCUUCUAACACUUAGUUACAUAAGACUAAAGGUAAGCUUUAAUGCACAAUUUCUCCCCCUUUGUCAUAAAUCUCCAAAAAGGAUACAAAGAAUAUAAAGGAUAGAAAUUAUGAUUAAGCGAGAUGUGAACACACUAUCAUGAAAGGGAUCCUUAGAUGGCACAAAGGUAAUGGAUAAGUGUCAUAAGUGAUGUACCUUUGUGUUUUACCUUUUCAAGGGGUUUCCAGACUUGUGUUGGAUUUAGAAUUCAUUUGCAAGCUCUUGUUGGCAUAAUUGUGACAUAGGUCCAAGAUAGCAAAUGAAGAUUGUCAUACUAACUGAAAGAUAAAUCUUGAUACCUGGAGUCUAGAUGUCACCUAGCAUUUUCUUAUCACAACAAGAGGCAACAUGAAAAUUGCACAAGUAUGGAUUAUGCAACUAGUGAUCAUGUAUGAAAAAUAUCAAUUGAAAAACACCAAUUGAUACAAUUUGAUAGAUAAAUAGAUCACUAAUAGCAUAUUACACUAAGUUCUCCUCAAGUUUUAGUGCACACAUAUAUAUAUGAAUUCAAUUGAUAUAUGUUGAGAGUACUUAUUUGAAAUUUAAAGUACCAUUAGCAUAAAAGGAGUAUCAACUGAACAUAAUCAUGCAACAUAAGGAACAUGUGCACUAUUUAAUCAAUUAAGUUCUAGACAGGAGAAUCUAUAAGCUAUGCUACUUCAGAUAUUUGUAAUCCAAAAAGAUGUGAUACAUAUUUACCAAUUUUAGAUGACGUUGGAGUAGCAUAUACAAGAGAAACUCAUUCUCUUAUGAAAUGUAUAGAAGUUACAUUUAUUGGAGCAAAGAAUCUUUGAUACUCAUCAAAAUUUGCAGUGGAAGCGAUUGUCUUUGCUUGAGGAUUCCUUUCUAAUUUGAGACUACACACAUAAUAGACUUGAAAAUGAAGUUAGUCUCAAAAAUGCAAGGGCAGUAGGGGAGUUGCAUGUAAGGAGGUUCUCGGGUUGAUUUUGCUGCGAUGGCGGUCAGACGAGGGAUUCUUGCAAGUGCUCUUCCCAUAAACUGUAGCAGGUUUUCGAAAGCUAGUGGAACUUUGUAAAGGCCUCGUAGUGGAUCCCUAGCCAUUCACCUCGUUAGUGUCUAAGGGUCUAGCUAACCCUGGUGACAUGGGAAACACGACUUGUGGGUAAAGGGUACAACCUCUGCAGAGUGUAAAACUGGUAUACUAGCCGAGCUCACGGUCAUGAGCAGCUCAGGACUCUCUGAUGAUUAAUCUAUAGAACUUAAAUUCAAUUUAUCAUUUGCAUUGCAUGAGAUUUGUUAUUAAUUUUGUUCUAUUAUUUUAUUAUGGUUUGAUAUUCACUUACACUUAGUAACUGCUAAUAAAAUUUUGACCAACUUAUAAAAGCAAUGCUCAGCUUUAACCUCUAUUGUUGAUCAGCCUUACACUUCAUGAACUCCCACCUUUGGUGAGUUCAUGUCACAUUAUUCCCCACAACUUGUUGAGCGAUGAACAUAUGUGAGCUCACCCUUGCUGUCUCACACCCCCACAGGUCAAGAACAGGUACCACUAGAUGAGGCGCAUGGUGGAUGUUGCACUGUGUUCGUGAGAGAUCUAGGUCGUCGUCUCCCAGUUGACUCUCUGGCGCCAAGGAUGGAUUUUAGUGAUCCAUAUCUAUCAUUUAUUUUGUAAGUCUUCCGCUAUGUAAUAAGUACUCUGAUUAUAUUGUGACAUUUAUCUCUAUACACUCUGUUAUUAUAUAUGUUGUCUUCUUUGGCGCAUGUAUGAGAUGCACCCGACUUUGUCCCUUAAAACCGGGUGUGACAAAGAAUUAGCUUAAAUAAAUCAAACACAAGAGCAGAAACACAAAAGCUAAUUCGUGAGGUGUUAUCAUUAGAACGAUGACAACUUUGUGAAGCAACUGUUCCUUUUGGUACACAGAGAGAGCGAUCUGGACGGCAUAGAUGGACACAGAGGGGUCAUCAGACUUUUUAGCAUUGACAAAUUUGGUCCGGGAUGUGUAAGAUAUACCUCAUGAGCAUAUUGUCGAAUAAACUCUGUGCAGUUCCUAAGUCGACAUCAACUGCUGCAUCGGAGGUGAGGAUGACAUGAUGGCAGCCAAUCAAGGUUGCAAAGACUGGCAAAAGGAAAGGAGACUCAUCCCCACGCCCCCAACAUUCAAGCAUUCUAGAUCUACACAGGGUAUAAUGAACUGAUCUAGAUCUGCACCUAGUGGAUAUGGACAAAGGACAGAGAGAGCUGUUCACACCCACGAGAGAGAAUAAAAGCGGUCGCGUCAGAUCCUACCAUGCUUCUAGCCUGCGUUCGUCACUGUCCAAGAAGCAGCAAGAAUAGAAAAAAGAAAUCCUAGCAAGAAGAAGGUGCGGAAGAGGAGCUAGAUUUACCCGACAAAAUCACUGGGGGAGGGGUGUGCGGCGACUGGCGAAGUGGUGGCGGCGUGUCCGUGUAGGGAUGGCAACGGGUACAUACCCGUCGGGUAGUGUCGUUCCAUACCUAUACCUAUCAAAAAAAUUUCUACCCGUCAGGUUACCCAUAUAUGCUCGUGGGUAUAAAAUCCUACCCAUACCCGUACCCGUGCGGGUAAUUUUACCCGUCGGAUAACCCGUACCCGCUAGGAAAGUCUUAAAUUCUAAUAUAUCAAUCACUCAAAACAUUAAAUAAACAUAAAAAACAAGUCAAACUUUACAUAUAACAAAUCAUAUGAUUACAUAACUUGGUAGCUAGACAAAUGAUAGCUAGAGAAGAUUUUUAUUUUAGCUAAGAUGGACUAUAUUAGAUGAUUAUAGUGGUAUUGUUGCAGGUAUAUUCUAUCCAUGAGUAGAUAGGUAUGGGUAGUACCAACUCGUACCCGUACCCGUUUAUCCAACGGGUGGAGGAUCUUGCCCAUUAACAUACCUACGGAUAGAGAAAUCAUCUUAUACCCGCCUUUAUAUCGAGUAAAACCUGUCGGGUAGUCGGGCUUCAGGUAUCCAUUGCCAUCUCUACGGCCGUGAUAGAGGAGGCGAGAGGAAGAGACGAUUCGGGGAUAGCCGCCCGACGUCUAAAGGUCGGACGAGUUUCCACGCGUAAGUUGCGCUCAGAAUGGGCCAGUAUACCUUCGAGGCCGGUUUCCAAACAGGAUGGAGUGAUGGUCGGUGAAAAUUUAGCGUAUGGAUUAGCGACACAGGGAAAACACCGGGUUCCGGGCGGGAAAAGCGGCUGCCAAAUCAGCCCUGAGUGGGCCCGCUUCCAUUUGGGCUGCUUGAAUCGUCGGCUAAGGAGGUUGGGCCGAGACAUCCCAUCGCCGGUUCCGUCAAGCCCACGCAUCAUCACUCGCGCGCGGGGCCGUCCGACCGGGCUCUCCUCCCUCGUUUUACCCGCACCCGCCGCAACGCCGAGAAGACGCGAGAGGGAGGGAGGAGGUGAGCCACCGGAAGCGGAGACGUGAGCAGUCGACCAACCCCGUCGAUCCGGCUGCGGCCCGGCGUGCUAGAUCGCUACCGAUCAUGGUGGUGGAGGAGAUCGCCGAGGGGGUGAAGAACCUCACCGUUACCGGAGACGCGGCGGCUUCAGGCGGAGAGGGGCAGAGGAGGGGCGGCGGCGGCAGCAGCAACCGCAUCCAGGUGUCCAACACC